This 160227-nucleotide long non-coding RNA is filed under the name Cucumis sativus (cucumber). RNAcentral describes it as "long non-coding RNA (CSAT_LNC001903)". The record is from RNAcentral. Lineage: Eukaryota; Viridiplantae; Streptophyta; Magnoliopsida; Cucurbitales; Cucurbitaceae.
UUCGAUUCUUUUUCCGCUGUGCAUGACUUAGUUCUAUCAGAGGAUUUAUUCGUAGGACCAUCCGUAAUUAACAGAAGUAGGACUAUCCAUUAUCCUCCGUCCGGAGUCCGCAGGAUUCUUAUCCGUAGGACUAUCCGUAAUUAACCGAAGUAGUCCUCCAGAAUUUCUGUAAUUAACCGAACUUUGCACCUCUUGACUAUGAAUCAUAUAUAUUGAUUUUGACCGGAGCAAAGAUCAUUGCCCACGGAGCGGCGCAAAGAAUAUUGCGACCUGUGGAUUCAUUGAGGCGGUGAAGAAUUGCCAUUUUAUGAGCUUGUAAGACCCCUCCGGAGGAGAAGGAUAGGGGAGCAAGGUGAAAAGUGGUUUUCAAAGUCAGAGCUAUCCCUUAUUAUUGAGGGCUUUGACCACCUGGACACUCGCCUACUCAGUCGCAAGGAUCAAAGAAUUUGAUUGACAAAGAAUAUUGCGAUUUUACCGAGUCCUUCGUCUCGCAAUAUUCUUUGCGCCUUCGGUGAGUCAGGUUAAUAUGGAUAAGUCCUUCGGACUGAUAGCGUCCAAAAAAUAGGCGAGGGCGGGCGGGCUAUAAGUAGGCCGUUUGCUAUUGCUAUAAGGGCUGCUCGCCUUUAUACGGCUUGGCUUCGCUAUCGCUCAUGACUUGUAUUGUGGUCGGCCUAAAAAGUAGUCUUCCUACCAUAAAAAAAUGCCUAUUAUCUAGUUCGUUAAGCUUCGCCAAAAGCAAGACGAGGGCGCUCUGCUUCGUAGACAAGGCUCGUCUAGUACUUGACUUACGAGUUCGUGUAGGACUCCCCCCUCUCUCUAAAGGGGCUUAUGCACGGAACUCCUUGUCUACUAAAGAAGCGUUAGAGCGAGCGAGUUCAGCCUGAAAUUGAGUGGUCUCCCUCCUUUUCCCUCACUGAGAUAUUAUGUCUUUCAUUUCCACUUAAGCUUCCCCGCUUUGAGGGAUUAAUUGAUUGGAUACCCGAGAACCAUAAUCUUUCCUAGGAACUGCUUCUACGACGAUAGGCGUAAAGGCAUGAUUAGUUCCACAAAUCUCACUGCACUGACCAUAGUAAACUCCUUCUCGUUGUACCAAAAUGGAGAUCUGAUUUAAACGACCAGGUACAGCAUCACAUUUGACACCUGAGGAAGGUACAGCCCAACUAUGAGGUACAUCAGCAGGUGUUACAAUAAUACGUAGAUGAGUUUUGGCUGGUAGAACCACUCUAUUGUCCACUUCUAAUAAACGUGAUUGACCCAAUUCUAGAUCAUCUUCUGGAAUCGUAUAACUGUCAAAAGUGAGUGACUGUUCAUCGGAACUGUUAUAGUCAGAAUACUCAUAAGUCCGAUACCAUUGAUGUCCAAUAGCUUUGAUAGUCAUGGCUGGAUCUACUACUACCUCGUCCAUUGAGUAUAAGAGAGCAAAGGAUGGUAUAGCAAUGAACAUCGGAAUGAUACUAGGAAAAAUGGUCCAAAGAAUCUCGAUAGUAGUUCCAUGAACAAUCCUUUGCGGUAUUUUCUUUUGAGAAUAGUGGAAAUGCCAUAAAGCGCGAACCAAGAUCCGUGAUACGAAAACAAAAAUCAGAAUGAGGAAGAAAAAGAUAUCGUGAUGUAAGUCUAUUAUUCCUUGCAUCAUAGGUGUUGCUGUGUCUUGAGAUCCUAAUUGCCAUGGUUCCGCUGCAUCACAAGGAGCAAUUGUGAGGAAUAACCAUUUGAGAACAAUCAUUUUCUUUGGUUUAUUCUUUGACUGCUCUGCUCCCCCCCCCAAAAAAAGAGAGACUUGUUCUUGUUGCUUGGGCCGAGUUAAGUAUGGCUACCUAUUACUCCUCACUGCACACUUGAAAUAUCUCUUGAUACUCCCCCCUCUUUCUUACAACUAGUUGCUGCAUGCUAUCAGAUCUCGAGCAAUGGGAGGUUAGAAUUGAGAAUCCACACUCUCAUUACAUUACAUUUUGAUGUCGGAAAAUGUCUUUUGGGCAAUGAGCAUUCCUUAUGGGCGUAUCCGUUCUCUAUUUAGAGAAAUUCUUAGAGCGGUGCAGUUUAUGCAUGGCGAAAGGGAGCAUUGGAAGGGUCUUAGCUCCAGAAUAUGAAGACGAAUCCACACUCUCAUUACAUUACAUUUUGAUGUCGAAAAUGUCUUUUGGGCAAUGGGCAUUCCUUAUGGGCAUAUCCGUUCUCUAUUUAGAGAAAUUCUUAGAGCGGUGCAGUUUAUGCAUGGCGAAAGGGAGCAUUGGAAGGGUCUUAGCUCCAGAAUAUGAAGACGAAUGAAUAAGGAAGAUCAGAUUCAAGGAAUAAGAGGACAAAGGCUCGAUAGGAGGAAAUGAAUAAGGGGUCCAACGGAGCCUUCGGAGUACUAUAAAGAGGAAAGCCUAGACUGAUCGAUGUUCUUGGUAGGAACAUCCAUAAAUCAGGGGAGGGAGAUCGAGUUUCAAACCUUUAUACACAAAAUUGAAACUCAAAAUUCACUUCCUUCCUUCCGCAAGGCCGAUAUCUUUCAUAGCAAGCAAGGAUGAGUCCAUUAGGUUCUUCGAUUGAUUCGGAAAAGAAAUGAGAGACAAGAAAAGAUCUUUGAUGGAGAUGAAAAGGAAGAAUCUCAAAUAGACCAAGAUCCAAUUUCGGGUCAUUUCUUGGUGAACAUGAUCUGCCAUAAUCUCUUCGAUCCCUGAAUUUAUGUGCCAGAAUAAAGAGAGAUUUGGUAGGAAAGUGGAAGAGACCUUGUGGUAUAUAAUAAUGAGAGGGAGUGGGAAAGCUGCUGUAAUUCUUUGGAAAAGCCCGGUUCUUUUUGUCUUCGAGCUUGAAUUCCUCAAUCCACUCUUUCGUUCUUUCAUAUACCUCCCCACCAAUAGAUAGAGACAAAUAGGAAUAACCGAACCACGUCUACAAAAUGCCAGUACCAUGCAGCUGCUUCAAAGCCAAUGUGAUGCUCCUUGGUCAGAUGACCUAGAUAUUGGCGAAUACCACAUACGAUCAAGAAAAGAGUACCUAUAAUCACAUGAAAACCAUGAAAGCUAGUUGCUAAGAAAAAGGUAGAACCAUAAAUACUAUCAGAAAUAGUGAAGGGUGCUUGAUAAUAUUCCAUUCCUUGAAAGCCUGUGAAUACUAGAGCCAGUGAAACGGUAGCUACUAAAGCGUAAACAACUCGUUUUUCCUUCCCCGCGAGUAUAGCAUGAUGAGCCCAAGUUACGGCUGCUCCGAAUGAAAGGUGAAUAGGGGUGUUAAGAAAAGGGAUUUCCCGAGGAUCUAAAACCCCAAUCCCUUUUGGGGCCAAAUAUCUCUGAUCUCUACCGUAGGUGCCAAAGAAGAAUGAGAAGAAGCCCGAAAAAAAGCAAAAAGGAACAUAACCUCCGAUACGAUAAAGAGAAUAAAACCAUAUCGAAGUCCUAUUUUUACGACUUUGGUAUGAUGUUCCUUCCAACGUGGAUUCACGUAGAACAUCACGCCCACCAUACGAACAUGGUAUAUAGGAGAAAUAUGAGGCCCAAACUGAGAAGUCUUGCACCCCCUUGAAAUGAGUGCAUGUACAUCACACCUCCUACGAUGGUUGCCAAAUGAUAAGAAUGCCUUUGAGAUUCAAUCACAAACCACUUUGCCGGUUGUUAUGUAAACCCCAAUCCCUUUGGGGGCCAAAUAUCUCUGAUCUCUACCGUAGUGCCAAAGAAGAAUGAAAGAAGCCGAAAGAAGCAAAAAGGAACAUAACCUUCGAUACGAUAAAGAGAAUAAAACCAUAUCGAAGUCCUAUUUUACGACUUUGGUAUGAUGUCCUUCCAACGUGAUUCACGUAGAACAUCGCGCCCAUAACGAACAUGGUAUAUAGGAGAAAUAUGAGGCCCAAACUGAGAAGUCUUGCACACCCCUUGAAAUGAGUGCAUGUACAUCACACCUCCUACGAUGGUGCCAAAUGAUAAGAAUGCCUUUGAGAUUCAAUCACAACUUGCCCGGUUGUAUGUAAACCCCCCCCCCCCCCCCCCCCCCCCCCUCACUCCCACCCACUAAAGUGGUAAAGAAGGGCUCUUUGGGGUCUCAUUUUCUUUUUCUUUCUAUCUGACAGGACUAAAAAAUAGGAAGGAUGGUUCUUUAAUUGCAUUGAUAGAAGUCUAACUAGAAAAAGAUCUUGUUGCUUGAUAGAGCCCUGGCUUUUUGGAUAGAUCCCUCUAUAUUCCAACUGAUUUAUGCGUAGAGGCCGGGAAUAGGAAUCACUCAUAUUGCAUUGAGCCUUAACAGUCCGGAGGACUAUCCCGCUCCGUGGGAUUCUUUUAGCCUCACAAUAUUCUUUGCACCUAUCCAUCCACGCAAUAUUCUUUGCACCUUCGCUCCAAAUAAAGUAAUAGCCGCAACUCAAUUCAUUCAGCCUUCGCCUAGAAAUUCACUUUGCGACCCACUCCGUAAGCCCACUACACGAGAAGAAAGAAUAUCCUUAGCUAUUUAUCUUUAUUAUCUCUUCUCUGAGAAUAUCCUCUUAUUCUACUAUUAGAAGAAUAUCCUACUUUCAGUUUCUAGUCAAAGAAAGUCCAGGCGCAGGCGCAAAGAAUAUUGCGAGGUGCAGUCUAAUGGAUAGGACUGAGGCUCGACUGAAAGGAGAGAAGGCGCAAUGAAAUAUGCGAGGUCCAUAUUUCGACUGAGGAACUGAAACUUCCGCGUAGUGCUUCCCUUGUUCAUUGAUAGUAAUCCUGAAGUUUCUUCUUGGCAUCAAAAUAGAUCAAUGAAAGAGGACUAAAAAUAAGACGAAAGUACUUAUGACGGCUUUCCUUCCAACAAAUCUUCGUUCUUAGUUAUUUGAUUCCACUUUCAACUUUCUGGGAGUUGUCUUCUCCUAGGCUUUCUUCUUUCUGGCAGUCUUCUGCCUUGCCGUAGGGAGUAGGUUCAGGAGAACCAUAACCAUAAAUCAGAGAGACGGAGCAUCAAUCACGCAUAUUCUUUGCACCUCUUCCUUUAAGCUAUAUUUUUUAGGCUCCGGAGGCUCAAAGACAGGGAUAUUGUUGAAUACUAUUGGUUCGAGUCGCAGAGAGCAAAGAAUUUUCUCUUAAUGGAACUUAGCGCGAGUUAAUAUGGAUAGGACUGAGGUCUUAAGACUCCUAACUAUUAAUGGAAAGGACCCACGGAGCGGUGCAAAGAAUAUAUUAGAAGGGCAGACAGGUCCGGAGGACCUGUCUGUCCUUCGUCUUAAUACUCCUAACGUCGAAUAAGAAGCUGGAGGCUGGGUCCAGGUGCAAAGAAUAUUGUGUCCAUUAGAUCCAUUGAAUUAGGCGAAGGAUUUUAUCAAGCUUAGCUUUCUGGAUUCUUCGGCGGAGUGGGGCUUUCUCUAGUAGGUCUGGAGGCUCAAAGAAUGAUCGAAGGCUCCGGACCAUAAAGAAGAGAGUCGGAGGACUUCCAUUGACUUUUUCUUCCUUUCACUUCUAACUUCAAACCUUUCAUAUUCAACCUUGAAAAUAAAGGAGGGAGCGGACUAGAGGCCAUAAGUUUGAGUUCCUCAGAUGUAUAAAAACAAGUCCUCCGCGACGACCUAUCCACUGAAAGUAGCUACGUAGUCUUGUCUCCUUCCCCGCGUAGUGGGCAUUGACUUCUUCAUUGAUUUUCUUCUAUCUCCCACGUAGCGGUUGAAUAUGAAAGGAAGCCCACAGAGCUGAAGAUGGAGCGGGAUAAUAAAGAAGAAAGCUCAAAAGGAGGGAGCGGACCUCAAUGAACAAAGGACUCGUUUUCAUCCUUAUGGAAGAAAAAUCUCUUUUUUUUAUCUAAAAGACGUAGAAGGAGGCUCAAUGUCUAAUCUUUCUCUCAAAUCAAUAUCCCCCAGUGCAAAUAUUCCAGCAAUAUUCUCAAUAUGAAAAGAGCCUUUCUUCUUUUCUUAGAUAAAUGCGCUUCGUAGAUUAUGCUGAAGGAGGAGUGGGCCAUGAUCUUUGCUCCUUAAUUUCCCUAAUGGAUAGUCAUCUGGACCUUUCUUUUUAGUUCUUUGCGCUCGUCAACGCAUAUUUCAUUGCGCCUUCGCCUUCAAUGAAAUCCAUAAAUAAAUAAGGGUAGAUUUCAGACUCAAGAGGAGGGUUCCUUAUCAAUAUCAAUGAGACGGAUAGGCUUUCUUUUACAUUCCACAGGUCCGAAGGACUAUCCAUAUUAACAUGUCUGUCCUUCGCCUAACUAGUUCAUAUAGACCUUUGUUUUUCUUCCGCAGUCACUAAUAUGGAUAGUCCGGAGGACCUCCUUCAGCAUAAUCUAUGAAUGAUCGGAGCAAAGAAUAUUGCGGAAAAGAAGAAAGGAGUGCAAGCGAAAAAUAAUGGAUUGAAUAGUCCUUCGGACGACUACCGCACUUGGGGAUAUUGUUGAGAAAGAAUAUUGAAAAAGAAUGAUCGAAGAAUAUUGAAAAAGGACGGAGGAUAGGCUUUCUUUGAACAAUGUGGAUGUAUCAAAGAUUCCACAGGUUAAUAUGGUAGAUUUCAGACUAGUCCUUCACCUUGGAUCUGGGGACUAUUCUCUGUUCUAAUAGACAGAGGAGAGGUUCAAAGAAUAUUGAGAAUACUCGUGCAAGCGCAAUCAAUGAACAAGGUGAAAAGAACAAAAAAAAAAGGCGGUCGAUGAUCAGGAAGAAAAAGUCAAAAGUCUAUCCCAUCUUCUUCGUUAGGCGCAAAGAAGAAAAAUAAGGUGCAAAGAUCUAUGGCCCAAUUAUAAGGGGUCCAGAUGCACCAUAAGACUGGUCCGAAGGACUAUCCAUAUUAACCGGAGUCUUCAACAAGAUUUCCAACCCUGAAUAUUAAGCUACUGAGGCCCAAUAUUGCGAAGGAAGAACUGCGCCAUAAGACAGGUCCGAAGGACUAUCCAUUAGGGAAUGAGACGGAGGUAAGUUUGGUUUUUUGGAAAACUUGUUGGCGCGAUUAGUGCGUUUUUUUUGGAAAGUAACAAUUCUCUUCAUUUGUUUUCAGAAAACUUGUUGGUCCACGGAUUAGUGCGUUCUGCGCCGCCUGGUGUCUGCAAACAUAUUUUUCCAAAGUGUGUUUACCUUUGGUUAUAUGCUCCGAUUACCCCCAGUUUAUCUCAUCUUUAGUUUGCAUAACUAGUUUAGCUGUUUGCUUUUCAUUAUAGGUCAUAAAGCUUGGGUGUGACGUUUCAGCAUUUUCAUAUGCAAGCCUGCCAGAGAGGAAAAUGUUCAAAAUGUACUAUAGGGGAGGCAUACCAGUUGAAUCCCCGCCCAAGCAUUAGUUGUACUCUUUGCAAGCAACCCUUUUUCCUUGCAAUUGGCAGUCUUUAAUGCUUAUUGUAACGUCUAUUUCAAUGUAUUUCUUUCUUUCCCGUGUUUUAUAAAUAAAAUGUCCCUAAAACGCAAACGAAGGUUACGACAUACAUCGACGUUACCCACAACUCUUGGAUAUUGAUCGACUGACUUGUUCAUCGAGUUAGAACAAGUGCCGCACAAUCGUCCGUCUCGAGGUUGAAACGCUACGAUUGUGACAAGUGGUAUCAGAGCCAAAGUUGGUUGAGUGACAGUUUUGACAAAAAUAAAAUGUCGACUGCAAAACGAGCGAGCAAGACCCAUGAAGAACGGUUGGUGGAGAUCGAAGUGCAGAUGCUCCACCUGAUGGAAGUUCCUGAUUCCAUCCGGUUCUUGGAAUAGCGGCUUGAGGAUAUUGCCAAGAAAGCUGAUGGCAUUGAAGCCGUGUCCGGUCACCUUGACGGACUACCCAUCCAAGAGUUACUGACUAGAGUCGACACUCUAGAGUCCCGAGUUAUGAGAACGGGAAAUGUCACCUACGAGCGUGGGGACAGUUCAUCGGGCUCUGUUGCCCAGAUGGAAGAAAGAGUUAUGGAGCUUGAUAACUCGCAAAAGAACAUGUUGGAGAUGAUGAGCGGCAUGACAAAGGAUUUUCGAGCAACGCUGGAGGAGCCAUUCUUGUGGGCAGAAUCAAGAUUCCUAAGCCCAAGCCCUUCUGUGGGGCGAGAGAUGCCAAGGCGUUGGAAAACUUUAUCUUUGAUGUCGAGCAGUAUUUCAAAGCCUCGAACACAAUUACUGAAGAGGCCAAGGUGACGUUGGCAACCAUGCAUUUGUCAGAAGAUGCGAAGUUAUGGUGGAGGUCCCGAUACAUGGACAUUCAAGAAGGGCAUUGCACAAUCGACACGUGGGAUGCCCUAAAAGGAGAACUCUGUUCGCAAUUUUCCCUGAGAAUGUCGAAAUUCUGGCCCGACAGAAGCUGCAUGAAUUGAAGCACACGGGGAACAUUCAGGACUACGUGAAACAGAUUGUGGGGGUAAUGUUGGAUACACGCGACAUGAUCGAAAAAGAUAAAAUAUUCAGCUUUGUUGAAGGGUUGAAGCCAUGGGCAAGGACUAAGCUAUACGAGCAGAAAGUCCAAGACCUCGUGUCAGCCUAUGCAACAGCUGAACGUUUGUUUGAUCUGUCUAAUGACGUUCAAGAGACAAGACAUCAUUGAAGCUCUUCACCUGGAAGAGACAGAAACAGCCGACUGAAUUCUCCCGAAGCUGUCAGUAGAAAUAAAAGUCCUGGUAGAGACCGCAAGCCCUUCCAGUCAAAUACGGGGAACACCAGGCAAAGGCCCACUAGUCAAAGGACCUCCCACACUCCUAUCAGUUGCUACAUUUGUAACAGGCCACAUCGGACAAGGGAAUGUCCGGAUAAAGCGGCCUUCUACGCCUUCCAGGCCUCUCUGGCUACAGACUUAGGUGACAAGUUGGGUCAACCAGAGAAUGAAGGUGGGUAGGUGGAGGAAGUCCAAAACGUUAGAGUAGGGGCCAUAAGACUUUGUCGUUCCUUCAGAAGAAAGCGGGGGAGACAAGUGGUCGUACAAAAGGGGGCCUAAUAUAUGUGGACACCUGGAUCAACCGAAGGCAUGCAAAGAGCACUAUGGUUGACUCCAGUGCAACCCAUAAUUUUAUAACGGUGGCGGAAGCCAGACGAUUGAACCUUCACUAGAAGAAGGAUACAGAAAAGAUGAAGGCCGUAAAUUCUACAGCUUUACCCGUCGUCGGAGUAGUGAAACGAGCGGUGAUACAGUUGGAAAGAUGGAACGGCCUUGUUGACUUUGUGGUUGUGGGCAUGGAUGACUUUGAUGUAGUUCUCGGAAUGGAAUUCCUUCUCGAACAUCAAGUGAUCAUGAUGCCUGCACCAAAUGUCGGUGAUCACGGGAUCUACCCCCACCGUUAUGCAGAUACCCCCACCAUUAUGCAGAUAGAACUCCGGCAACCCAAAGGAUUGAGAAUGGUCUCGACCAUGCAACUGAGGGCCAUAUUAGGAAGACACAAGGCGUGUCGUGGAGAGACGUUGUGAUGGGAAACAGGAUAGUUUGCCCAUGUCAGAAUCGCCUACGAGAAAUGAUCAUCGUAUGGCGCAAUCAAAAUCAUCUGGACUCAGGAGACAGUCAAUGAGACUGUCAGGUGCAGGAUCCACUAGACCUGCGAGAGAUCCGUAUCAAGCACAAGACUUCUUACGGAAGGAAGAGAAUGGACAAUUGUGUGUCAACAACCGUGUCCUAAAGCAAGCCCCGAGGAGAGGGCCAACUUUUGAGUCCGUGAGUGGGACUCAGCCUGUUGAAGCUUACGCUAAGGCAUAUGGUCCUGUGUCAGGUGGCAUCCUAAUGCAGAAUGGACACCCUAUCACAGCUGAGAGUCAGAAACAAAGUGCCGCAGAAGGUAGUUAUACGAUGUUUGGAAAAGGAAUGCUGACCACGAUACGUAGUCUGAAGGAUGGAAGACAACAUUCCCAGGGGUCUACACAUGGAAGAGAGACGAACAACAUUGCGACCAACCGCUUUGAUACUCGGCCGAAGUGGGCUUUGAGUCAAGAAAAGUGGCAGAGGGACGUGUCAAGGAAUCCUUGCAGAAAAACUCUGUCAUUGAAGUUGAUGUAAGUCUGGCGGAGACCAGUCAGGUGGAAGAAAAGAAUGGAGUUCAAUUGUGGAAGCUAACCCAAUCUUAUGUUAAUGCUGCAAUGAGUUCGUCAAUGGAUGGAAACCAGUUUGUGGGUAUUUGUGGCGGACAUUCUGUACAGUCCCUUGUUGGUCCCUCCUAUGUUGGUAAGAAUCCUCAAGCUUGCAACAGUACCAAGAGGUGGAAGCUGGAGUCAGACAUCGUUCGGACCGAUCGAGAGGAAGCCUCGAAGUGGCCAGAAAAGUGGGCAGAUAAGAAGCAUCGCCUCCGUGUUGGGGGAGACCAGGUCAUCGUCAAACGGCGAUCUGAACUGACUCAGUUUUUGAAGAAGACUUCAAGAUCACCGCCUCGUGAGAGAACGCGAGGGACAAACAGAAGUUCAAGAAGUCCUUGCUAAAGAAGCAAGGAAAAGAAGAAGACCCAUGGGGGGAUACACAAGUUCGUGGUGAAGCAGAGGAGCCUCCUCAUGGAAGAAGCCUGUGGAAGACGUACCAAGACUGUGAAGCGUGGAGGUAGAAGAUCGAAGGAUUCCAGCUUUGCCAGUCGACGGGGACGUCAACUGUUUAAGUGGGGGAGUGUGUCACGGACAUAUUUUUCCAAAGUGUGUUUACCUUUGGUUAUAUGCUCCGAUUACCCCUAGUUUAUCUCAUCUUUAGUUUGCAUAACUAGUUUAGCUGUUUGCUUUUCAUUCUAGGUCAUAAAGCCUUGGUGUGCGUUUCGACAUUUUCAUAUGCAAGCCUGCCAUAGAGGAAAAUGUUCAAAAUGUACUAUAGGGGGGCAUACCAGUUGAAUCCCCGCCCAAGCAUUAGUUAUACUCUUUGCAAGCAACCCUUUUUCCUUGCAAUUGACAGUCUUUAAUGUUUUAUCGUUAUUUCAAUGUAUUUCUUUCUUUCCCGCGUUUUAUAAACAAAAUUUCCCUAAAACGCAAACGAAGGUUACGACAUACAUCGACGUUACCCACAACUCUUGGAUAUUGAUCGGCUUACUUGUUCAUCGAGUUAGAACAAGUGUCGCACAAUCGUCCGUCUCGAGGUUGAAACGCUACGAUUGUGACACCCGGCAGCCACAUAGAAUUGAGAAAAGCCUAUGGUUGAGGCAGCAUUAAUUUAUGAAACUUUACACGUGGGAAGAGAUGACUCUUUCUAUUCAAACCUGUAAACAUAGAAGACCGCCUCAAUGAACAAGGGAUCAUUCACAUAGAAUAAAUAUGAACAACGAGAAAGGGAAUAUAAGGUUUGAAUUCAGAGGAAAGCCUAGCUUGAAUGAACAAGGUGAAAAGAAUAUUGACAGCUGCACUUACGAGUCUUUCAGUUACCUUUCUGCCUCUUUAAAGAGUUCAAGGUUUUCUAUUAUCGGAAGAAUCAGAAUAAGAAGAAAAUAGAGAGAGAAGAGAGCUCAGGAGGCGCAAUGAAAUAUGCGUGAGAAGCGCAUUUCCUUAGUGGAAUACUUUGAUAGCGGAAUAAGAAGUCGGAGGCUCGGUCAAGACGAUCUUUUGAUCUAUUCUAAUGGUUCUAAUGGAUAGUCCUUCGUUUUAGAGUCCUACAGAUAAAUCCUCCGGACUGGUCCGAAGGCUAGGUUCAUACGGAUAGUCAGGACGGUUAGUUGGAGCCUUGUUUUUCGAAAUCUUCUUUGAGCCUCAGUCGUCUCAUUGAUAAGGACAUCUUUGCAAAUGAAGAGCGGGAGGUGCAAAGUGCGGCUAUUACUUUGAAAAGAAUAGGAGCUCCGCGGUUUGAAUUGAAUAAAAAGGAUAGGCUGAAAUUCAAAGUGAAUAAGAGGAUAUUUUCAGACAUAAUAUCUAAAGUCAAUGAACAGGGCUCCUAACCUGAUUUAUGGGGAGCCUACUACGUCCAUUAGUUCCGAACUUGGCUCCACUCCUAGUAGUUCGAACUUGGCUUUGCUCCUUCGCUUUUUCUCUUAUUGAUCUCUCUUGUAAUGCUUUCUACUAAGAAUCAAGAAAGCGCAACUUCUAUUGUUCGAACGACCUUGAUUAAAAAACGAUGCUUCCUUGGUCGUGUAGAACAUGGAUUAGCAUUAUUUCAUUCCUACAAGCGAUCCCCCAUCCAGGAUUGGAAGAAGUGCUAUAUGAGGACUUUGAGAUCAAAUAGAAUAUAUUUCUUUCAAGACCUCGUGAGCCACUUAUUUCUCCGAAACAAGAGAGAAAAGUGAUUUUCCUCCUUUUUCUCAAUAAGUCGACGACCUUACACCAUUGGGAUACUUCUUUGAAACUAGAGUACAUAUAGGAUACACCGGUGCUAAAACCUUUUCUCAAAAGAUCUUCCAAACUGUUGGGGUCCUUGCUCCGUAUGUUCUUCCCCCGGUGUGAAAGCAGUUGGUUCCAUAGUUUGAGAAUUCUACUGAUCCCAAGUACUCCAUCUCCAUCAUUGCAUAGGGAAUAUAGAAAGUCAAGAAGAAAAGGCAUGAGCAGAAGAAUUGUGUGAAAUAAGUCAAUUUAUCCAAUUGAGGCAUUCUUUCUUUUUCUUAAGAAAAUUCCCUCUAGACAUAAAUCCUUUCUGUACGAGUAGUGAAGAACUAUAGAGAGCAGUGGUUGGUUGUUGACCAACGAAAAGCAUGGGAGAAAGAAAGAUGUUGGCAAGGAAGCAUCAAAAUAGAUCAAUGAAAGAGGCUCAAAGAAUGAUCGAGGACUAUUUUAGUCCGACUAGAAACUAGGGAAACUAAAGACUAACGAAAUCUAGAUGAGAAUCCGUACAAUUAGUCUCGAGAAAAAGAAGAAAGCAAUAAAAAAAGUGAAGACAGAAAAUGAACCGAAAAUCUUCUUCUCUCAUAUUGAAUUCAUCCUUCUACGCAUCUCCAUGGGCUCGACUGAGAGUGGAGGAGAGGACGGGAAGAAUGAGAAAAAUAGUAAGGCGAGAAGACAGGUUCGAAGGACUAUCCAUCAGGGAGUUUGGACCCCGUAGUUAGGAGCAAAGAAUAUUGCGAAAGAGUCAUAAUAGGUACAAAUCUUCUUAGAUUAUGUUGAAGGAGGCGGCGCAAUUCAAUAAGCGAAAGUCAUGAUCCCUUUAAAGCAGACGUUAGGCGCAAAGAAAGAAGCUCAUUAACGAGAAUGAAAGAAUAAUUCACUCAUUAACGAGAAUGAAAGAAUAAUUCACUCAUUAACGAUAAUGAAAGAAUAAUUCUGAUUUCAUCACCUUGUUUUUACGGAGUUCAAUACUAGAUUGAAGACGGAGGGAAAUCCCAGAUUUUGCUAGGUUUUGGGCCUAUAAAGUAGCAAGAAAUCAUGAAAAAUCAGUCAAAAUUAGACAAUUAUCGUAGCAUAUCAAUAUGAGAAAAAGUAUGAAAAAGAAGCAAAAAAGUCGGAAAAUAGCAAUUCAAGAAGAAAGCCUAGGACAGGGAAAAGAAAUGAACACUUCUAGUUUGAGUUUAUGGUCCGGAUACUGACAGGUCUAUUCAUUAUUCCGCUCCUGAAUAUGGAUAAUCCUACUUCGGUUAAUUACGGAUAGUCCUCCUUCGGUUAAUUACAGAUGGUCCUACGGAUAAAUCCUCCAGACUACUUCAAUUAAUUACGGAUGGUCCUACUUCCAUAUGGAUAGUCGUACUUCAAAUGGAUAGUCCUCCGGAUAAAUCCUGCGGACGUAGGACCUUGGACCUUUCUUUCUUUAAUGGAUAGUCCUCCGGAUAAAUCCUGCAGACUGCGUAGGACCCUGGACCUUUCUUUGGCACUCCGGACGGAUAAAGAAAGGAUAAAUAAAGGCGCAAAGAAUAUUGCGAAGUGAAGCGCAUUUAUCUAAGAAAAGAAGAAAGGAUAAAUAAAGGCGCAAAGAAUAUUGCAAGAGCGGGAAUUACCUUUUCUCUUCGGGUUAGCUAAGAGUUGUCGGAGGCUUGAAGUCGAAUAAUUACUUUUACUUAAAGGUUUCACAAACCUGCAAAAUCUUCUCCAAAUUAGCGUUAGCGUUCUGAGCUAGCCAAGCAGUAUAUUUAAAAUAUAGAAAGAAAAAAAUCCAUGCAAUCCAAGUACACUAAGAACCUACAGCAUCGUCACGCUGCGUGCGGAAGGUUAAUUCUUCUAACUCUGGUAUUAUCGUUGAACAAGCAGUUCACAUUCGACUGCCCACGUAGUGGGGGAAGCUCGCUCGCUAACUUUGCACUUCGGCCAAAAUGCCGAAAAAAGGCUAAGGCCGAAGGAGGUCUGCUCCUUCGCUCAAGGAAAAAUUGCCCGAUUGAAUAUAUAUCUUGGAGCAGAGAGAGGAAAGGAUGACGGAAGCCUCAGUCUCAGUACGAAAGGGGCAAAAAGCUGGAAAAGGCAUACUGGCUUCACCUUGCCCUAGGAUGGGGUCCGUCGGAUCUUUUAAGGCAUAAGCUUAAUGCUGAGACGCACGGGGAUAUCCGGUCAAGGAUGGAUAUUCAAGACAAGGACGAAGGCUCUCCUUCACGCAAGAUGAUUACAAGUCUUAGGAGUGAACUUCCGCUUUACCCUUGUGGUAUCAUGAAGCGAAGGGCAGAGAAAGCGAGCGAGAAAACAUAAAUCAAGGCGGUCGUUGACUUAAAAUAGGCAAAAAGAAAAGACAGAGAGCCUACAGGUUUCUCGAUUUACCCUUCUUCUAGGAUAGAAAAAGGCACUGCCUGUGUGACCACUACAAGCAGACGUGACGAGCGAUGCAGGGCCACCCACGACCGCUAGCAAUACGAGGUAAAGCGGCCAGAAAGCAUACCAUAGGAUGCGUCCUGAGGGUAUUCACAUAAACAUUCUUCGAAUUGUUCACAUUCGGCGGGAUGUUCUUAGCCUUGUCUCCAAGUGAAUAAUUGAAUCGGCACCGACACGAUCGGACCUAUUGCAGCCUUCGGUUGACUGGUGGCAUUCGAUGGUAUGCUUUGAGGCCUUCCCAACCUGCUCCGUGUAAAAAGGUAGAAGGAGGCUCAAAGAAUUAUCGAAGAGCGAGACGAAAGAAAAUAGCGACUUCCAGUCGGUGAUGGGAUAUCUCAAUGUUAUCGCAGAUUCAAAGGCGCAAAGAAUAUUGCAUUGAGGCUCGACUGAAAGGAGAGGCGAAUUUGAGAAGAAAGAACUAUAUCGGAUAAAUACUCAACUGCCUCAGACGUCACUGGGACAAGAGCCGGAGAUUCUGAAACCUCUCGCAGCUUCUUUGCUUCCUUUGGUCUCGAUAUUUGAACCGCCUCAAUAAACAAUAAAUAAGGGUCCAAAAAAUCAAGGUCAUCUGAAACCCUUUUUUUUAUGCGCCUCAGUCCUAUCCAUUAGAACGCCGGCCCUCACCCUUUUUCUUCUUAGUGAGAGCUUGAGCUUUAGUCUUCCGAGUUCUCAAAUUCUUUGACCCUCUGUCUCAGUAUUCGGCAGAGAUGCUGAUGUUAACAAUAAAUGCAGGCUGAAUGUUGUAUGGAAGGAUGAUCAUUUCGGCUUCUUGUAGCCAUUGAUGUUGUCUAAUGCUUGGAGAGACAUUGUUUAAUGUGACUUUGGACAAGGUUACUGAAGAUAGAACUAUCUGGCUUUAGGUCAGUUUUCAGUUGCUAAGACAGUGAAGCUCUUUCAUCUUCCUGGUAAUACUGUCCCUUGGUUCAAGCUUCUUUGGGGUAAGAAGCACAUCCCUAGUCAUGCUUUUCUUUCGUGGAUGGCUAUGAAUAAGAGUCUGAGAGUCAAAGCUAAACUGUACAAUCUUUAAGUGCUUUCGUCUUAUUUUGAGGUUUGGAAGCAAAGAAGCAGAGCGGAGUUUGAUUCCUUAUAUCAGAAAAAGAUAUAGGAAGACUCCCAGAAAGAAGAAAGCCUAGGAGCAAGCAAAGAAAGAGUAAGGAUCAGAAAGCUCCUAACCCCUAUUUAUUUAUGGAUGUGAAUUGAGCGAAGGCGCAAAGAAUAUUGCGAAGGUUAAAGAAUAUUGACUUGAUAAACCUCUAUUUAGCUUCUUAUAUCUGAAGACGAUAAAGUCAGAUAAUCAGCCUCCGGCUGGGUCGGAUCGUCCAUACCUAGUUGAGUAUCUCUGUCCGUCAUAACGAAUUCACUCUUUGAAAAAGGGUCGGGCUUUGUUGGAGUUGACUCGGUGAGUACACUUUCAUCUUUACGAGAAGAAGCGCGAACAACAACUAUAUUAUUCAGCGACAGACCUGAUUUACCCGAUGAGUGGAAUGACUCGACAAAAGUCUUAGGACUCGGGACAGACGCGCCUCCUUCCUGCUAGAACUCAUAGGUCUACGGGGUUCUUUCGGUAGCGAGAAUAGUGGUCCCAAACGGAAUAGAAGUACUUUUGAUUCACUGAAUCAUAAUCUUUGAAAGAAGAAAGGGGGACGGAGGAUCAAUGAAAUUUGAUGAUGAUGAGUAAGCUCUUGCUUUUCUUGCUCCUCUUUCUGAAGUUGCGAGAGGUUCAAAAUAUCCUUAUCAAUGAUUGGAGUGGUUGUUCCGGUUGCAACGUUGCUGUUGGAGUAGAAGUUGUAGCCCUUUCGGUGAGGUGCAAAUGCUCGACCUCGACCCAUUGGCAUUAGUUGAGGAUGCACUAUCCCUGAUUAUUUUUUAGGAGAAAGCCUCUUUCGUCGGGUUUAGGGGAAAAGACUAAGAAUGAGGUCCCCUCCCCCCAGUUGAGGAACGAGGGCAAAAGCGAAGCCUAUGAAGUGAGUAUGAGCUCGUUCGACCCCCAUGUAGCAGGAAUAGCACCAUCUUCUCUCUUUCAUGAGUAGUUCACUGCACUCAUUAGUAGCUGGACCAAGAGGUUAUUCACUCUAUGAUCUCCUGGACUGGAAUAGGCGCUCUCCCAUAGCAAGAGGGAGCUCGACGUAGUCGGUCUUUCGACAGUCACAGUAAUUGAGAGAAGCAGCUGCCCGGGAGAGGGAGGUAUCGGAUUAGGCACGAAGAGAGGAUUAGUCGAAUCGACUGUAAGAAGAGGCAUCCGUUCUUGUGGCAGUAGCAGUUGCAGAAGUUGAAUCGUCAGUGGCUGUUCUUGUUUAAGAAAUAGCUGCAGCUAUUCCCACCAAGGCCUGACGAUAGGCUGAUUUCAGGAUUUCCUAUCCAUCCUCAAAUUCUUUGAGCCUUUGUUACAAGAAAAUACUCUUUAGUGACUCAAGAAUACCCUGUCUUAUGGCACCUCUCAUCUGGAGCCUUUGUUUUUAAACAAGUCAAAUUCUCUAAUGGAUAGCCUGAAUUCAUGAAUAUUGAAUUGAACCUACUAAAAUCAAAGGAAUAAAGAAAGAGCUCAAAAGGAGUCAAAAUGAGAAGUCCGAAACCUCAUCACCUACUCCCGGAGGCAAGGUGAAAUUCAAUAUGACGAAGUCUUAUAGUUGGGUCUCAUCCCCCCAUAAUCAAGUAGCAUCCACUAAAAAGAGCGGAGCGCGGAAGGACGAGGCGCAAUUGAAAUAUGCCUGAAUGAAUCUACCCUUUUUAGAUUCGACUACUCCGCUACGUGGGCUUACUAGUAAUGCUGAAGUUUCCUCCUUUUCUAGCUUUCUUUCUAAUGCCCUUCUUUAUGGUCAAGUGUAUGGUCACUUCCCCGAGGCGCGGAUCCCACUACACGGGAAUAUAUUAUGAUAUAAUGAACUAUCUUCUUUCUAAUAGCUGGUUUCAACAGCCACCGGGGAGGAGACAAGAACUCAAUCUACUGAAACAAGGUUUCAACCACAGCGAGAGCAUACCUCAAAAAAAUAAGGAAGAAAAAGAUAAAGGCGCGAAGCAAAGCCUAUGAAGUCAUAAGGGCAAGGGCUUUCCGUGAACUUUCUUAUGAUGGGAAAUCCUUGUUUCAUUUGCGAGACACAUUUCAUUCGUAGAAAUACCACUUCCUACUUCCUCAUCCCGACAAUAAAGAAAGCACUACGCGGGACAAAGUAGAUUCCCAAACUAAAAGGAAAGACUAAAAUCAAAGCUCCAGAUGAGUUGAAUUGAGGUGCAAUGAAAUAUGCCUUUCAGCAGUGUGCGAAUUCGCUCUUUCGGCUGAUAACCUUUCGAUCCAGAAAGCACUACGCGGAAGUUCCCCACUACGCGGCGCGAAGCGACUGCCCACUUUUUGAAAAGAAAUAAAGAGCGCAGAACAAGGUUCAGUUAAGCUUGAUAAAUCAGUCCUUCGCCUAAGAAUAAGGUUCAAAGAAUAUUGAACUCAUGAAAUCAAUAUCCCUGUCUUAUGGGGCCUUCGUAGCUUAAUAAUGGGGAUCUGGUUCAAUUAUAAGGCUCAAAGAAGAUUGAGAAAGAAUAUUGCAAAAUCAAGGCGGCAAAGAAAAGGUGAAUAUGGAUUCGUACGAUUAGACUUGACUGAGAAUGGAAUUGCUUUAGCUAUCUUUUUUUUCCGUCUUUCAAGGUGGAAGCUAAAUCAGAAUAGUUUCUAGUUGAAGGCAAGCAAGCUAGGGUUGGUUCGUAUUGACAAAGAGCUGGACUUCUAAACUUUCAAUGGGUACUGGAGUACUACUUUGUCAAUCGAUGCUUAAUACUAUCUUUACGCAAAUAAAGGCCGAAGAAUGAGGCUAAGUCUUCUAUUUAGUGGUCUCGCUUUGCACCUUGCUGAUCUCAUUUCAAAAAUGCUUCGCCUGCCUCUUCUUGGAUUCCGUGCACGAGUAAGUACCCGUAAAUCGUAAAGAAAGAGGGGGGGUAGUUACCUGCUCUUUCAUCGAGAUUGGCGAAUUACGGUAGAAGAUAGAAGAGGUUCGAGGAUCAAAGUAUUUGAGCUUUGCUAUUACUUUCAUGCUCCUCUUAGAAGGAAGAUAAGCACGAUAAGCUGGCCUAUAUCAUUGCUUAAUUCAUGCUUUCUUCGUACUUCCGGAAAGAAAUCUCACUCAUUUCAUUCUAUCACAUAAUGAGAACUCUAGAAAAGAAAUUGCUUACUUCAUGCUUUCUUCGUAUUUAUUUCCAAUCCAUCUUUUGUCUAUGACGAUCGGUACGAAAGGAAGGCAUGCUCGCAGGGGAUUCUUAUUACUAAUAGAUGAUAAGAUAAUACGAGAAUGAAAGAGGUCGAGCGCCUCACCUCUGAGUCUGAUUGUUGGAGUAGUCUGAUGACUCCCACUGGUCGUCUUUCAACUCAUUAAAUCCCCUAUCUUUUAUGGCGGUCUUACCGGAAUAUCUACUUUAUAGAAUUCCUAUGAGACUAAGAAACAAACUGAGACCUCGUAGUCUUCCUGUUCCCGGUCGAUCCUAUGAUCGAUCUCAUACAAAGAUCUCAUCUCAUCGACUAAAAAGACUCUUUCUUCUUAGUUUGAGCUUGAGGCGCGUCCAACCCACUACGCGGUAAGCUUUUCCUCUUUUCCUCUCACUUCAAGACUCAAGACCUUACCCGCACCGAGUCAAUCCGAUCGCUACCUUUCCGGGUCGUAUUCUAGUAAUUAAUUUCAUUAAUAACUCAGAGCGGCGAUCUAAAUACUUCUUCAGCAAGAACUUCGAAGAAGGUAGAGGAACUGAAAUGGAUUCACUUCCGCAGGCAGCAUCCCUUUCAACGACGACUCCCCGAGAGACCCGCUUCAAACUUCCGAUUUAGAAAGAAGGUAUCUCAGUCUCUUACCGCGUAGUGGGCUGAUCGUGAGAGAUGGAAUCUUCAACCUCUUAUGGAAAUGUGUCCAGCGGAAGUAUUUACGUAAGAAAUUGAGAACCAGGCGAGAGGAGAGGGGUGAGGAUCGAGCGCAUUCCCUAUCGAUCAGCAUCCUCAACUCUACUUCAGAGCUAGAAAGGUUUCGGAAUUCAGAGGCAAGAGCAUUCCUUCCUCUUCUUUAGUCAAGUCAUUUCAUUCCAUUUCUCACUAGGUCUAUAGAAAUAGUUCAUGGCCACUAGGUCUCGUCAUAUUUUUUCUCAAGAGAUGAGAAGAAAGUUCCUAAUAGAAUAUGUUUGAAUAUCUCAACUAGAAAGUCUCGGAUUAACUCUUCCCAUAGCGUAGCCGCGGCGGAAAAGGAAGAUUUUCAACAGUCAAGAGAUCAAUCAGAAGGGAGCGGAAGAAUGGAUAUUGUCUUCGAUCUUGCGAUAAAAUGAGUGAGACCAUAUGCGAUCUGUCUCAAACAGAGAAUUAGUAAUCUGAGUCGCAGGGAAUAGGUUGAAUAGUCCGGAGGACGGGGAGAAGAAAAGAGAGGUUCCGAGGUUCAAAGAAUAUUGGACAAAGAAUAUUUCAUGAAUUGAGGUGCGGUAGUCCGUCCGAAGGACUAUGAAAUCCAUUAGUUUUCGUUUGCACUCCUUUCUUCUUUUCUUAGAUAUUCUGGGAUUGAACUCCGUCUGAAAUCUAGCAGAUUCAUUUUUAGCUUCUUUCAUUCUCGUUAAUGAGCACUUGAACUGUCUUUCUCAGGCGCAAAAAAUAUUGCCGAGAAGAGCAAAGAAGGAAUGGCGAUCAGAAUUGAGUCCUUUCAUACUUUCGUUGAGGAGGAGGAGUUUUUUCUUGUAUCAUAUUAGGAUAUUUUAGUAGAAUAAGAAGAAGAAGAAGAUAAGUACGUAGCGGGCUUUUCUUAUGGCGGAGCGGAGGAGUCCGACUAUCCACUGAAGAAAGUAGGAAAGCCUAAGGAACCUAAAAAGGGCUAAUAGGGGAAGGAAGAAAGCCUAUCCCUCCAGAAUCUUUGAGGACCGAAGGACUUCUUUAUAUCCCUAUUUAUUUAUUUAUGGGACUCCCAGAAAGGUUUAGUUCCAUAAAUCAGUCGGCUAAUAUAUAGGAUGAAAGUAGAUAGAGAGGAAAAGAAAAAAGUCGUCACUCUUAAGGAGUGCAAGAAGGAAUCUUUGAACCUUUUAUCCUGAUCUCUCUCAUUCUACAACUCAGUCGAGCCACUAUUCAACCUUCUUUUCGAGGGGACAUCAUGUCCUCUUAUCUUAAUCCCAUAAAUCAUUUAAGGCGAUACUGAAAGAAGAAAUCCAGCAACUUAAUCCGGUAGAGUCAAUUCGAGACUAAGACGAGUUGGGGUUUCGACCAUAGGCUUUCCUUCCAAACCUACUAUACUAAACCUACCCCCGGACUCAAGGCGCGAAGUGAAGCGGCUGCCCACUUUUUAGAAAUAAAGAGCUGAGAUAAUUCUUUUCACUCAUUGAGGUCGGCUAAAUUCAAUGGAUAAAGAAGUCCUUUGCUUCAUUCUAUAUGUCCUUAUCAAUGAGACCAUUAAUCAGUCCGAAGGACUAUCCAAAGAAAAGAAUAUCCCUGUCUUAUGGGGCCUCCGUAGCUUAAUAUGGAGCGCUCCGGACGAGUCUUAACUAAUAUUCCCAAUCAAAGAAUUAUCGAAAGAAUGAUCGACGAGUCUUAUUCCACUAAAAUAGUAGUCCUUCGGAGCAGUCUUAAUACUCCUAAAAUCAAAGCUCCAGAUGAGUUUCAUUCCACUAAAAGACGAAAGAAGGUAUCUCAGUUACCAAAGAGAAAGAGCUUCCACAAACCACUUCCACAUAAACUUCUGCUAAGUCUACUUCUGUUAUUGAUUCAACUUAGCCUUUAAUCAGAUUAGGACCUAGCUAGCCAACCUUAUUCCUUCCUCUUCCUUACUUUGUUCUCGCUUGCUUCGGCAACACAUCUUUGGAUACUGGAUAAGCUGCAAGAGAAAGACUUCUUCCGAUCGAUCAGCUACCCGAUUCCUCCUUCCCCGAUGAUAAGGUUAGCAGGCCCGAUCCUCUCCUAUUGAAAAAGAAAGCAGAAAUCUUUCAGUCCAGAGUAUUUAUCCGUAGCCCGGAGGAUUUAUCCGUAGGACCAUCUGUAAUUAACCGAAGUAGUCUGCAGUCUGAAGUCCGCAGGAUUUAUCCGGAGGACUAUCCAUUAGAAGUAGGACCAUCCAUAUGGAAGGAAGUAGUCCAGAAUCCGCAGUCCGCAGGAUUUAUCCGUAGGACUAUCCAUUUUCAGUCGGACUAUCCAUAUGGAAGGGAGCGAAAUCUAGCUAUGAGGACUCUUUGAGCUCUUCUUUGAGUCAGUGGCUGCCCUUCCAGAAGGAGCAGCGAAGUCCGCGGUUUCAGAGGUUUAUGUAGCAGUUCUUCUUUAAUAAGAUGCUUACUUUCUUUCGGGUAGAAAGGUUCACUCGUGAACGCACUACUACAGAAAUUGGUUUACUUGACGUUAAUACAAUGUCAAGUAAAUGUAUACUUGACGUUUUUAAAAGCGUCAAGUAUUCGACUGUCAAGUAUAGUUACAUUACUUGACACUAAAAAACUGUCAAGUAUACGUUUACUUAACACUGUAUUAACAUCAAGUAAUCGACUGUCAAGUAUAGUCACAUUACUUGACACUAAAAUAUUGUCAAGUAUACAUUUACUUGAGACUGUAUUAACGUCAAGUAUUAUAUCAUACUUGAUGUUUAUUACGUGUCAAGUAAGAUCAUACACAUGACGCCUUUUACAUGUCAAGUAAAGUCGUAUACUUGUCAAUUUUUGCACUUCAAGUAAGAUUGUAUACUUGACACUAUGUAUCCGUCAACUAAGAUGAUAUACUUGACACUAUUUAUCCGUUAAGUAAAAUAGUAUAUUUGAUUCUAAGAUAGUAUACUUGACAUGUAUCUAACGUCAUGUAUACCAUUUAUUAAUAUAUUAAAUAUAUAAAAAAUUUCAUUUCCUGUUUUCUGUAUUACGUACAUUCAUUUCAAUAAAACAUAUUCAUCGACAAAAUAAACUCUCCAACUAGUAGUUACACAAAAAAUAAUUUAGUAUAAGUAAACCAACAAUAAUUUUAUUACUCUCAACAACAUCGUCAACAAUUACACAAUUCCAAUCCAAUAUAGUCAACUAAAAUUUCCUAUAUGUGGCCUAUUCCAAAAUCAACAAAAUAAUUAUCUUAUAUAACCAAAAACAUGUGUGGUAUACCAAAACUAAAAUCUAUCCCUUUACAUCUAUUGCAUGUACAUAAGCAUAAUAGCUAUGAACGAAACAUUUACAAAAAAAAAAAAAAAAAGUUAUGGGCAUUCCCAUAUAUUAGUCAUUCACAAAAUUAAUAAGAUCACAUCUAAGGAUGUCUAUCAUAUGUACAAAGCUAAAAAUUUAGCCCACUCCGCUCAUACUUCAUCCAAUUCAAGCUGUGAGUAGAAACUCUUGUAUCAGUCUAUAAAACAUAAAAAAUCAAGUAGACAUUUGUUAAAAAUAAAAAUUAAUCAGAUAAGUAACUUAUUUCCAUCAUAAAAAAAUAAUCCCCUUGUAAAAAAUUCUACAUUGUAAGGAGGAUAUUGUAAACCUAAACAUGAAUAUUUAAACCUAUAUGAAACUAAGUACAAACAUAAAUUAGAAAACCUACACUAAAUAAAUAUUGUUAAUGCUCAAAAACAGUUAAAAAUUAACUUAAAGAAUACCGUAUAACUUAAGCAAGUUUCCCAGAUCAUAAUACACAAGAGUACCUAUUCAACUGAGUUAAGUGCUUCAACACCUCCCCGCAUCUGCAAAGAAAAACAUUACAAGAGUAAAGGGAGAGACAAAAAAACGAACUUCCUUUGAUCUUCUUACAACAUUCACAUUUAUCAAGCUCCACUAAAUCACUAAUAAACCAAGAGGACACUAUUGCUUACCUAUUUAUUGCAGAGAAUCUGGGUUCAAGACAAAAAGAACAAAAUAAUUAUACACCAAAUAUUUUGAAGAUUAUUGAAUAGAAAUGUGUAUAUUGUUCACGUGAAAAUUUCACCUACCAUUCUGCAAAUCAAAACAAAUUCUUUGAAUGAAACCAAAUCAUCGAUGAACUCUCACCACCCUGAAUAAAAAACCAACGAAAUCAAUCAAAGAAAACAAAUACAUUGAACUCAAAAAACAAAAAAGAAAAACUCUCAUCCUCUAACAUUCAGUAGUGAACGAAAAAGGGAAGAAAAUCAGAGGGGGGCGGCUUUUCGGUGAGAAGAAAAUCAGAAGGGGGCGUGUCCAGUGAGGAGAAGGGAGAUCGAGAAGAACUCCAGUGGUGAAGAAAUUCGGUGGGGGCCAUUCCACGUGAAGAAAAUCAAAGGGGAAGGGGGCUUUUCGGUGAGAAGAAAAUCGGAAGGGAAGGGGGACACGUUCGGUGAGAAGAGGGGGGCGAGAAAAGAAAUUUGGUGGAGGGUCGUCUGACGUGAAGAAAAUAAGAGGGGGCUUUUUAGUGUGAAAAAAAUCGGAAGGUUGCGUGUGAUAAGGGAAGAGAGGCAGCAUGUGAGAGAAAAUAGGAAAAAGGAGGGAAAAUGAAAAGAGGGAAAGGGUUGGGGAAAAAAAUUUGGGAAAUAAGUUAGGUUUUUUUAGAAAUAGAGAAAAAUGGAAAAUUUAGAGAAAAAAAGAGAAAAAAGUUUUAGAACUUUAGGAUGAAAAAAAUAAUUGGAAAAAAAAGGGAAAAGUUUUUUUUUUUUUUUAGAAAAUAGAGAAAAUAUAUAUUACUUUUGAUAUUUUAAUAAGUUUAUUGUAAUAAUUUUAUUUUAAUUAAUUAUUUAAUGAAAGGAGGGAAAUAAAAAGUAUUUUAUAUUUUUAUACUUGAUAAAAUAAAAAUGUUAACUAUACUUGACGUUAUUUCUGCAUCAAGUAAACAUUAACUAUGUUUGACGUGAAAAAAAUGUCAAGUAAAAGUUGAACUAUACUUGACACUAAAACACCGUCAAGUAAAUUCGACACUAUACUUGACAUGGAAAAAAUAUGAAGUAAAAGCUAAUGUAAGAUAAUUAAAAAAUUUCAUGAAAAUUUUGCUUUCUUUAAACUAUACUUGAUGUUUUGUUCGUGUCAAGUAAAAGUUCAUUAUACUUAGCGCAAAUAAAACGUUAAGUAAAAUCUCCCUUAUACUUAACGAGAAAAAAACGUCAAAUAAAAGCUAACUUAAAAUAGUUUGAAAAAUUUCGUAAAACUCCACUUUUUAAAAACUAUACUUGACGUUUUUUCUUUAAAAUGGUCAAUACUUGACAUUUUUUUAAUAAAAACGUCAAGUAUGUAAAAGUACCUAGUGUCAAGUAAAGUAGAUUUUGUAGCAGUGACGGUACACCUCUUAUAUGAUGCCUGGGGACUUUGUCCCUUCUUCUACGGAUUUCUCUUAUAUGAUCUUAUUCAUCUCCGUAUCGUUCAUAUAUUCAUUCUAUAAAAUCCCUAGCUGCCACAGAUGGUCGAACUUGCCUCUUAAGUGGCGUGGGUCGAUCCUCUUGUUGACUUUUACCUAGGAGUGGGGGGAAGAAGUUCGAGAAUAAUUUCUCUUCUUUCCCUGUCCCAGUUCUUCUUUCCACUUCUACUUAAGUCACCACGACUGAUACAGAUGCAAGAACAUCAGGGCGAGCAGGGAAGAGGCGGAGGGAGUUUGCACUUUUUCAUGCGGGUUUGAGUGAGACUGAUGCGCCCUAGGUCAAGCCAUUGCUUCGUCUUGUUCAUCACAUUCAUUAUGUUCACAAUUCCGGAAUCAAAGUAGAAAUACGAGAAAGCGCUCCAGCGGACUCUAAUUCAUUGGGAAUUCUAUCUUCCCGCCUCAAUGAACAAGGUGAAAAGAAUAUUAAAUGAAUCAUUGAGUUAAGGCGGUGGAACCUAGGAGUGGGACCGGGAACAUGAUAGGCUUCAAUCUAAGAAGUGAAUAUAGUAUUGAAAGAGGCCCACGGAGCGAUGUCCGACUAUCCUACUAUCGAAGCCUUGAAGCAUGAGUCUUGAGGUUUUCAAAGUCUACUCAGAGGACGAGGUUGAAGUUUCAUAGGGAAAGGUUUCAUAACAAGCAGUUGUUUUCCGUAUCGAAUGCUCUUUCAUUCCUUAUUCGAAAGAAGGCAAAGAAAGUGGAAACUAAAUCCUUGGAUUCUUUCCCGCUUGAACCAUGAAAGGUUAGGCCUUAGUUACGAUCUCAUUCAAUGCCCUAGCAUACUCAAAGGUUCGGGGCGUAGUGGAUGGAGCUAGAAGACUACUACUUGGACGAGGGAUUUCCUUUCUCUUAUUGUAAUACUCCUAACCACCCCUUUUUGAAUGGGCAGGCCCCUCUGGUCGAGUUUACCCUUUUUAUUCAGGCCUAUCUGCCUCCGUUCAUGAAGGACAAAAUCGGAUUGAGCCCUUGUUCAUUGAGGCGUAUAAGCCCACGUAGCGGUGCCAUAAGACAGGUCUGAAGGCGUCACAGGUCCGGAGGACCCGUCUGUCCGAAGGACGAGAUAUUUAUAAUGUUGAGAGAAAGAUUAGACUUUGUCAGGACCCUUAUUUCCGUUAUUUUUCACUUUCAAUAUUCUUAAGAAUAUUCAUUCAUCCGACAGAGCAAAGUUCAUCCAGAUCCCCAUAUGAAUUAGGCGAAGGACUGAUUUUCAAAGUCAGAGCUAUCCCUCAAAUUCUUUGAGCCUCUGCACUCAAAUUCUCUAAUGGAUAGUCCUUCAGACCGCUAGGAGUAAAGAAUAUUGUGUGGAACUGAACUAAUAUGGAAAAAGCAUUUCCUAUUGAUUUCUCCCCUGGACUGGACCUAUUCUGAUUCUGAAUUAUCCGUCGCUACGUUGUUCCCAUGGACUAGCAAAAUCGAAAUAGCGAAAUUCUUGGGUCAUCUCAAUGGGUUCAGAAACCACACGUUUCUCUGGAUCAUCAUAGCGUACUUCCACAUAUCCACUCAGAGGAAGGUCUUUUGUAAUGGAUGACCCUCGAAACCAUAAUAUGUUGAUAUACGGCGUAGAUCCGGAUGAUUGAUGGAAGAAACACCAAACAUAUCCCAAACUUCUCGCUCCCACGGCCGGCUGAUGGAAAUAGACUGACUACCGGAGAGAUUCGUGUUACUUCGUCUGCACUGGUUUGUACACGAAUGCGUGAGUUAUACCGAGUACUCAGUAAAUUAUAGACCACUUCAAAUCUGAGUUUUCUAUAUAUAUUUAUAUUGAUGUUAAUAUGUUACCUUGUAAUUGGAAUGGUGAUUUGAAUAAUCUAAUAGGAUUAUGUGUUUGGAUCAAAAUAUGUUGCAAGAGAAAUAGCUAAAUGUGUGGAUUUAGUGACAAAGAGGGUAUUCAUGUGUUUAUUUUAGUUUUCUCAGUGAGGACUCGAUUUUUAGAAGAAACGACCACUGUUCGAAUCAUUCAAAACUUUGUUCCGAACAAAAAUUUUGGACUUUGUCAUUGUCCUCUUCGUCGAAUGUGACAAACUUGAAGACAACGAUGAAACAUUGAAAGAUUACUUGGAUCGAAAAUGUCCUGUGGGGUUGAAAGAUACCAUAGCCGCUAGCAAGAACUGUUGCUUGGUUUUCAAUAACAAAACCGAUAAUGAAACAAAGAAGAUUGAAUAAGUGGAUAAACUUAUAAAGAUGGUGCAUGAAGUUGUACAACAAAAUGAAGGAAAAGCAUACACUCAUGGCUUGUUUUCUAAUGUCAAGUUUGAGACCAAGUUGCAAGAUGAUGUGAAAACCAAGCUUGAACACACAAUUACAGUUCAAAACACAAGCAAAAUUUAAAGCAUAACAAGGAGCACAAGAACUUCAACAACAAUCUAUUGAUCAAAUUCGAGUCCUCAAAGACCAUCUAUGCAUCAAGACUUGAAAGGUCACUGUCACUACCAAUGCUUCCACAAAUUAUUCGUCAUGGUCGCUGCAUGAGAAAAGGUUGCAUUAUUGUAUGACUUUACUGUGCAUGCAUUCAAUAAAUAUGUACAAGUAAUUAGUAUAAUGAAUAUAUACUAAAUAAAAAUAUGAAAAAACUGUGAAAAAAAACUUAUUUGAUUAACUGCUAUAAAAAUUAAUAUUUGAAAAUUGGCAUGUGUUCUCGAAACUAAUAAAAGCAAGUUUGGAAAUGCCUUUAUUUUGUCUUUGUUGAGUGUAGUGUAAAUUGGCAAAUAUAGAAUGCUUAAUUAUGUUGUUAAUUAAUAGAAAAUUAUUUUAGAAGUUUUGAUGAAUGUCCAACUACAUGUGGAAAGAAUUAUAAAGGAUUGAAAAAUGAUUCUAUAAUCUAGCCCAAACAAGAGGUGGGUUAUUAUAGCUCACUUCACUUCUAUUUAGUUUGGGACCCAAAUAGCCUCUUAAAAUUAGGUUAACUCCAUAACUAAUAAGGGUCUUUAACUCAUAUAGUCUAAAUGCUAUAUGAUAUUACAUGAAUGAUCCAAAUUACUAAUAAAUUUCAUAAAAGUCCUAAAUGGACUAGUAUAUUACAUAAAUGUAGGCUCAAAUUACUUUAAUACCAAUUUAUAUUAUUUAAUUGAUUUAUAACAAAUAUCUAAAUGAAAAAAACCGUGGGAUAUAGUUUUGGAAAGAAGUGGGGUCCAAAUUAAUUUAAUAUCAACUUCUAUUAUUUAAUUUAAUUGAUUUAUAACAAAUAUCUAAAUGGAAAAAAUGGUGGAACACCGUUUUGGAAAUAAGUGGGGUCCAAAAUAAUUUAAUACAAAUUUUUAUUAUUUAAUUGAUUUAUAACAAAUAUCUAAAUGGAAAAAAUAAAGAGAUACAGUUUUGGAAAGAAGUGAAAAACUUUUCAUGCUUUCCUACCACGAAAAUGGUUGUCUACUCCUUUCAACGUGGAUUACGAUUUUUACUUCAAAAUUUUAGAGAGUUCGGAGGUGAAGAAGAAGACAGUCGACGACCGACAAAUACAAAACUUCUCGAACAUAAUCUAGUUAAAAACUUUGAAGUUAGUAUUGUAUAUAUUCAACACAUAUGAAACAUUAGAUAUAUUAUGUAUAUUUUAGAUAUUCAAUUAAAUAGUCAAUCAAAUGAAAAUGUAGUUUUGAAUGUGAUACAUUUUAGGGUUUAUUGAGAUUUCGGCGGUGAAGAAGAAAACUUUUGAUGGCCAAAAAAUACAAAACUUAUCCGACAGAAUCUAGCUAGAAAAUUUGUGCUUAAUAUUAUAUAUAUUCAAAACAAAUGAUUAGAAACAUUUAGUAUAUUAGGUAUAUUUUAAAUAUUCGAUUAAAUAGACAAACAAAUGAAAAUAUAUGAAACAUUUGGUAUAUUAGGUAUAUUUUAAAUAUUUGAUUAAAUAGACAAACAAAUGAAAAAUUAGUUUUGAAUGUGAUACAUUCUAGAGUUUAUUAAGAAUUCAACGUUGAAAAAGAACGGUCAUCCUAUCAAAAAAAUAAUAGAACUAUAUAUAUAAUAUGAGGUAUAUAUAUAUAAACAUAGAACAUAACUAUUAUAGAUUACGGAUAUAUUAAAGUAUAAUGUAAUCAAAUACAUUUAUAAAGGAAAAAUAUGUAUGUAUGAUCAUGUCGUUUACUACCGUUUUAGUAAUAUUUAUUCUACAAACACAAAUUAUGUAGGAAUUAUGUAUAAGGUAUUAUUGUAUAUAAUAUGAGGUAUAUAUAUACUAAAUAACAUAUAUGAAUUAAAGUGUAUAUUUUAUUAGUGAAAGGUUCUUAUAUCAAUUUGUUUAUGAUUUUUAUUUAAAUAUUCAUAUAUUAUGUAGUAAAUAAUACGUUAUGUUUGAAAUAAUAUUGAUUAUGUAUUAAAGUUGCCCAUUAGACAGUUUUUUAAUAAAAUAUACCUAUUAUAUUAAUAUAGAAAAUGGGAGGAAAUCGUGCAACAUUAAAAUAGGAAACUUCUUUACCAUUUUCUCACUUUCCAUAUUCAACGAAAAGCUUGCCAUUUCGACAGUCAAUGACAUAUACAACAUAUUAUAUAAUGCGAUAAUAUUAUAAAACUAGUAUAAUCAUAAAUAAGAUGUGAUAUAUAUUUAAGGGAAAUAUUAAAAAACUGAUAAAUUCAUAAUAGAAUAACGUUAAAAUAAGGAGAAUAUUGUUAAUAUAUAAUAUAUAUACGCAUAUGAUAUACUCAUAAUGAACUAAUUUUAAAUGGGUAAAAUAACAAAUGACAUAUUUAUGUUAUUCUUCAUAUAAAACAUCAACUAAAAGUAUUAUAUCUCACGGUUAAUAUAUAAAACUAUUAUAAAUGUAAACAAGAUGUGAUAUAUAUAUAUAUAUAAUAAAUCACAUAUACAACCUAUUAUAUCAUCCGAUAAUAUUCUAAAAUUAGUAUAAUCAUAAAUAGUAUGUGAUAUAUGUUUAAAGGGAAUAUUAAAAAACUGGUAAAAUCAAAAUAGAAUAACAUUAAAAUAAGAGGAAUAUUGUUAAUAUAUACUAUAUAUACGCAUAUGAUAUACUCAGAAUGAACUAAUUUUAAAUGGGCAAAAUAACAAAUGACUGUGGAUUUUAUCUUAUCUUCAGGUGAUGGACAAUUGUAUAUGACGGCGAUUUGUUAAGAUUCUGCAGCUUACGGUUAUGAUAAAUUUGAAUACAAAUUUAUAAAACAAUGUAAUAAGAAGUUCAAAUGAUGGAGAAGAAUAGCAAAAAAAAGCUGUCGGCGAUGGAGAAGAUAAUGUAAUGGCUGCCAGAGAGAGUGAACAAUUAGGUUAAGUUAUAUUUUUAGAAAGAAUAAUUAAAUAGUUUAUUACAAAAUAAAGUAAAAUUACAAUUAUUAUAAUAUAUUCUGAUUUAUAAUUAAUUUAAAAGAUACUUGAAAUUAUUAACAUAUUAAGGUCUUUUGUUUAAAAGUUUCAACUAAUAAUAAUGAUAGUUCUCAUUAACCAAUUGACAAAUGAUUGAUAUUGUCAAAUAAUCGAUAUUGUCAAAUGAUCGAUAUGUGCAAGUGCACAUUUCAAUUAUAAUAUAGUAAAACGUUCUUAGAGAUCGAGCUAGUAUCCUUUUAAGAGGGAUCAAAUUAACAAAUUAAUUUAUUGAUUUUAGGAUUAGAUGUGUUUUAAGGAUAAAAACAAUGAUUAGAAACUAAUAAAAGAUCCCUAAAAGACAAAUAUGAAAUCUCAAAGAAUAAAAAAUGCUCCAAAAUUGUAUUUGAUUUCACUGUUCAAUCCAUAAAAUCAUGAUGUGUAUAGGUUAUAUGAAAACUAGUGUCAGUAUGUGUUCAGCUCAAGUUGUUGACUUUUGAAAAAAAUAUCUUUCCAUUCAAACAUAUACAUAGUUUGGUUGGUAGUUUUUCUUCAAAAUUAUUAUUUUGAGAAAACAAAUACAAUUUCUUUUUUAGGUAAUCCAAUAUCCUCGAGUAUAUUUAAAUAUGGAAAUAUUAUUUCCAUAUUAGAAGAGAUACUAAAAGAUCUUAUUAUAACAUCAUUAGAGUCCCAUCAUUUUCUCUAAAUAUCUCUUUUGUGGUGAAAGAUUUGGAAUUGCACAUCAAUCAUUUUGGAAUGGGUAAUUGAUCACCCUAUUUUUCAAAAAAUAAGAAAGAUAAAAAAUAGUUAUUUUUUUUAAAGAUAUAUUUGAAAGUGUUGAGUUUAUGGAAGGUAUUAGUACUUAUACAACCACAAACAUUUGAUUUUUGUUAUCUAAAUUAUUUUAAUAAAAAUGUUUUUUUUUUUUUGAAGUUUAUGCUUAUUAAAAAUGCUUAUUUAAAAAAUGUUAAUGAAAUUUUAAAAAAUAAAAUCUAAUUAAACACUUCUGAGAUAGAGAGGUUUCCCUUGACUACCCGAGCGUAGAUAAACACUUCUGAGAUUUGGUUGGUAAUCCCAAGUUCGUGUGCAGUUGAUUAUUUUUUAAAUUUUGUAUAGUUGAAUAAUAUUUGAAUUUUAAAUUUUCAUCUAUGUGAUAUUUACUCAUUUCAAACUUUUUGAAUAUGCAUGUUUAUUUAUUAUUCUGCCGUCUCUCUAUUGUAUUUUAAAAUUUAGAAUAUGUGUAUUUAUAUUAUUUGAAAUUGAAAAUUUAACUUUUGCUCUUACAGUAGGCUUUAACUCUUUGUUUGUCCGUGUUGUAGGUGAGAGAGAAGGAAAAGUUCCAUUGUUUGAUUGAAUUGGAAUUGUUUCGUGCAUGGGGUGUCAUACAUAAUUCCACUUAUUACUAGUUGAAGGUCUUCUUUGCCUCUGUCUUCUUCCCCAUCUCCCCAAGUUGUUCUAACCUUUUUAUAUCUACCUAUUACAUGUCAAAAGGUUGUUUCGCUCUUCAAUGUUUUGAAACAAGUUCAUUAUGAAAAUCUCUCACAAGCAAACGUCAUGUGCAUUAUGAAUAAUUUCAUCUCAAAAAAAUUGUUUGAGAGGUUUCAAAAGUGUAUCGAAACUAAUAAUUUUAAUGAAUAAAAAAAUAAUUCUUCGUUAGAUUCUUACAUUUUAUUUCAACGAAUAAAAUUUAGGAAAAUUUUUAAAAAUAGCAAAUUUUACAAAAAUAUUUACAAUUUAUAACAAAUUUAUAGUCAUUGAUAUGCUAUAACGAUAGUUACUAGUAAAUAUUUUAAUUUAUUUUGUUAUUUUUAAAAAUGCUCAUAAAAUAUUAUAGUGAGGGAACAAUGAUGAAUCACAUAGUUUUCUUGUGGUGAUGUCGCUUUUUAUCCCUCUUUACAUUCUAAAAUCUCAAAUACAAAUCAUAAAACAAGUAGAUAUACAUUCAAUUAACAUGAUUUUGAUUCUAAUAAAUUAGAAAGACAAAAAUAACUAACUAAUUAUGGAAAAGUAAUAUUUUAACAUGAAUUAUUGAUUUUUAAUUAGAGGUAAUUUUAAAAUAAAUAAAAUAAAAGAAAAUAUUACAAAUCAAAUCUAAACUAACUUUGAUUUUACUUCUUUAAUUGCAAUAUAACAUAGAUACAUUGGCUAUGAAGUGCAAUUUCUUAUAUUAUAAUAUUUAAAAGAUUUAAAUUUAAAAAUAAAAAUAAGUAAUCUCAAGUCCAAUAUUGGACCUGUGGGGCUUAGCCCAUCAAUUUAAAAAUUCAAAAUGCACACUCAACGGUCACAUUUUCCUAGGAUCAUCCUAUUUAAUGCCCUUCUACUUGUCAACUCCAUCGAAAUCCUUCAUUUCUUGUGGCACCGUCUAAAAUUUGCUUCGAUUGAAGAAAUUUUGACGCCCAUGACAGCGUUGAAAUUUCUUCAAUGCAAACAAAUUUUUUAUCUUCCUUUCAUCGAGGAUUUUCAUACCAUGUGAAGGAGAGAUCAGUUCCAUCAGUUCCAAGUCGUUCGUGAGUCAUCUUCUUUCCUGUGUAGUUUCAUCUCUUGAUUUUGGAUUGCUUGUUCAAGAUUUAUUUUCGAAUUUUGGAUUGUUUGCUAUUCGGAUAGGCAGAAGGUUUGCACGAUGAUAGAUCUGGAGUACCUGAAUCGUUUAUUGAUUCUGUAGUUUAAUCUUAUGAUUUUGGUGAUUUCGAAGCGUACAAUAUAAUCGUACUGUGUUAUGAAGUAAAUAAGAUUUUGUAGGGUUUUUGAAAGUUAAUUUAGAUAUUUCCUGCAUUUUAGUCUUGAUAGAUCUGGGUACCUGAACCGUUCAGGUUUGCAUGCUGUGAUUGUGUUGUUCUUUUUUGAUUUUGGAGAGAGUCCUUGGGUAAUUUUGAGGAUUGUUCUUUUUUUAGUUUUUUUUUGCAUGCAUUCAAACACACGCAUGGUUUUUAAACUGGGGUUCUUGAAUAUUUGUUGGUUUUCUCGAAUAUUUGCCGGUUUUUUUUUCUCAGAAGAAUUGAUCUUAUAUUUGUGUAUCUCUCUGUGCAACUUUAAUAUAAAGUUAUUAAGGAAGAAGAGAAAGGAGGAAGAAGGGAGAGAGAAAAGGUAGAAACGACCUAAUAGUAGGCAUGAGUAUUAAGAUGCAGCAGAGCCACCACUUAGUGGCGCUAAGGUUUAAUGAGCAAAUUGACAGUAGAAAAGGGUCCACAUCCAUACCUAAGUUACUAUUGCUCUGGGUUCUGUUGGUGGCAUUCAUUAGUAUGUUAAACUACAAAGAAAUGGAUGGGUGGUGUUAACAAAGUUAGAAGAAAGUAAGUUCUGGGAAGUAUGUGUGACCAGACGACAAAGAUGCUUCUGCCUCAACUUAGUGUCAGUGUCAAACUAUGUCCAGGCUUUGGCCAUUCUCAUUUCAUUUCCAGUACUUCAAAAUCGUAUCAGCAAUUGAUCAGGAAAAUGUGUUUCGAUUUCUGUCUUUUAUUAGUCUCGGUUAGUUAGGCUUAAGAGUAAGGGAUAUAAUUCAUUUUUCUUGUUUCAGCUAGAAAUUACGUCGAUGUCUUGAUUUUUAGUUUUUUUAGGGCUGUUUGGUUGUUUUUUUAGGGGUGUUUGGUUAGUUAGGCCUAAGAAGUAAGGGCUAGUGAAAGAGAAGCAUUUGAUUGUCCUACAAGUAUCUGAAUCGCCAAUGAAAGCAGAGGUUAUUUCCUCUGAAUUUCCACGAAUUGUUCAGGUUUGGAUUCUGUGAUUGUGUUGUUCUGUUGUUCUCUUUUUUAUUUUGGAGUGUUCUAGGAAAUUUUGAGGUUUGUUAUUUUUUAGUUUUUUUGGCUUGCCUUUAAUCACGCUCGUUUGGGAAUAGACAGGCUUCAGAGAAUGAAUCUCCUUUUUAAGGGUUCGUUGGGAGCGAAGUGACCAUAUGGCAUCCCUUUCUGCACCUGCUCAGUCUCUCUCUUGCCUUUUUCAUACUACAUAUUUUUGUUUCUCAAUUUAGUGUCAGUGUCAACCAUGUCUAUGCUUUGGCCAUUCUCAUUUCCACUUUCCACUACUCUAAAAAUGUAUCUGCAAUUGAUCAGGUAAAAGUGUUUCAAUUCUCUGUCUUUGGUUCAUCUCCGUUAGUUAGUCUUAAGAGUAAGGGAGAUAAUUCGUUUUUCUUGUUUCCCUCCAUGUAUUGAUUUUUAGUUUUUUAGGGAUGCUUGGUUGGUUUGAAUGCACGAAACAUUUGCUGGUACACGAUUCAAACAGCUUGCCCAGUCAUGUUUUUCUAUUUUUUUUUAAUAUUUUGGAAUUUUGCAUGUGUGAUUUCUGUAUAUAUUAUUCUUGCCCUUUUCCUUUAUCAUCAUUUAUUUUGAUUUUGGAGAGGUCUCUUGGUUAUUUGUUAUUUGCACAUAUACAAGGGUUGAAAAUUUCAAUCCCACCUCUCUUUUAUAUUACAUUCAUUUAGUUUUGGCUGUUAUCUAAUUGAACUAUUUGAUCAUCAAAUAAUUGUGUUACCUUUUCUUCUAGAUGUUUAGAUUCAUUUUUCUCACUAUUUUAGUUUUCUUAAUGUGUGACAGUCUUUGUUUUUUAUUGAACUAUUGUGUGGCAGUCUUUAUUUAUUGGUUAUCUUUAGUUUCACUAUUGUUCUUUUUUUAAUGUUUUCUUAGUUUUUAAUAAGUGUGACAAAAUAUGAAUUAAUUUUUUUCUUUGAACAAAUGUGGAAUUUAUUUUCUUUUAAUGUAGUUGUGUCCCCAAUAAAUUUAUUUUGGCGAUUUAACAAUCCAUCAUGUUCUUUUUCAUUUUUCUGUUGUAUUUUCUUCGGUUCUUUGUUGUGGUAUGUCUAUUUUUGAGACAUUCUUAAUUUAGUUUUAUUUCUUUUAGCUUCCUGCAUCAUUUUGUAUUAUGGAUUGUUAUGAAAUUUUGAGAUUAUGCUUUAUUUUGUUUUUUGGUCCUUUGCUGUGAUGUCUUUUGAUUAUUUCUUUUGAGUGAACAGUUCAUGUAAGAUUUUCUGCAUGAGAAUAAAUUGAUUAUUUAAUUUGGUCAAAGAAGUUCAAAAUUUACAUGUGAAAUUUACACUCAGUGGCUGUAAGGUUUAAUGAGAAAAUUGGAAGUAGAAAAGAGUCCACAUUAAUUCAUUCAGCCAAGAGGGCUUGGCAUCCUAAGUUUGCUCUGGGUUCUGUUGGUGGCAUUCAUCAAUAUGUUAAUCUAUUAGGGAAUGUAUGGUUAUAACAAAGUAAGAAGAAUGGAAGUUCUGGGGGAGUAUUUGUGACAAGAGGGCAAGGAUGCUUCUGCAUCAAUUUAGUGUUAGUCAAUCAUGUCUAUGCUUUGGCCCUUCUCAUUCCACUUUCCACUACUACAAAAAUGUAUCUGCAAUUGAUCAUGUAAAAGUGUUUCAAUUUUCUGUCUUAGGUUCAUCUCAGUUAGUUAGUCUUAAGAGUAAGGGAGAUAAUUCAUUUUUCUUGUUUCAGCUAGAUGUUACCCUCCAUGUCCUGAUUUUUAAUUUGGCUUCCUAAGUGUGCUCUAGGUUCUGUUGGUGCAUUCAUCAGUAUGUUAAUCUACAGGUGAAUCUAUAGUUAUAACAUAGUAAGAAGAAUGGAAGUUCUUGGGGAGUUUGUGUGACAAGAGGGCAAGGAUGCUUCUGCAUUAAUUUAGUAUCAGUGUCAACCAUGUUUAUGCUUUGGCCAUUCUCAUUUCCACUUUCCACUACUCCAAAAAUGUAUUAUCUGCAAUUGAUCAGGUGAAAGUGUUUCAAUUUUCUGUCUUUGGUUCAUCUCAGUUAGUUAGUCUUAAGAGUAAGGGAGAUAAUUCGUUUUUCUUGUUUCAGCUAGAUAUUACUCUCCAUGUCUUGAUUUUUAGUUUUUUAGGGGUGCUUGGUUGGUUUGAAUGCAGGAAACUUUUGCUGGUACACGAUUCAAACAGCUUUCCAUGUCAGGUUUUUCUAUUAUUUUUCUUUAAUAUUUUGGAACAUGUGUAAUUUCUGUAUAUAUUAUUCUUGCCGUUUUCCUUUUUCAUCAUUUAUUUUGAUUUUGGAGAGGGUCUCUUGGUAACUUGACUUUUCUUUUAGUUUUGACUGUUAUCUAAUUGAACUAUUUGAUUAUCAAAUAAUUGUGUUACUUUUUGUUCUAGAUGUUUAUAUUCAUUUUUCCCACUCUUUUAGUUUUGUUAAUGUGUGACAGUCUUUGUUUUUCAUUGAACUAUUGUGUGGCAGUCUUUAUUUAUUGGUUAUCUUUAGUUUCACUAUUGUUCUUUCUUUAAUGUUUUUCUUAGUUUUUAAUAAGUGUGACAAAAUAUGAAUUUAUCUUUUUCUUUGAACAAAUGUGGAAUUUAUUUUUCUUUUAAUGUAGUUGUGUCCCCAAUAAAUUUAUUUUGGCGAUUUAACAAUCCAUAAUGUUGUUUUUCAUUUUUCUGCUGUAUUUUCUUUGGUUCGUUGUUGUGCGAUGUCUAUUUUUGAGACAUUUUUAAUUUAGUUUUAUUUCUUUUAGCUUCCUGCAUCAUAUUGUAUUAUGGAUUUUUUCGAAAAUUUGAGUUUGAUCUUGUUUUCUGGUCCACUGCUGUGCAGUUUUUUUUUAUGAGAUAUUUUUAUUUAGAUUUAUUAUCUUUUAGCUUGUUUUGCAUUUUGCAUUAUAGAUUAUUUUUUAAAAUUUUGAGGUUGUUUUUUUUCUUUGAUCUUUUGUUGCGGUGACAAUUUUAAUUUAGAUUUAUUAUCUUUUAGCUUGCUUGCAUUAUGGAUUGUUAUGAAAUUUUGAGAUGAUGCUUUAUUUUGUUUUUUGGUCCUUUGCUGUGAUGUCUCUCUAUAAGACAUUUUUAAUUUAGGUUUAAUAACUUUUAGCUAGCUUGCAUUGUGGAUUGUUAUGAAAUUUUGAGUUUCUGCUUUCUUUUGAGUUUUGGUGAUGCCUUUUUACGAGACAUUUUUAAUUUAGGUUAAUUUUUUAGGUUGCUUGCAUUUAUGGAUUGUUCUGAAAUUUUGACUUUCUGCUUUUGUUUUUUAUGUCAUUUGUUGUGUGAUAUUCUCUUUAUAAGAUAGAGAUAUUUUUAAUUUAGGUUUACUAUUUUUUAGCCUGCUUGCAUUUGGUAUCAUAUAUGAAUUGUUCUGAAUUUUGAGUUUCUUCUUUUUCAGUCAUUUGUUUGCGAUAACUUUUUAUAAGACAGACAUUAAGAUUUAUUAUUUUUGGACUUGUUUGUAUUUUGUAUCACGGAUUGUGGUUUUUUAAAUUCAGAGGAGGAACUAGAAAUUGUUCUUGUGAUAUGUUAAAAUCUAGUUUACUGCAAAGAAUGAAUUCUAAAACAGAGGGUAUGAAUUCGUCAAUAAUUUUUCUCCAUUUCUGCGUUGAGCAAUGUUUAGCUGAUAUGUUUGUGUAUUCUUUACAUUAGUGCAGCACCACAUGCUAAUUUAGGUGUGAAAUGCUAAUUUAGAUGUGAAACACUUCCAAAGAUGACGAGAAAUCAAAGAUUGUCGUAGUAAAAAACCUCACCAGUUUUUCCUUUCAGGUUUUUCUUUUCUUUUUCUUUAAUAGUUUGGAAUUUUGCUGGUGUGAUUUCUGCUUUUCUCUUAUCAUUUAUUUUGAUUUUGGAGAGCAACUUUGGUAAUGUUAAGGUGAUUUAAGAAAAGUUGGUUGUCCAAGAAUCAAUAUUUUUAUAUUACCUUAAAUCUUCCUAAGACAUGUUGGGUCUUUCUUUGGCCUUUGUUAGUGUCUUCUAUUAAGUCUGUUAGUUUCACUUUAGUUGGGUCUUUUUUUAAUUUUAUUUUAUCUUUUAAAUUCCAAAUCCUACUCAUUUGGUCAUGACGAUUGAAUAAUCAUUGUUAAAUUUAUUUCUUGUUGGGAGUGUAGAUUUUAUUUUCUUUUUGGCCUUUGUUAUUUGCAUCUAUACAGGGGUUCGAAAAAUUCAAACCCUUCCCUCUUUUAUUCGACAUUCUUUUAUUUUUAUUAUGUACUAUUGGAUUGUUAAAAAAAUUGUGUUACUAUUUCUUACAUUCCAUAAAGAACCCUUUCUGAUGGAUUAUUUCUUAUUGAACUGUUUUAAAAUUUUGAGUUUCUUCUUUUUCUUUUUUGGGUCCAUUGUUGGGGGAUGUACAUCUUUAAUUUUUUUUUUUUUUUAUAAGAGAUGAUACAUCUUUAAUUUAGAUUUAUUAUCGUUAGCUUGUUUUGCAUUUUGUAUUAUGUUUUUUGAAAUUUUGAGUUUCUUCUUUUUCUUUCUUUGGUCAUGUGUUGUGCGAUGUUAUUUGCAUUAGGGGUGUUUGGUUGGUUGUUUUUUAGGGGUGUUUUGGUUAGUUAGGCUUAAGAAGCAAGGGCUAGUGAAAGAGAAGCAUUUGAUUGUCCUACAAGUAAUAAGCUUCUCCUCAAUCAUUCAACCAUUUUUUUAGUAAAGAAAGAGGCUUCUCCUUUGGCAACCAAAGUCCGUCCUUGGUCAAUAUAUAUCAAAAUAAAUAAGAUCCAUCUUUGGUAAUUUUUUAAAAAAUUAAAUCUAUAAAUACUCAUUUCAUCUCUAAAAUUAUGUGAUUUGUACUUUCUAAAAUUCCCUCGAUGGUACUAAUACACUCUUAUAUUUGUAUUGUAAUUAUCAUGUCCUUUUUCUAUGGUUUUUUAAAGUUAAUUUAGAUCCUUAUUCGCUCUAGGUAUAAGUUGAAUGGAAGAGUUUUUUAGCCUUGAUAGAUCUUGAGUACCUGAAUCGCCGAUGAAACAGAGGUUAUUUUCUCGGAAAUUCCACGAAUUGUUCAGGUUUGGAUUCUGUAAUUCUGUUGUUCUUUUUUUAUUUUGGAGAGUGUCCUGGGUAAUUUUGAGGAUAUUAUUUUUUGUUUUUUUUCGGCUUGCAUUUAAUCACGCGCGUUGGGGAAUAGACAGGCUUCGGAGAAUGAAUCACCUUUUUAAGGUUUCGCUGGGGAGCGAAUUGGCCAUAAGGCAUCCCUUUCUGUUCAGUCUCUCUCUUGCCUUUUUCAUACUAUAUGGUUGUUGAUAUGGGGUUAUUGAAUGAUUGUUGCUUUUAUUUUCAUAAGAAGUGAUCUUAUAUUUUUGUCUCUCUGUGCAACUUUAAUAUGAGGUUAUUAAGGAAGGAGAUAAAGGAGGAAGAAGGGACGGAGAAAAGGAAGAAAUGACUGGAUUGUUGGGAUGGGUAUGAAGAUGCAGUAGAGCCACCACCUAGGGGCUGUAAGGUCUAAUGGGCAAAUUGAAAGUAAAAAAGAGUGCAUCCAUUCAAGCUAAGAGAGCUUGGGUUCCUAAAUUACUAUUGCUCUGGGUUCUGUUGGUGGCAUUGAUUGGUAUUGUUAAUCUACAAGGGAAUUGAUGGUGUUAACUAAGUUAGAAGAAAGGAAGUUUUGGGCGUAUGUGUGACCGGAGCACAAAGAUGCUUCUGCAUCAAUUUACUGUGAGUGUUAAACUAUGUCCAUGCUUUGGUUAUUCUAUUUUCUACUUUCCACUCCUCUCGAAAUGUAUUAGCAAUUGUUCAUGUAAAUGUGUUUCGAUUUCUGUUUGAUACUUCUCAGUUAGUUAGGCUUAAAAGUAUAGAAAUUAUCUUGAUGUCUUGAUUUUUAGGGUUUUUUUCAGCGGUUUUUGGUUUUUGGUUUUUUUUUUGUUGGAUUUUGGCUAGUUAGGCUUAGAGGUGCAAGGACUUGUGAAAGAGAAGCAUUUGAUUGACCAACGAGUAAUUAGUUUCUCCUCAAGCAUCCCACCACUUUUCUAUUAAAGAAAUACAGGUACGUCUACGCUAUUACUUUUCAUGUCCUUUUACUUAAGAUAUUUAUAUAAAUAUAUAUAAAAAUAAAUAAGAUCCAUCUUUGGUAAUUUUUUUAAAAAUCAAAUCUGUGAAUAUUCAUUUCAUCUCUAAAGUUUUGCGUUUUGUUACUUUUUAAAAUUCCCUCCAUGUUACUAUUACACUCCUAUAUUUGUGUUGUAAUUAUGAUGUCCUUUUUCUAUGGUCUGUUAAAGUUAAUUUAAAUCCUUUCUUGCUCUUGGUUUAUGUUGAAGAAAUGGAAGAGUUUUUUAGCCUUAAUAGAUCUGGAGUACCUUAAUCGCUCUUGCAUUUUGUGAUUCUGUUCUUUUUCUAUUUUGAAGAGUGUCCUGAGUAAUUUUUAGGAUUUUUAUUUUAUAGUUUUUGUCGCUUGCAUUUAAACACGGACUUGGUUGUUGAACUGGGGUUCUUGAAUAAUUGUUGGUUUUGUUUUCUGAAGAAGUGAUCUUAUAUUUGUGUAUCUCUAUGUGCAACUUUAAUAUGGGGUUAUUAAGGAUGGAGAUAAAGGAGGAAGAAUGGAGAGAGAAAAGGCAGAAAUGACUUAAUUGUUGGGAUGAGUAUGACCCCAUGUCUAGUAGUUCCCAAGUAUGAUAUAGGAAGGCAGAGAGUCAAGGCCUUGUCUGACUCUAAUAGAAUUAAGUAGCUAACGCAACACAAUAUUCUUUGCACCUUCAGUCUGUGAAUCUGAGGAGCAAGAGUUUGGCCAGAGGAGCUAGUCUCGUAACUACGGGCGCAGUUCUAGUUCUUUACAAGACAGAUGGGAACUGUAGCUAACAAGUGUGCCCUGAGUGGAUUCCUACCACUACUCUUUCUACUAUAUUGGCAGGACGGGUGCCAAGUUAUUAGUAGCUAGGCAGCUAAGCCAGUAGUAGUUCAGUUCAGGUGCUGUUCCCAAACCUAGUUGACUACGUUGUAGCGUAGCGGUACGGGACAGAAAAAGAAUUGAUAGCGGUACACUGAACACAAAGAAAUUUGAUAGACAUAUGUUGAGAGUUCGACAAGUAGCACUGAAUCUACUAUCAGUAGUGAUUUAUAGAAGUUGACUCGCUUAAACGAAGAGAGUGAACAAAGCAUAGCGGAGUGAAGAGAGAAAUGGUUUCAUUAGAUAGCUCUCUCGAUGUCCUUGUUAUCUUUCCUAGGUAGAUUGUGACUUAUUCAUUCUUUCUCGCUGACUCUAGUUUCCCCGCCGUGGAUCCUUUCUCUGUUAGGCGCUGUAAUUUAGAAUUCAGAAACGUAUCUGUCUUAUUAUCUUUGAGUCAAAGCAAUGUUACAUAUUUAUAUAGAUAAUAAGCUAAACCCUAGAGACUAUGUAAAAUUACAAUAAAGGACAUAUGUAUAUAUAUAUAUAUAUCAUAACACUCCCCCUCAAGUUGGAGCAAAUAUGUCGAUCAUGCCCAACUUGUUGCACAGAUAGCUUAUCCUUGUUCCAUUUAAAGCUUUAGUUAGAAUAUCUCUCAAUUGUUCUCCGGUCUUCACAUAUCCUGUGGACACCAACCCAUCUUGGAUUUUCUCACGAAUGAAGUGACAAUCCACCUCAAUAUGUUUAGUUCGUUCAUGAAAUACUGGAUUAGAUGCAAUAUGAAGUGCAGCUUGAUUAUCACACCAUAAUUUAGCUGGCACGGUAAUACUGAAGCCUAUCUCAGAUAAUAGUUGGUGAAUCCAUACUAUUUCACACACAGAUUGUGCCAUAGCUCUAUAUUCUGACUCAGCACUCGAACGAGAAACAACAUUUUGUUUCUUACUCUUCCAUGAAACUAAGUUUCCACCUACAAAAACACAAUAUCCAGAAGUCGAUCUCCUAUCCUCACGAGACCCCGCCCAAUCAGCAUCAGAAAAACAUUCAACUCUCGUAUGUCCAUGAUCUUUGUAUAGGAUCCCACGUCCAGGAGCAGCUUUUAGAUAACACAAAAUCUGCUCUACUGCAGCCCAAUGAUCCACUGUAGGGGAAGACAUGAAUUGACUUACAACACUUACAGAAUAUGCAAUGUCUGGUCGAGUCACUGUUAAGUAGUUCAACUUCCCAACUAAUCUCCUAUAUCUCUCAGGAUCUUUACAUAAUUCUCCUUCUUUAACAAGUUGCUGAUUUGGCAUCAUUGGAGUGCCACUUGGUUUGGUGCCUAAUUUUCCUGUUUCAGACAACAAAUCAAGUACAUAUUUUCGUUGAGACAAAUAAAUACCUUUCUUGCUUCUCAUCACUUCAAUGCCCAAAAAAUAUUUCAAUUGGCCCAAAUCUUUUGUAUAAAACUGACCCUGAAGGAAAGUUUUGAGAGACGAAAUACCCAAUGCAUCAUUUCCAGUAAUAACAAUAUCAUCAACAUAUACAACUAGUAGAACUAUACCCUUCUCAGAUCGGCGAUAGAAAACUGAAUGAUCAGAUGUACUCUUCUUCAUACCAAAGCAUACAAGGGCUUGACUAAACUUACCAAACCACGCACGAGGACUCUGUUUCAAACCAUACAGAGAUUUUCGAAGGCGACAUACUUUAUCACUCUCCCCCUGAGCAACAAACCCUGGUGGUUGUUCCAUAUAAACUUCCUCUUGAAGAUCACCGUGAAGAAAAGCAUUCUUAAUGUCAAGUUGAUGCAACGACCAUUUAUUGGUAGCAGCCAUGGAAAGAAAUAGGCGAAUGGAAGUUAACUUGGCAACCGGAGAGAAUGUAUCUGAAUAAUCAGUGCCAUAGAUUUGAGCAUAACCUUUGGCAACAAGGCGAGCCUUUAAACGAGCCACUGUUCCAUCAGGAUUCAUCUUGACAGCAAACACCCAUUUACAACCAAUGGCCUUCUUUCCUGCAGGACGAGAUACCAAAUCCCAAGUAUCAUUAUCAUCUAAAGCAGUCAUCUCCUCAAUCAUUGCAUUUUGCCAGCGAGGAUGAGACAAAGCUUCAUGAACAGAGUUAGGAAUAGAUGUGGACUCAAGAGACGUAAUAAACGCAUAUGUGGAGGGAGAUAACUGGUGAUAGGAAAUAAAGGAAGAAACGGGGUAAGUACACUUGCGUUUACCUUUGCGAAGAGCAAUGGGAAGAUCAUCACUUGGCGCUGGAUCACAUGAUGAAGGAAGCAUUGAUGGAGGACAUGAGUCUGAAGGUUGUGGUGGAGGUCGUCGGGAGUAGACUUGAGAAAUCAACGGGCGGGAAGGAGGCACAUCAGUAGACAAGGAUGGUGUGGGAGAGGUAACCUCAUAUAUAAAAAGAUUGUCAUCCUCCCCCUGACACAAACUCGAUGGUGAUGAAGUAAAGGGUGUAUCUUCAAAAAAGACAACAUCAGGCGAAACCAGAUACCUUUUAAGGGUAGGACAAUAACAACGAUAACCCUUUUGAACACGUGAAUAACCCAAGAAGAUACACUUCAAGGAUUUGGGAUCUAACUUAGUAUGAUGAGGACGAACGUCACGAACAAAAGACACAACCAAAUAUCUUAGGAGCAAUAGGAAACAAAUGCUUGGUAGGAAAAAGAACACGAUAGGGAAUCUCACCAUUAAGAACAGAGGAAGACAUUCUAUUAAUCAAAAAACAAGCUGUAGAGACAGCAUCAACCCAAAAGAUUUUUGAAACAUGCAUUUGAAACGAUAAAGCACGGGCAGUUUCAAGUAAAUGCCUAUUUUUUCGCGCAACACCAUUUUGAGAUGGAGUGUCAGCACAGGAAGAUUGAUGAAUAAUGCCAUUUUCACACAAGUAAGAGCCAAGAGAAUGAGAAAAAUAUUCACCCGCAUUAUCAGUACGCAAAGUUUUGAUAGAGACAUUAAAUUGGUUUUUUAUUUCAGUAUGAAAGGCACAAAAAUGAGAUAAUAACUCAGAACGAUUUUUCAUUAAAUAUAACCAAGUUAGACGAGAAUGAUCGUCAACAAAAGUAACAAAAUAACGAAAGCCUGUUUGAGAUACAACUGGACACGGACCCCAAAUAUCAGAAUGAACUAACUCAAAUGGAGCAAUUGCUCGUUUAUCGACUCGAGGACUCGAACUAAGACGAUGAAAUUUCGCAAAUUGACACGAAUCACAAUUUAAAGAGGACAAAGACCUAAAUUCUGGAUAAAGUUUCUUCAACACGAACAAAGAUGGAUGACCUAAACGACAAUGGACUUCAAAAGGAGAGGGAACGACAGGACACGCCACAGCUUGCGAUACUUGAUGAUCAAAGAGAUAAAGGCCUCCUGACUCAUAUCCUCUACCAAUAAUCUUCUUCGUCACACGAUCCUGAAACAAGCAAUAACCAGAAAAGAACAUGACAACACAAUUUAGGUCAUGAGUAAGUUGACUAGUAGAAAUUAAAUUAAAGGAUAAGUUAGGCAAAUGUAACACAGAAGAGAGAAAAUGAUGGGGUAAGGUGAAUAGUGCCAGAGCCAAGAACAGAAGAUGUGGAGCCAUCGGCCAAUGUAACCGAUGGAAAAGGGGCAGGGGACAACGGUCUAGAAAAUAGGUGAGAAUUACCUGUCAUAUGAGCUGUGGCACCAGAGUCUAUGACCCAUUUGGUAGAUGAUGUAAGAAGACACUUUAUAUUACCUGGGGCAACAGUGGAUGCAAUCGGAGUAGAGGAAGAUGACGCUUGUAAUGACUCUUGGUAAUUCUGAAACUUAGCAAACUCAUCUGCCGAAAUAGUAACUGACGCCUCUGGUAUAUCACAUGUGGAGGCUAUCUGAGCAUGUUGAGAUCGUUGACUAUUCUUAUAUAGCAAUUUCCGACAAUCACGUUUCAUAUGGCCUGGCUUACGACAGUAGUUACAAACAAUCUCUACAGACUCUGGUUUUCGAUGAUCAGUACUAUUCCUCUGAGGUGCCCGAGGGUUAUUGUUCUUGCUAAAGAGAGCACUACUGGGUUGAGGAAUAGACACACUAGUCGGAGAGCUUUCAAUGCGAAGGACUCGAGUGAAGGCAUCAUCUAAUGAUGGAAUCUUGGAGUCAGAGAGAAUCUGUGUCUUUGCCAUUCCAAAUUCAGGUAAGAGUCCAUUCAGGAAAAUCAUAACAGCCAUCUUCUCUCGUUGAACUUGUUGAACUUUAACAUCAGGACUAAAAGGUAACAACAAGCCAACUCGGCAAUGAUCUUCUUAAGACGCAUAAAGUAGCUGGUGACAGACUCAGCUUUCUGUUCCGCACGAGAAAAUUGCAUACAAACUUCAAACAUUCUAUGCACUUGCUCUUUACCUGAGUAUAGAAAAUCCAAAAAUUCCAAAAGUUCUUUAACAGACUCACAGUGAUCAACCAAUCCAAUUAUCUCACUCUCAAUUGAAUUCUUGAUCUGAAGAUAUAAACGGGCAUCAUCACGAAGCCAAUCCUUCUUCUGCUUUGCAUCUUUUGGGGGAUCUUCAGUCAUAUGAUCAUCCAUAUCAGUACUUCUCAAAUAAAAUAAAAUUGUCCGACGCCAAUCGUAAUAAUUGGAUCCAUUUAACUUAUGUUCUGUGAUCUUAGAGGCCAAGGGAAUAACGUUGGAGACUACCAAAUUUUUUAUGUCGGCCAUAUUGAAGUCACACGUUGAUUGUAGUCCACUCGAACAAAGAGAAAAUCAAUCCAAACAGCUGCAAAAUUGGAAAAAGACACAAAACCAAUCGUGUAACCUUCGGUUUUCGUCAAACCCGAAUGUUAUUUGAUAGACCCAAUGGUACAGACUGGCAGGAAACAAUGGUUCGAGACAAGCCCAGAAGACAGAAGACAAAUCGGACUUCUCACGCGCUCUCACGCGCCUGUGUGGAUGAAGGUGACGAUGAUUCCGGCGGCGCGUGACGGUCACGCGCGGUGUUUUCCGGCGAUCGGCGAAGACAGACUUGGGCGGACGGAGGUGGUGCUUCUUAUGGUAUGGGCGGUGUCGACAAAUGGUCACCGGAAGGUAACCCAAACUUCAAACCUAAUGGAGGGCUCUGAUACCAUGUAAUUUAGAAUUCAGAAACGUAUCUGUCUUAUUAUUUGUUAAGUCAAAGCAAUGUUACAUAUUUAUAUAGAGAAUAAACUAAACCCUAGAGACUAUGUAAAAUUACAAUAAAGGACAUAUAUUACAUAAUAAUAUAUAUAUAUCAUAACAAGGGCCUCCCCUAUCCUUAUUCAUUGAUCGCUCUCUUUGCCGCGAAUCUCGGCAUGGUGGUUCUUCGCCUCGCAAUAUUCUUUGCUCCUCCUUCCUGGGCUUGAUUGGUACAUCAAGCAUAUCGGCAUUUUGCUUCUUCGGUGUGGUACAUAUAUCUAUCAAUGAAAAGAAAGUAAUAGAAUUCAUUCCCGCGUACUCGCAUAUUGAAUUGCGCCUUCGGACCAUCAAAGAAAGGUCCAGGGUCCGAAGUCCGCUGGAUUUAUCCGGAGUCCAGAGAAUUUAUCCGUAGGACCAUCCAUAUGGAGGGAAGUAGUCCGGAGGAUGUUGGAAUUUUUUGUCCUAAAACUCGUAGUUUAUAAAUCAUAUUCUGUUCAAUAAAGUUGUUAUUGAGAAAUUAAAUAUUAUAAUCUUAAAUCCAAUAAAUCAAGUUCCAAGGCUAUUUUUGAAUAAACUUGAACUUUAUGUGUAAACAUAAACGUGGAUCAAGUUCGAGUAUAUAGCCUAAAUAGUCUAUAGUAUAUGAAAUAAAGGUUGGGUGCCUUAUUUAGGGAAACUAUGGAUGCGGUCCACUUUGUGGUACAAACGAGGUGAUCCUAAUCGUUCAUGUAGAGACAUGAAAGUGAGGGCAUUCUAUGUAAAAUGUUUACAUAAGACUGAACCAUGAAUUAGUUUUUUUUACGUUAUAACACCGUUUACUGUUUAAAACUGACUAUCUCAACAUUUUGACUUUUUACUAAGAAAAGUCAAAGUUUGACUUUUGACUAGAAAUAUCUAAUGACCAUUUUACCCUUGGACUAAGUUAGUGGGAAAAUCCAACAUUUUGUUGGAUAAUCCCACUAACUCUUAGUGGGAUAUGUGGCUAUAUGAGAUAUAGACACCUAGCCCACUAAGUUCCACUAAUUGUUAGUGGAACAUUUGGUGUUGAGAUUUGGCAAAAUGAAUUGCAUGCAUUUUUGCAUGUAAUUAGGUUAUAAAUAGAGGUGUUUUCAAAUGUUGAAGAACUUUUGCCUCUUUUAUCAUUUUCAUCAUCUCAACCAAAUAAAAAAAAAGGAAACCUUCCAAUCCCAUUUUAUCUCCAUUACUUUCUACACCAAAAUUGGGUCCCACAACCCGGUUCUUUGUCUAGAGGAUAGCAGUUGAGUACUAGUGGUGGUCUCGGUUAGAAUUGGUAAGAAGAUAUCAAACCUUUUGAAAGCUUCAAAGGUAAUAUUUCCUAAAACCCUAAUUUGAUUAAUUUAUGGUUACAUGUUAAUUGUGGCAAUUAGGGUAGAAAUUCGAUUUUUUUUCCGCUGUGCAUGACUUAGUUCUAUCAGAGGAUUUAUUCGUAGGACCAUCCGUAAUUAACAGAAAUAGGACUAUCCAUUAUCCUCCGUCCGGAGUCCGCAGGAUACUUAUCCGUAGGACUAUCCGUAAUUAACCGAAGUAGUCCUCCAGAAUUUCUGUAAUUAACCGAACUUUGCACCUCUUGACUAUGAAUCAUAUAUAUUGAUUUUGACCGGAGCAAAGAUCAUUGCCCACGGAGCGGCGCAAAGAAUAUUGCGACCUGUGGAUUCAUUGAGGCGGUGAAGAAUUGCCAUUUUAUGAGCUUGUAAAACCCCUCCGGAGGAGAAGGAUAGGGGAGCAAGGUUCAAAGUGGUUUUCAAAGUCAGAGCUAUCCCUUAUUAUUGAGGGCUUUGACCACCUGGACACUUACCUACUCAGUCGCAAGGAUCAAAGAAUUUGAUUGACAAAGAAUAUUGCGAUUUUACCGAGUCCUUCGUCUCGCAAUAUUCUUUGCGCCUUCGAUGAGUCAGGUUAAUAUGGAUAAGUCCUUCGGACUGAUAGCGUCCAAAAAAUAGGCGAGGGCGGGCGGGCUAUAAGUAGGCCGUUUGCUAUUGCUAUAAGGGCUGCUCGCCUUUAUACGGCUUGGCUUCGCUAUCGCUCAUGACUUGUAUUUGUGGUCGGCCUAAAAAGUAGUCUUCCUACCAUAAAAAAAUGCCUAUUAUCUAGUUCGUUAAGCUUCGCCAAAAGCAAGAUGAGGGCGCUUUGCUUCGUAGACAAGGCUCGUCUAGUACUUGACUUACGAGUUCGUGUAGGACUUCCCCCUCUCUCUAAAGGGGCUUAUGCACAGAACUCCUUGUCUACUAAAGAAGCGUUCGAGCGAGCGAGUUCAGCCUGAAAUUGAGUGGUCUCCCUCCUUUUCCCUCACUGAGAUAUUAUGUCUUUCAUUUCCACUUAAGCUUCCCCGCUUUGAGGGAUUAAUUGAUUGGAUACCCGAGAACCAUAAUCUUUCCUAGGAACUGCUUCUACGACGAUAGGUGUAAAGGCAUGAUUAGUUCCACAAAUCUCACUGCACUGACCAUAGUAAACUCCUUCUCAUUGUACCAAAAUGGAGAUCUGAUUUAAACGACCAGGUACAACAUCACAUUUGACACUUGAGGAAGGUACAACCCAACUAUGAGGUAGAUCAGCAGGUGUUACAAUAAUACGUAGAUGAGUUUUGGCUGGUAGAACCACUCUAUUGUCCACUUCUAAUAAACGUGAUUGACCCAAUUCUAGAUCAUCUUCUGGAAUCGUAUAACUGUCAAAAGUGAGUGACUGUUCAUCGGAACUGUUAUAGUCAGAAUACUCAUAAGUCCGAUACCAUUGAUGUCCAAUAGCUUUGAUAGUCAUGGCUGGAUCUACUACUACCUCGUCCAUUGAGUAUAAGAGAGCAAAGGAUGAUAUAGCAAUGAACACCGGAAUGAUACUAGGAAAAAUGGUCCAAAGAAUCUCGAUAGUAGUUCCAUGAACUAUCCUUUGCGGUAUUUUCUUUUUAGAAUAGUGGAAAUGCCAUAAAGCGCGAACCAAAAUCCGUGAUACGAAAACAAAAAUCAAAAUGAGGAAGAAAAAGAUAUCGUGAUGUAUGUCUAUUAUUCCUUGCAUCAUAGGUGUUGCUGUGUCUUGAGAUCCUAAUUGCCAUGGUUCCGCUGCAUCACAAGGAGCAAUUGUGAGGAAUAGCCAUUUGAGAACAAUCAUUUUCUUUGGUUUAUUCUUUGACUGCUCUGCUCCCCCCCCCAAAAAAAGAGAGACUUGUUCUUGCUCUCCCAAUGAAGGAAGACGGAAAUCGCCGGUUGGGUUGGUCCAACCAAGAAAGGCAUGGGAUGGGCAUUGCUUGGGCCGAGUUAAGUAUGGCUACCUAUUACUCCUCACUGCACACUUGAAAUAUCUCUUGAUACUCCCCCCUCUUUCUUACAACUAGUUGCUGCAUGCUAUCGGAUCUCGAGCAAUGGGAGGUUACAAUUGAGAAUCCACACUCUCAUUACAUUACAUUUUGAUGUCGAAAAGGUCUUUUGGGCAAUGAGCAUUCCUUAUGGGCGUAUCCGUUCUCUAUUUAGAGAAAUUCUUAGAGCGGUGCAGUUUAUGCAUGGCGAAAGGGAGCAUUGGAAGGGUCUUAGCUCCAGAAUAUGAAGACGAAUGAAUAAGGAAGAUCAGAUUCAAGGAAUAAGAGGACAAAGGCUCGAUAGGAGGAAAUGAAUAAGGGGUCCGACGGAGCCUUCGGAGUACUAUAAAGAGGAAAGCCUAGACUGAUCGAUGUUCUUGGUAGGAACAUCCAUAAAUCAGGGGAGGGAGAUCGAGUUUCAAACCUUUAUACACAAAACUGAAACUCAAAAUUCACUUCCUUCCUUCCGCAAGGCCGAUAUCUUUCAUAGCAGGCAAGGAUGAGUCCAUUAGGUUCUUCGAUUGAUUCGGAAAAGAAAUGAGAGACAAGAAAAGAUCUUUGAUGGAGAUGAAAAGGAAGAAUCUCAAAUAGACCAAGAUCCAAUUUCGGGUCAUUUCUUGGUGAACAUGAUCUGCCAUAAUCUCUUCGAUCCCUGAAUUUAUGUGCCAGAAUAAAGAGAGAUUUGGUAGGAAAGUGGAAGAGACCUUGUGGUAUAUAAUAAUGAGAGGGAGUGGGAAAGCUGCUGUAAUUCUUUGGAAAAGCCCGGUUCUCUUUGUCUUCGAGCUUGAAUUCCUCAAUCCACUCUUUCGUUCUUUCAUAUACCUCCCCACCAAUAGAUAGAGACAAAUAGGAAUAACCGAACCACGUCUACAAAAUGCCAGUACCAUGCAGCUGCUUCAAAGCCAACGUGAUGCUCCUUGGUCAGAUGACCAAGAUAUUGGCGAAUACCACAUACGAUCAAGAAAAGAGUACCUAUAAUCACAUGAAAACCAUGAAAGCUAGUUGCUAAGAAAAAGGUAGAACCAUAAAUACUAUCAGAAAUAGUGAAGGGUGCUUGAUAAUAUUCCAUUCCUUGAAAGCUUGUGAAUACUAGAGCCAGUGAAACGGUAGCUACUAAAGCGUAAACAACUCGUUUUUCCUUCCCCGCGAGUAUAGCAUGAUGAGCCCAAGUUACGGCUGCUCCGGAUGAAAGGAGAAUAGGGGUAUUAAGAAAAGGGAUUUCCCGAGGAUCUAAAACCCCAAUCCCUUUUGGGGGCCAAAUACCUCCGAUCUCUACCGUAGGUGCCAAAGAAGAAUGAGAAGAAGCCCGAAAAAAAGCAAAAAGGAACAUAACCUCCGAUACGAUAAAGAGAAUAAAACCAUAUCGAAGUCCUAAUUGUACGACUUUGGUAUGAUGUCCUUCCAACGUGGAUUCACGUAGAACAUCGCGCCACCAUACGAACAUGGUAUAUAGGAGAAAUAUGAGGCCCAAACUGAGAAGUCUUGCACCCCCUUGAAAUGAGUGCAUGUACAUCACACCUCCUACGAUGGUUGCCAAAUGAUAAGAAUGCCUUUGAGAUUCAAUCACAAACCACUUUGCCUCGGUUGUAUGUAAACCCCCCCUUCACCCCCACCCGCUAAAGUGGUAAAGAAGGGCUCUUUGGGGUCUCAUUUUCUUUCUAUCUGACAGGACUAAAAAAUAGGAAGGGAUGGUUCUUUCAUUGCAUUGAUAGAAGUCUAACUAGAAAAAGAUCUUGUUGCUUUGAUCGAGCCCUAGGCUUUCCUUGGAUAGAUCCCUCUAUAUUCCAACUGAUUUAUGGCGUAGAAGGCGGGAAUAGGAAUCACUCAUAUUGCAUUGAGCCUUAACAGUCCGGAGGACUAUCCCGCUCCGUGGGAUUCUUUUAGCCUCACAAUAUUCUUUGCACCUAUCCAUCCACGCAAUAUUCUUUGCACCUUCGCUCCAAAUAAAGUAAUAGCCGCAACUCAAUUCAUUCAGCCUUCGCCUAGAAAUUCACUUUGCGACCCACUCCGUAAGCCCACUACACGAGAAGAAAGAAUAUCCUUAGCUAUUUAUCUUUAUUAUCUCUUCUCUGAGAAUAUCCUCUUAUUCUACUAUUAGAAGAAUAUCCUACUUUCAGUUUCUAGUCAAAGAAAGGUCCAGGCGCAGGCGCAAAGAAUAUUGCGAGGUGCAGUCUAAUGGAUAGGACUGAGGGCUCGACUGAAAGGAGAGAAGGCGCAAUGAAAUAUGCGAGGUCCAUAUUCCGACUGAGGAACUGAAACUUCCGCGUAGUGCUUCCCUUGUUCAUUGAUAGUAAUCCUGAAGUUUCUUCUUGGCAUCAAAAUAGAUCAAUGAAAGAGGACUAAAAAUAAGACGAAAGUACUUAUGACGGCUUUCCUUCCCAACAAAUCUUCGUUCUUAGUUAUUUGAUUCCACUUUCAAACUUUCUGGGAGUUGUCUUCUCCUAGGCUUUCUUCUUUCUGGCAGUCUUCUGCCUUGCCGUAGGGAGUAGGUUCAGGAGAACCAUAACCAUAAAUCAGAGAGACGGAGGCAUCAAUCACGCAAUAUUCUUUGCACCUCUUCCUUUAAGCUAUAUUUUUUAGGCUCCGGAGGCUCAAAGACAGGGAUAUUGUUGAAUACUAUUAGUUCGAGUCGCAGAGAGCAAAGAAUUUUCUCUUAAUGGAACUUAGCGCGGGUUAAUAUGGAUAGGACUGAGGUCUUAAGACUCCUAACUAUUAAUGGAAAGGACCCACGGAGCGGUGCAAAGAAUAUAUAGAAGGGCAGACAGGUCCGGAGGACCUGUCUGUCCUUCGGUCUUAAUACUCCUAACGUCGAAUAAGAAGCUGGAGGCUGGGUCCAGGUGCAAAGAAUAUUGUGUCCAUUAGAUCCAUUGAAUUAGGCGAAGGAUUUUAUCAAGCUUAGCUUUCUGGAUUCUUCGGCGGAGUGGGGCUUUCUCUAGUAGGUCUGGAGGCUCAAAGAAUGAUCAAAGGCUCCGAACCAUAAAGAAGAGAGUCGGAGGACAUCCAUUGACUUUUUCUUCCUUUCACUUCUAACUUCAAACCUUUCAUAUUCAACCUUGAAAAUAAAGGAGGGAGCGGACUACGGAGGCCAUAAGUUUGAGUUCCUCAGAUGUAUAAAAACAAGUCCUCCGGACGACCUAUCCACUGAAAGUAGCUACGUAGUCUUGUCUCCUUCCCCGCGUAGUGGGCAUUGACUUCUUCAUUGAUUUUCUUCUAUCUCCCACGUAGCGGUUGAAUAUGAAAGGAAGCCCACAGAGCUGAAGAUGGAGCGGGAUAAUAAAGAAGAAAGCUCAAAAGGAGGGAGCGGACCUCAAUGAACAAGGGGAGGACUCGUUUUCAUCCUUAUGGAAGAAAAAUCUCUUUUUUUUAUCUAAAAGACGUAGAAGGAGGCUCAAUGUCUAAUCUUUCUCUCAAAUCAAUAUCCCCAGUGCAAAUAUUCCAGCAAUAUUCUCAAUAUGAAAAGAGCCUUUCUUCUUUUCUUAGAUAAAUGCGCUUCGUAGAUUAUGCUGAAGGAGGAGUGGGCCAUGAUCUUUGCUCCUUAAUUUCCCUAAUGGAUAGUCAUCUGGACCUUUCUUUUUAGUUCUUUGCGCUCGUCAACGCAUAUUUCAUUGCGCCUUCGCCUUCAAUGAAAUCCAUAAAUAAAUAAGGGUAGAUUUCAGACUCAAGAGGAGGGUUCCUUAUCAAUAUCAAUGAGACGGAUAGGCUUUCUUUUACAUUCCACAGGUCCGAAGGACUAUCCAUAUUAACAUGUCUGUCCUUCGCCUAACUAGUUCAUAUAGACCUUUGUUUUUCUUCCGCAGUCACUAAUAUGGAUAGUCCGGAGGACCUCCUUCAGCAUAAUCUAUGAAUGAUCGGAGCAAAGAAUAUUGCGGAAAAGAAGAAAGGAGUGCAAGCGAAAAAUAAUGGAUUGAAUAGUCCUUCGGACGAACUACCGCACUUGGGGGAUAUUGUUGAGAAAGAAUAUUGAAAAAGAAUGAUCGAAGAAUAUUGAAAAAGGACGGAGGAUAGGCUUUCUUUGAACAAUGUGGAUGUAUCAAAGAUUCCACAGGUUAAUAUGGUAGAUUUCAGACUAGUCCUUCACCUUGGAUCUGGGGACUAUUCUCUGUUCUAAUAGACAUAGAGGAGAGGUUCAAAGAAUAUUGAGAAUACUCGUGCAAGCGCAAUCAAUGAACAAGGUGAAAAGAAUAAAAAAAAGGCGGUCGAUGAUCAGGAAGAAAAAGUCAAAAGUCUAUCCCAUCUUCUUCGUUAGGCGCAAAGAAGAAAAACAAGGUGCAAAGAUCUAUGGCCCAAUUAUAAGGGGUCCAGAUGCACCAUAAGACUGGUCCGAAGGACUAUCCAUAUUAACCGGAGUCUUCAACAAGAUUUCCAACCCUGAAUAUUAAGCUACUGAGGCCCAAUAUUGCGAAGGAAGAACUGCGCCAUAAGACAGGUCCGAAGGACUAUCCAUUAGGGAAUGAGACGGAGGUAACGUUUGGUUUUUUGGAAAACUUGUUGGUCGCGGAUUAGUGCGUUUUUUUUGGAAAGUAACAAUUCUCUUCAGUUUGGUUUCAGAAAACUUGUUGGUCACGGAUUAGUGCGUUCUGCGCCGCCUGGUGUCACGAACAUAUUUUUCCAAAGUGUGUUUACCUUUGGUUAUAUGCUCCGAUUACCCCCAGUUUAUCUCAUCUUUAGUUUGCAUAACUAGUUUAGCUGAUUGCUUUUCAUUCUAGGUCAUAAAGCUUGGGUGUGACGUUUCGGCAUUUUCAUAUGCAAGCCUGCCAGAGAGGAAAAUGUUCAAAAUGUACUAUAGGGGAGGCAUACCAGUUGAAUCCCCGCCCAAGCAUUAGUUGUACUCUUUGCAAGCAACCCUUUUUCCUUGCAAUUGACAGUCUUUAAUGCUUAUUGUAACGUCUAUUUCAAUGUAUUUCUUUCUUUCCCGUGUUUUAUAAAUAAAAUGUCCCUAAAACGCAAACGAAGGUUACGACAUACAUCGACGUUACCCACAACUCUUGGAUAUUGAUCGACUGACUUGUUCAUCGAGUUAGAACAAGUGCCGCACAAUCGUCCGUCUCGAGGUUGAAACGCUACGAUUGUGACAAGUGGUAUCAGAGCCAAAGUUGGCUGAGUGACAGUUUUGACAAAAAUAAAAUGUCGACUGCAAAACGAGCGAGCAAGACCCAUGAAGAACGGUUGGUGGGGAUCGAAGUGCAGAUGCUCCACCUGAUGGAAGUUCCUGAUUCCAUCCGGUUCUUGGAAUAGCGGCUUGAGGAUAUUGCCAAGAAAGCUGAUGGCAUUGAAGCCGUGUCCGGUCGCCUUGACGGACUACCCAUCCAAGAGUUACUGACUAGAGUCGACACUCUAGAGUCCCGAGUUAUGAGAACGGGAAAUGUCACCUACGAGCGUGGGGACAGUUCAUCGGGCUCUGUUGCCCAGAUGGAAGAACGAGUUAUGGAGCUUGAUAACUCGCAAAAGAACAUGUUGGAGAUGAUCAGCGCAUGACAAAGGAUUUUCGAGCAACCCUCGAUGUCGUGAGGAAUGAGCUCGCAGAGGUAAGCACGAGGGUGAACCUUACUAUGCGAGCACUAGAAAAUCAGGCUCUAGCUGGAGGAGCCAUUCCUGUGGGCAGAAUCAAGAUUCCUGAGCCCAAGCCCUUCUGUGGGGCGAGAGAUGCCAAGGCGUUGGAAAACUUCAUCUUUGAUGUCGAGCAGUAUUUCAAAGCCACGAACACAAUUACUGAAGAGGCCAAGGUGACGUUGGCAACCAUGCAUCUGUCAGAAGAUGCGAAGUUAUGGUGGAGGUCCCGAUACAUGGACAUUCAAGAAGGGCAUUGCACAAUCGACACGUGGGAUGCCCUAAAAGGAGAACUCCGUUCGCAAUUUUCCCUGAGAAUGUCGAAAUUCUGGUCCGACGGAAGCUGCGUGAAUUGAAGCACACGGGGAACAUUCGGGACUACGUGAAACAGAUUGCGGGGGUAAUGUUGGAUAUACGCGACAUGAUCGAAAAAGAUAAAAUAUUCAGCUUUGUUGAAGGGUUGAAGCCAUGGGCAAGGACUAAGCUAUACGAGCAGAAAGUCCAAGACCUCGUGUCAGCCUAUGCAACAGCUGAACGUUUGUUUGAUCUGUCUAAUGACGUUCAAGAGACAAGACAUCAUUGAAGCUCUUCACCUGGAAGAGACAGAAACAGCCGACUGAAUUCUCCCGAAGCUGUCAGUAGAAAUAAAAGUCCCGGCAGAGACCGCAAGCCCUUCCAGUCAAAUACGGGGAACACCAGGCAAAGGCCCACUAGUCAAAGGACCUCCCACACUCCUAUCAGUUGCUACAUUUGUAACAGGCCACAUCGGACAAGGGAAUGUCCGGAUAAAGCGGCCUUCUACGCCUUCCAGGCCUCUCUGGCUACAGACUUAGGUGACAAGUUGGGUCAACCAGAGAAUGAAGGUGGGUAGGUGGAGGAAGUCCAAAACGUUAGAGUAGGGGCCAUAAGACUCUUGUCGUUCCUUCAGAAUAAAGCAGGGGAGACAAGUGGUCGUACAAAAGGGGGCCUAAUAUAUGUGGACACCUGGAUCAACCGAAGGCAUGCAAAGAGCACUAUGGUUGACUUCAGUGCAACCCAUAAUUUUAUAACGGUGGCGGAAGCCAGACGAUUGAACCUUCACUAGAAGAAGGAUACAGGAAAGAUGAAGGCCGUAAAUUCUACAGCUUUACCCGUCGUCGGAGUAGUGAAACGAGCGGUGAUACAGUUGGAAAGAUGGAACGGCCUUGUUGACUUUGUGGUUGUGGGCAUGGAUGACUUUGAUGUAGUUCUCGGAAUGGAAUUCCUUCUUGAACAUCAAGUGAUCAUGAUGCCUGCAGCCAAAUGUCGGUGAUCACGGGAUCUACCCCCACCGUUAUGCAGAUACCCCCACCAUUAUGCAGAUAGAACUCCGGCAACCCAAAGGAUUGAGAAUGGUCUCGGCCAUGCAACUGAGGGAGGGCCAUAUUCAGGAAGACACAAGGCGUGUCGUGGAGAGACGUUGUGAUGGGAAACAGGAUAGUUUGCCCAUGUCAGAAUCGCCUACGAGAAAUGAUCAUCGUAUGGCGCAAUCAAAAUCAUCUGGACUCAGGAGACAGUCAAGGAGACUGUCAGGUGCAGGAUCCACUAGACCUGCGAGAGAUCCGUAUCAAGCACAAGACUUCUUACGGAAGGAAGAGAAUGGACAAUUGUGUGUCAACAACCGUGUCCUAAAGCAAGCCCCGAGGAGAGGGCCAACUUUUGAGUCCGUGAGUGGGACUCAGCCUGUUGAAGCUUACGCUAAGGCAUAUGGUCCUGUGUCAGGUGGCAUCCUAAUGCAGAAUGGACACCCUGUCAAAGCUGAGAGUCAGAAACAAAGUGCCGCAGAAGGUAGUUAUACGAUGUUUGGAAAAGGAAUGCUGACCACGAUACGUAGUCUGAAGGAUGGAAGACAACAUUCCCAGGGGUCUACACAUGGAAGAGAGACGAACAACAUUGCGACCAACCGCUUUGAUACUCGGCCGAAGUGGGCUUUGAGUCAAGAAAAGUGGCAGAGGGACGUGUCAAGGGAAUCCUUGCAGAAAAACUCUGUCAUUGAAGUUGAUGUAAGUCUGGCGGAGACCAGUCAGGUGGAAGAAAAGAAUGGAGUUCAAUUGUGGAAGCUAACCCAAUCUUAUGUUAAUGCUGCAAUGAGUUCGUCAAUGGAUGGAAACCAGUUUGUGGGUGUUUGUGGCGGACAUUCUGUACAGUCCCGCCUUGUUGGUCCCUCCUAUGUUGGUAAGAAUCCUCAAGCUUGCAACAGUACCAAGAGGUGGAAGCUGGAGUCAGACAUCGUUCGGACCGAUCGAGAGGAAGCCUCGAAGUGGCCAGAAAAGUGGGCAGAUAAGAAGCAUCGCCUCCGUGAUUCCCGUGGGGAGACCAGGUCAUCGUCAAACGGCGAUCUGAACUGACUCCGUUUUUGAAGAAGACUUCAAGAUCACCGCCUCAUGAGAGAACGCGAGGGACAAACAGAAGUUCAAGAAGUCCUUGCUAAAGAAGCAAGGAAAGAAGAAGAAGACCCAUGGGGGAUACACAAGUUCGUGGUGAAGCAGAGGAGCCUCCUCAUGGAAGAAGCCUGUGGAAGACGUACCAAGACUGUGAAGCGUGGAGGUAGAAGAUCGAAGGAUUCCAGCUUUGCCAGUCGACGGGGACGUCAACUGUUUAAGUGGGGAGUGUGUCACGGACAUAUUUUUCCAAAGUGUGUUUACCUUUGGUUAUAUGCUCCGAUUACCCCUAGUUUAUCUCAUCUUUAGUUUGCAUAACUAGUUUAGCUGUUUGCUUUUCAUUCUAGGUCAUAAAGCCUUGGUGUGCGUUUCGACAUUUUCAUAUGCAAGCCUGCCAUAGAGGAAAAUGUUCAAAAUGUACUAUAGGGGAGGCAUACCAGUUGAAUCCCCGCCCAAGCAUUAGUUAUACUCUUUGCAAGCAACCCUUUUUCCUUGCAAUUGACAGUCUUUAAUGCUUAUUUUAACGUCUAUUUCAAUGUAUUUCUUUCUUUCCCGCGUUUUAUAAACAAAAUUUCCCUAAAACGCAAACGAAGGUUACGACAUACAUCGACGUUACCCACAACUCUUGGAUAUUGAUCGGCUUACUUGUUCAUCGGUUAGAACAAGUGUCGCACAAUCGUCCGUCUCGAGGUUGAAACGCUACGAUUGUGACACCGACGGCCACAUAGAAUUGAGAAAAGCCUAUGGUUGAGGCAGCAUUAAUUUAUGAAACUUUACACGUGGGAAGGGAUGACUCUUUCUAUUCAAACCUGUAAACAUAGAAGACCGCCUCAAUGAACAAGGGAUCAUUCACAUAGAAUAAAUAUGAACAACGAGAAAGGGAAUAUAAGGUUUGAAUUCAGAGGAAAGCCUAGCUUGAAUGAACAAGGUGAAAAGAAUAUUGACAGCUGCACUUACGAGUCUUUCAGUUACCUUUCUGCCUCUUUAAAGAGAGUUCAAGGUUUUCUAUUAUCGGAAGAAUCAGAAUAAGAAGAAAAUAGAGGAAGACAGAGAGAAGAGAGCUCAGGAGGCGCAAUGAAAUAUGCGUGAGAAGCGCAUUUCCUUAGUGGAAUACUUUGAUAGCGGAAUAAGAAGUCGGAGGCUCGGUCAAGACGAUCUUUUGAUCUAUUCUAAUGGUCUCUAAUGGAUAGUCCUUCGUUUUAGAGUCCUACAGAUAAAUCCUCCGGACUGGUCCGAAGGCUAGGUUCAUACGGAUAGUCAGGAGGACGGUUAGUUGGAGCCUUGUUUUUCGAAAUCUUCUUUGAGCCUCAGUCGUCUCAUUGAUAAGGACAUCUUUGCAAAUGAAGAGCGGGAGGUGCAAAGUGCGGCUAUUACUUUGAAAAGAAUAGGAGCUCCGCGGUUUGAAUUGAAUAAAAAGGAUAGGCUGAAAUUCAAAGUGAAUAAGAGGAUAUUUUCAGAUAUAAUAUCUAAAGUCAAUGAACAGGGGCUCCUAACCUCUGAUUUAUGGGGAGCCUACUACGUCCAUUAGUUCCGAACUUGGCUCCACUCCUAGUAGUUCGAACUUGGCUUUGCUCCUUCGCUUUUUCUCUUAUUGAUCUCUCUUGUAAUGCUUUCUACUAAGAAUCAAGAAAGCGCAACUUCUAUUUUGUCCGAACGACCUUGAUUAAAAAACGAUGCUUCCUUGGUCGUGUAGAACAUGGAUUAGCAUUAUUUCAUUCCUACAAGCGAUCCCCCAUCCAGGAUUGGAAGAAGUGCUAUAUGAGGACUUUGAGAUCAAAUAGAAUAUAUUUCUUUCAAGACCUCGUGAGCCACUUAUUUCUCUGAAACAAGAGAGAAAAGUGAUUUUCCUCCUUUUUCUCAAUAAGUCGACGACCUUACACCAUUGGGAUACUUCUUCUUUGAAACUAGAGUACAUAUAGGAUACACCGGUGCUAAAACCUUUUCUCAAAAGAUCUUCCAAACUGUUGGGGUCCUUGCUCCGUAUGUUCUUCCCCCGGUGUGAAAGCAGUUGGUUCCAUAGUUUGAGAAUUCUACUACUGAUCCCAAGUACUCCAUCUCCAUCAUUGCAUAUGGGAAUAUAGAAAAGUCAAGAAGAAAAGGCAUGAGCAGAAGAAUUGUGUGAAAUAAGUCAAUUUAUCCAAUUGAGGCAUUCUUUCUUUUUCUUAAGAAAAUUCCCUCUAGACAUAAAUCCUUUCUGUACGAGUAGUGAAGAACUAUAGAGAGUAGUGGUUGGUUGUUGACCAACAAAAAGCAUGGGAGAAAGAAAGAUGUUGGCAAGGAAGCAUCAAAAUAGAUCAAUGAAAGAGGCUCAAAGAAUGAUCGAGGACUAUUUUAGUCCGACUAGAAACUAGGGAAACUAAAGACUAACGAAAUCUAGAUGAGAAUCCGUACAAUUAGUCUCGAGAAAAAGAAGAAAGCAAUAAAAAAAGUGAAGACAGAAAAUGAACCGAAAAUCUUCUUCUCUCAUAUUGAAUUCAUCCUUCUACGCAUCUCCAUGGGCUCGACUGAGAGUGGAGGAGAGGACGGGAAGAAUGAGAAAAAUAGUAAGGCGAGAAGACAGGUUCGAAGGACUAUCCAUCAGGGAGUUUGGACCCCGUAGUUAGGAGCAAAGAAUAUUGCGAAAGAGUCAUAAUAGGUACAAAUCUUCUUAUAGAUUAUGUUGAAGGAGGCGGCGCAAUUCAAUAUGCGAAAGUCAUGAUCCCUUUAAAGCAGACGUUAGGCGCAAAGAAAGAAGCUCAUUAACGAGAAUGAAAGAAUAAUUCACUCAUUAACGAGAAUGAAAGAAUAAUUCUGAUUUCAUCACCUUGUUUUUACGGAGUUCAAUACUAGAUUGAAGACGGAGGGAAAUCCCAGAUUUUGCUAGGUUUUGGGCCUAUAAAGUAGCAAGAAAUCAUGAAAAAUCAGUCAAAAUUAGACAAUUAUCGUAGCAUAUCAAUAUGAGAAAAAGUAUGAAAAAGAAGCAAAAAAGUCGGGAAAUAGCAAUUCAAGAAGAAAGCCUAGGACAGGGAAAAGAAAUGAACACUUCUAGUUUGAGUUUAUGGUCCGGAUACUGACAGGUCUAUUCUUUAUUCCGCUCCUGAAUAUGGAUAAUCCUACUUCGGUUAAUUACGGAUAGUCCUCCUUCGGUUAAUUACGGAUGGUCCUACGGAUAAAUCCUCCAGACUACUUCCUUCCAUAUGGAUGGUCCUACUUCGGUUAAUUACGGAUGGUCCUACUUCCAUAUGGAUAGUCCUACGGAUAAGAAUCCUGCGGACUCCGGACUACUUUGGUUAAUUACGGAUGGUCCUACGGAUAAAUCCUCCGGACUCCGGAUAAAUCCUGCGGACUCCGGACGUACGACGUAGGAUAAAUCACCUGGACCUUUCUUUGGCACUACGGACUACUUCGGUUAAUUACGGAUGGUCCUACGAAUAAAUCCUCCAGACUCCGGGUCGUAAGACGUAGGAGAAAUUCCUGCGGACUCCUUCCUUCCAUAUGGAUGGUCCUACGGAUAAAUCCUCCAGACUACUUCAAUUAAUUACGGAUGGUCCUACUUCCAUAUGGAUAGUCCUACUUCAAAUGGAUAGUCCUCCGGAUAAAUCCUGCGGACGUAGGACCCUGGACCUUUCUUUCUUUAAUGGAUAGUCCUCCGGAUAAAUCCUGCGGACGUAGGACCCUGGACCUUUCUUUGGCACUCCGGACGGAUAAAGAAAGGAUAAAUAAAGGCGCAAAGAAUAUUGCGAAGCGAAGCGCAUUUAUCUAAGAAAAGAAGAAAGGAUAAAUAAAGGCGCAAAGAAUAUUGCGAGAGCGGGAAUUACCUUUUCUCUUCGGGUUAGCUAAGAGUUGCCGGAGGCUUGAAGUCGGAUAAUUACUUUUACUUAAAGGUUUCACAAACCUGCAAAAUCUUCUCCAAAUUAGCGUUAGCGUUCUGAGCUAGCCAAGCAGUAUAUUUAAAAUAUAGAAAGAAGAAAAAUCCAUGCAAUCUAAGUACACUAAGAACCUACAGCAUCGUCACCGCUGCGUGGGAAGGUUAAUUCUUCUAACUCUGGUAUUAUCGUUGAACAAGCAGUUCACAUCCGACUGCCCGCGUAGUGGGGGAAGCUCGCUCGCUAACUUUGCACUUCGGCCAAAAUGCCGAAAAAAGGCUAAGGCCGAAGGAGGUCUGACUCCUUCGCUCAAGGAAGAAUUGCCCGAUUGGAUAUAUAUCUUGGUGCGGAGAGAGGAAAGGAUCACGGAAGCCUCAGUCUCAGUACGAAAGGGGCAAAAAGCUGGAAAAAGCAUACUGGCUUCACCUUGCCCUAGGAUGGGGUCCGCCGGAUCUUUUAAGGCAUAGGCUUAAUGCUGAGACGCACGGGGAUAUCCGGUCCAGGAUGGAUAUUCAAGACAAGGACGAAGGCUCUCCGUCACGCAAGAUGAUUACAAGUCUUAGGAGUGAACUUCCGCUUUACCCCUUCCGGUAUCAGGAAGCGAAGGGCAGAGAAAGCGAGCGAGAAAACAUAAAUCAAGGCGGUCGAUGACUUAAAAUAGGCAAAAAGAAAAGACAGAAAGCCUACGGGUUUCUCGGUUUACCCUUCUUUUAGGAUAGAAAAAGGCACUGCCUGUGUGACCACUACAAGCGGACGUGACGAGCGACGCAGGGCCACCCACGACCGCUAGCAAUACGAGGUAAAGCGGCCAGAAAGCAUACCAUAGGAUGCGUCCUGAGGGCAUUCACAUAAACAUUCUUCGAAUUGUUCACAUUCGGCGGGAUGUUCUUAGCCUUGUCUCCAGGUGAAUAAUUGAAUCGGCACCGGCGAUCGGACCUAUUGCAGCCUUCGGUUGACUGGUGGCAUUCGAUGGUAUGCUUGAGGCCUUCCCAACCCGCUCCGUGUAAAAGAGGUAGAAGGAGGCUCAAAGAAUUAUCGAAGAGCAAGACGAAAGAAAAUAGCGACUUCCAGUCGGUGAUGGGAAAUCUCAAUGUUAUCGCAGAUUCAAAGGCGCAAAGAAUAUUGCAUUGAGGCUCGACUGAAAGGAGAGGCGAAUUUGAGAAGAAAGAACUAUAUCGGCUAAAUACUCAACUGCCUCAGACGUCACUGGGACAAGAGCCGGAGAUUCCGAAACCUCUCGCAGCUUCUUUGCUUCCUCUGGUCUCGAUAUUUGAACCGCCUCAAUAAACAAUAAAUAAGGGUCCAAAAAAUCAAGGUCAUCUUCAAACCCUUUUUUUUAUGCGCCUCAGUCCUAUCCAUUAGAACGUCGGCCCUCACCCUUUUUCUUCUUAGUGCGCGCUUGAGCUUUAGUCUUCUGAGUUCUCAAAUUCUUUGACCCUCUGUCUCAGUAUUCGGCAGAGAUGCUGAUGUUAACAAGAAAUGCAGGCUGAAUGUUGUAUGGAAGGAUGAUCAUUUCGGCUUCUUGUAGCCAUUGAUGCUGUCUAAUGCUUGGAGAGACAUUGUUUAAUGUGACUUUGGACAAGGUUACUGAAGAUAGAACUAUCUGGCCUCAGAGGUCAGUUUUCAGUUGCUAAGACAGUGAAGCUCUUUCAUCUUCCUGGUAAUACUGUCCCUUGGUUCAAGCUUCUUUGGGGUAAGAAGCACAUCCCUAGUCAUGCUUUUCUUUCCUGGAUGGCUAUGAAUAAGAGUCUGAGAGUCAAAGCUAAACUGUACAAUCUUUAAGUGCUUUCGUCUGAUUUUGAGGUUUGGAAGCAAAGAAGCAGAGCGGAGUUUGAUUCCUUAUAUCAGAAAAAGAUAUAGGAAGACUCCCAGAAAGAAGAAAGCCUAGGAGAAAGCAAAGAAAGAGUAAGGAUCAGAAAGCUCCUAACCCCUAUUUAUUUAUGGAUGUGAAUUGAGCGAAGGCGCAAAGAAUAUUGCGAAGGUUCAAAGAAUAUUGACUUGAUAAACCUCUAUUUAGCUUCUUAUAUCUGAAGACGAUAAAGUCAGAUAAUCAGCCUCCGGCUGGGUCGGAUCGUCCAUACCUAGUUGAGUAUCUUGUCCGUCAUAACGAAGUCACUCUUUGAAAAAGGGUCGGGCUUUGUUGGAGUUGACUCGGUGAGUACACUUUCAUCUUUACGAGAAGAAGCGCGAACAACAACUAUAUUAUUCAGCAGAGACCUGAUUUACCCGAUGAGUGGAACGGCUCGACAAAAGUCUUAGGACUCGGGACGACGCGCCUCCUUCCUGCUAGAACUCAUAGGUCUACGGGGUUCUUUCGGUAGCGAGAAUAGUGGUCCCAAACGGAAUAGAAGUACUUUUGAUUCACUGAAUCGGAAUCUUUGAAAGAAGAAAGGGGGACGGAGGAUCAAUGAAAUUUGAUGAUGAUGAGUAAGCUCUUGCUUUUCUUGCUCCUCUUUCUGAAGUUGCGAGAGGUUCAAAGAUCCUUAUCAAUGAUUGGAGUGGCUGUUCCGGUUGCAGACGUUGCUGUUGGAGUAGAAGCUGUAGCCCUUUCGGUGAGGUGCGAAUGCUCGACCUCGACCCAUUGGCAUUAGUUGAGGAUGCACCAUCCCUGAUUAUUUUUUAGGAGAAAGCCUCUUUCGUCGGGUUCAAGGGAAAAGACUAAGAAUGAGGUCCCCUCCCCCCAGUUGAGGAACGAGGGCAAAAGCGAAGCCUAUGAAGUGAGUAUGAGCUCGCUCGACCCCCACGUAGCGGGAAUAGCACCAUCUUCUCUCUUUCAUGAGUAGUUCACUGCACUCAUUAGUAGCUGGACCAAGAGGUUAUUCUCUCUAUGAUCUCCUGGACUGGAAUAGCGCUCUCCCCAUAGCAAGAGGGAGCUCGACGUAGUCGGUCUUUCGGCAGUCACAAUAAUUAAGAGAAGCAGCUGCUCGGGAGAGGGAGGUAUCAGAUGCACGAAGAGAGGAUUGGUCGAAUCGACUGUAAGAAGAGGCAUCUGUUCUUGUGGCUGUAGCAGUUGCAGAAGUUGAAUCGUCUGUGGCUGUUCUUGUUUAAGAAAUAGCUGCAGCUAUUCCCACCAAGGCCUGACGAUAGGCUGAUUUCAGGAUUUCCUAUCCAUCCUCAAAUUCUUUGAGCCUUUGUUACAAGAAAAUACUCUUUAGUGACUCAAGAAUGACCCUGUCUUAUGGCACCUCUCAUCUGGAGCCUUUGUUUUUGAAACAAGUCAAAUUCUCUAAUGGAUAGGCCUGAAUUCAUGAAUAUUGAAUUGAACCUACUAAAAUCAAAGGAAUAAAGAAAGAGCUCAAAAGGAGUCAAAAUGAGAAGUCCGAAACCUCAUCACCUACUCCCGGAGGCAAGGUGAAAUUCAAUAUGACGAAGUCUUAUAGUUGGGUCUCAUCCCCCCAUAAUCAAGUAGCGUCCACUAAAAAGAAGCGGAGCGCGGAAGGACGAGGCGCAAUGAAAUAUGCCUUGAAUGAAUCUACCCUUUUUAGACUCGACUACUCCGCUACGUGGGCUUACUAGUAAUGCUGAAGUUUCCUCCUUUUCUAGCUUUCUUUCUAAUGCCCUUCUUUAUGGUCAAUGGUCACUUCCCCGAGGCGCGGAUCCCACUACACGGGAAUAUAUUAUGAUAUAAUGAACUAUCUUCUUUCUAAUAGCUAGUUUCAACAGCCACCGGGGAGGAGACAAGAACUCAAUCUACUGAAACAAGGGUUUCAACCACAGCGAGAGCAGACCUCAAAAAAAUAAGGAAGAAAAAGAUAAAGGCGCGAAGCGAAGCCUAUGAAGUCAUAAGGGCAAGGGCUUUCCGUGAACUUUCUUAUGAUGGGAAAUCCUUGUUUUCAUUUGCGAGACACAUUUCAUUCGUAGAAAUACCACUUCCUACUUCCUCAUCCCGACAAUAAAUAAAGCACUACGCGGGACAAAGUAGAUUCCCAAACUUAAAAGGAAAGACUAAAAUCAAAGCUCCAGAUGAGUUGAAUUGAGGUGCAAUGAAAUAUGCCUUUCUGCAGUGUGCGAAUUCGCUCUUUCGGCUGAUAACCUUUCGAUCCAGAAAGCACUACGCGGAAGUUCCCCACUACGCGGCGUGAAGUGACUGCCCACUUUUUGAAAAGAAAUAAAGAGCGCAGAACAAGGUUCAGUUAAGCUUGAUAAAUCAGUCCUUCGCCUAAGAAUAAGGUGAAAAGAAUAUUGAACUCAUGAAAUCAAUAUCCCUGUCUUAUGGGGCCUUUGUAGCUUAAUAAUGGGGAUCUGGUUCAAUUAUAAGGCUCAAAGAAGAUUGAGAAAGAAUAUUGCAAAAUCAAGGCGGCAAAGAAAAGGUGAAUAGGGAUUCGUACGAUUAGACUUGACUGAGAAUGGAAUUGCUUUAGCUAUCUUUUUUUUUCCGUCUUUCAAGGUGGAAGCUAAAUCAGAAUAGUUUCUAGUUGAAGGCAAGCAAGCUAGGGUUGGUUCGUAUUGACAAAGAGCUGGACUUCUAAACUUUCAAUGGGUACUGGAGUACUUUCUUUGUCAAUCGAUGCUUAAUACUAUCUUUACGCAAAUAAAGGCCGAAGAAUGAGGCUAAGUCUUCUAUUUAGUGGUCUCGCAAUAUUCUUUGCACCUUGCUGAUCUCAUUUCAAAAAUGCUUCGCCUGCCUCUUCUUUGAUUCCGUGCACGAGUAAGUACCCGUAAAUCGUAAAGAAAGAGGGGGGUAGUUACCUGCUCUUUCAUCGAGAUUGGCGAAUUACGGUAGAAGAUAGAAGAGGUUCGAGGAUCAAAGUAUUUGAGCUUUGCUAUUACUUUCAUGCUCCUCUUAGAAGGAAGAUAAGCACGAUAAGCUGGCCUAUAUCAUUGCUUAAUUCAUGCUUUCUUCGUACUUCCGGAAAGAAAUCUCACUCAUUUCAUUCUAUCACAUAAUGAGAACUCUAGAAAAGAAAUUGCUUACUUCAUGCUUUCUUCGUAUUUAUUUAAGGACCCAAUCCAUCUUUUGUCUAUGACGAUCGGUACGAAAGGAAGGCAUGCUCGCAGGGGAUUCUUAUUACUAAUAGAUGAUAAGAUAAUACGAGAAUGAAAGAGGUCGAGCGCCUCACCUCUGAGUCUGAUUGUUGGAAGUAUGAUGACUCCCACUGGUCGUCUUUCAACUCAUUAAAUCCCCCUAUCUUUUAUGGCGGUCUUACCGGAAUAUCUACUUUAUAGAAUUCCUAUGAGACUAAGAAAACAAACUGAGACCUCGUAGUCUUCCUGUUCCCGGUCGAUCCUAUGAUCGAUCUCAUACAAAGAUCUUCUAUGAUUCGACUAAAAAGACUCUUUCUUCUUAGUUUGAGCUUGAGGCGCGUCCAACCCACUACGCGGUAAGCUUUUCCUCUUUUCCUCUCACUUCAAGACUCAAGACCUUACCCGCACCGAGUCAAUCCGAUCGCUACCUUUCCAGGUCGUAUUCUAGUAAUUAAUUUCAUUAAUAACUCAGAGCGGCGAUCUAAAUACUUCUUCAGCAAGAACUUUCGAAGAAGGUAGAGGAACUGAAAUGGAUUCAGCUUCCGCAGGCAGCAUCCCUUUCAACGACGACUCCCCGAGAGACUCGCUUCAAACUUCCGAUUUAGAAAGAAGGUAUCUCAGUCUCUUACCGCGUAGUGGGCUGAUCGUGAGAGAUGGAAUCUUCAACCUCUUAUGGAAAUGUGUCCAGCGGAAGUAUUUACGUAAGAAAUUGAGAACCAGGCGAGAGGAGAGGGGUGAGGAUCGAGCGCAUUCCCUAUCGAUCAGCAUCCUCAACUCUACUUCAAGAGUAGAAAGGUUUCGGAAUUCAGAGGCAAGAGCAUUCCUUCCUCUUUCUUUAGUCAAGUCAUUUCAUUCCUUUUCUCACUAGGUCUAUAGAAAUAGUUCAUGGCCAGGACUAGGUCUCGUCAUAUUCUUUUCUCAAGAGAUGAGAAGAAAGUUCUCCUAAUAGAAUAUGUUUGAAUAUCUCAACUAGAAAGUCUCGGACUAACUCUUCCCAUAGCGUAGCCUACGGAGCGGGGAAAAGGAAGAUUUUCAACAGUCAAGAGAUCAAUCAGAAGGGAGCGGGAAGAAUGGAUAUUGUCUUCGAUCUUGCGAUAAAAUGAGUCAGACCAUAUGCGAUCUCGUCUCAAACAGAGAAUUAGUAAUCUGAGUCGCACGGGGAAUAGGUUGGAUAGUCCGGAGGACGGGAAGACAGAAAGAAAAGAGAGGCUCCGGAGGUUCAAAGAAUAUUGACAAAGAAUAUUUCAUGAAUUGAGGUGCGGUAGUCCGUCCGAAGGACUAUGAAAUCCAUUAGUUUUCGUUUGCACUCCUUUCUUCUUUUCUUAGAUAUUCUGGGAUUGAACUCCGUCUGAAAUCUAGCAGAUUCAUUUUUAGCUUCUUUCAUUCUCGUUAAUGAGCACUUGAACCUGUCUUUCUCAGGCGCAAAAAAUAUUGCGAGAAGAGCAAAGAAGAGAAUGGCGAUCAGAAUUUGAGUCCUUUCAUACUUUCGUUGAGGAGGAGGAGUUUUCUUCUUGUAUCAUAAUAGGAUAUUUUAGUAGAAUAAGAAGAAGAAGAAGAUAAGACUACGUAGCGUAGUGGGCUUUUCUUAUGGCGGAGCGGAGGAUUCCGACUAUCCACUGAAGAAAGUAGGAAAGCCUAAGGAACCUAAAAAGGGCUAAUAGGGGAAGGAAGAAAGCCUAUCCCUCCAGAAUCUUUGAGGACCGAAGGACUUCUUUAUAUCCCUAUUUAUUUAUUUAUGGGACUCCCAGAAAGGUUUAGUUCCAUAAAUCAGUCGGCUAAUAUAUAGGAUGAAAGUAGAUAGAAAGGAAAAGAAAAAAGUCGUCACUCUUAAGGAGUGCAAGAAGGAAUCUUUGAACCUUUUAUCCUGAUCUCUCUCAUUCUACAACUCAGUCGAGCCACUAUUCAACCUUCUUUUCGAUGGGACAUCAUGUCCUCUUAUCUUAAUCCCAUAAAUCAUUUAAGGCGAUACGGAAACAAGAAAUCCAGAAACUUAAUCCGGUAGAGUCAAUUCGAGACUAAGACGAGUUGGGGUUUCGACCAUAGGCUUUCCUUCCAAACCUACUAUACUAAACCUACCCCCGGACUCAAGGCGCGAAGUGAAGCGGCUGCCCACUUUUUAGAAAUAAAGAGCUGAGAUAAUUCUUUUCACUCAUUGAGGUCGGCUAAAUUCAAUGGAUAAAGAAGUCCUUUGCUUCAUUCUAUAUGUCCUUAUCAAUGAGACCAUUAAUCAGUCCGAAGGACUAUCCAAAGAAAAGAAUAUCCCUGUCUUAUGGGGCCUCCGUAGCUUAAUAUGGAGCGCUCCGGACGAGUCUUAACUAAUAUUCCCAAUCAAAGAAUUAUCGAAAGAAUGAUCGACGAGUCUUAUUCCACUAAAAUAGUAGUCCUUCGGAGCAGUCUUAUACUAAUCUCCUAAAAUCAAAGCUCCAGAUGAGUUUCAUUCCACUAAAAGACGAAAGAAGGUAUCUCAGUUACCAAAGAGAAAGAGCUUCCACAAACCACUUCCACAUAAACUUCUGCUAAGUCUACUUCUGUUAUUGAUUCAACUUAGCCUUUAAUCAGAUUAGGACCUAGCUAGCCAACCUUAUUCCUUCCUCUUCCUUACUUUGUUCUCGCUUGCUUCGGCAGGCACACACUAUCUCUGGAUACUGGAUAAGAGAUCCUUUGGUCAAGCUGCAAGAGAAAGACUUCUUCUCCGAUCGAUCAGCUACCCGAUUCCUCCUUCCCCGAUGAUAAGGUUAGCAGGCCCGAUCCUCUCCUAUUGAAAAAGAAAGCAGAAAUCUUUCAGUCUAGAGGAUUUAUCCGUAGCCCGGAGGAUUUAUCCGUAGCCCGGAGGAUUUAUCCGUAGGACCAUCUGUAAUUAACGCGAAGUAGUCUGCAGUCCGGAGUCCGCAGGAUUUAUCCGGAGGACUAUCCAUAUGGAAGUAGGACCAUCCAUAUGGAAGGAAGUAGUCCGCGAGUCCGCAGUCCGCAGGAUUUAUCCGUAGGACUAUCCAUUUUCAGUCGGACUAUCCAUAUGGAAGGGAGCGAAAUCUAGCUAUGAGGACUCUUUGAGCUCUUCUUUGAGUCAGUGGCUCUGCCACUUGCAGAAGGAGCAGCGAAGUCCGCGGUUUCAGAGGUUUAUGUAGCAGUUCUUCUUUAAUAAGAUGCUUACUUUCUUUCGGGUAGAAAGGUUCACUCGUGAACGGUACACCUCUUAUAUGAUGCCUGGGGACUUUGUCCCUUCUUCUACGGAUUUCUCUUAUAUGAUCUUAUUCAUCUCCGUAUCGUUCAUAUAUUCAUUCUAUAAAAUCCCUAGCUGCCACAGAUGGUCGAACUUGCCUCUUAAGUGGCGUGGGUCGAUCCUCUUGUUGACUUUUUACCUAGGAGUGGGGGGGAAGAAGUUCGAGAAUAAUUUAUCUUCUUUCCUUGUCCCAGUUCUUCUUUCCACUUCUACUUAAGUCACCACGACUGAUACAGAUGCAAGAACAUCAGGGCGAGCAGGGAAGAGGCGGAGGGAGUUUGCACUCUUUUCAUGCGGGUUUGAGUGAGACUGAUGCGCCCUAGGUCAAGCCAUUGCUUCGUCUUGUUCAUCACAUUCAUUAUGUUCACAAUUCCGGAAUCAAAGUAGAAAUACGAGAAAGCGCUCCAGCGGACUCUGAUUCAUUGGGAAUUCUAUCUUCCCGCCUCAAUGAACAAGGUGAAAAGAAUAUUAAAUGAAUCAUUGAGUUGAGGCGGUGGAACCUAGGAGUGGGACCGGGAACAUGAUAGGCUUGAAUCUAAGAAGUGAAUAUAGUAUUGAAAGAGGCCCACGGAGCGGUGUCCGACUAUCCUACUAUCGAAGCCUUGAAGCAUGAGUCUUGAGGUUUUCAAAGUCUACUCAGAGGACGAGGUUGAAGUUUCAUAGGGAAAGGUUUCAUAACAAGCAGUUGUUUUCCGUAUCGAAUGCUCUUUCAUUCCUUAUUCGAAAGAAGGCAAAGAAAGUGGAAACUAAAUCCUUGGAUUCUUUCCCGCUUGAACCAUGAAAGGUUAGGCCUUAGUUACGAUCUCAUUCAAUGCCCUAGCAUACUCAAAGGUUCGGGGGCGUAGUGGAUGGAGCUAGAAGACUACUACUUGGACGAGGGAUUUCCUUUCUCUUAUUGUAAUACUCCUAACCACCCCUUUUUGAAUGGGCAGGCCCCUCUGGUCGAGUUUACCCUUUUUAUUCAGGCCUAUCUGCCUCCGUUCAUGAAGGACAAAAUCGGACUGAGCCCUUGUUCAUUGAGGCGUAUAAGCCCACGUAGCGGUGCCAUAAGACAGGUCUGAAGGCGUCACAGGUCCGGAGGACCCGUCUGUCCGAAGGACGAGAUAUUUAUAAUGUUGAGAGAAAGAUUAGACUUUGUCAGGACCCUUAUUUCCAUUAUUUUUCACUUUCAAUAUUCUUGAGAAUAUUCAUUCAUCCGACAGAGCAAAGUUCAUCCAGAUCCCCAUAUGAAUUAGGCGAAUGACUGAUUUUCAAAGUCAGAGUUAUCCCUCAAAUUCUUUGAGCCUUUGCACUCAAAUUCUCUAAUGGAUAGUCCUUCAGACCGCUAGGAGUAAAGAAUAUUGUGUGGAACUGAACUAAUAGGGAAAAGCAUUUCCUAUUGAUUUGUCCCCUGGACUGGACCUAUUCUGAUUCUGAAUUAUCCGUCGCUACGUUGUUCCCAAGGACUAGCAAAAUCGAAAUAGCGAAAUUCUUGGGUCAUCUCAAUGGGUUCAGAAACCACACGUUUCUCUGGAUCAUCACAGCGUACUUCCACAUAUCCACUCAGAGGAAGGUCUUUUUGUAAUGGAUGACCCUCGAAACCAUAAUAUGUUGAUAUACGGCGUAGAUCCGGAUGAUUGAUGGAAGAAACACCAAACAUAUCCCAAACUUCUCGCUCCCACCGGCCGGCUGAUGGAAAUAGACUGACUACCGGAGAGAUUCGUGUUACUUCGUCUGCACUGGUUUGUACACGAAUGCGUGAGUUAUACCGAGUACUCAGUAAAUUAUAGGCCACUUCAAAUCUGAGUUUUCUAUAUAUAUUUAUAUUGAUGUUAAUAUGUUACCUUGUAAUUGGAAUGGUGAUUUGAAUAAUCUAAUAGGAUUAUGUGUUUGGAUCAAAAUAUGUUGCAAGAGAAAUAGCUAAAUGUGUGGAUUUAGUGACAAAGAGGGUAUUCAUGUGUUUAUUUUAGUUUUCUCAGUGAGGACUCGAUUUUUAGAAGAAACGACCACUGUUCGAAUCAUUCAAAACUUUGUUCCGAACAAAAAUUUUGGACUUUGUCAUUGUCCUCUUCACCGAAUGUGACAAACUUGAAGACAACGAUGAAACAUUGAAAGAUUACUUGGAUCGAAAAUGUCUUGUGGGGUUGAAAGAUACCAUAGCCGCUAGCAAGAACUGUUGCUUGGUUUUCAAUAACAAAACCGAUAAUGAAACAAAGAAGAUUGAAUAAGUGGAUAAACUUAUAAAGAUGGUGCAUGAAGUUGUACAACAAAAUGAAGGAAAAGCAUACACUCAUGGCUUGUUUUCUAAUGUCAAGUUUGAGACCAACUUGCAAGAUGAUGUGAAAACCAAGCUUGAACACACAAUUACAGUUCAAAACACAAGCAAAAUUUAAAGCAUAACAAGGAGCACAAGAAGUUCAACAACAAUCUAUGGAUCAAAUUCGAGUCCUCAAAGACCAUCUAUGCAUCAAGACUUGAAAGGUCACUGUCACUACCAAUGCUUCCACAAAUUAUUCGUCAUGGUCGCUGCAUGAGAAAAGGUUGCAUUAUUGUAUGACUUUACUGUGCAUGCAUUCAAUAAAUAUGUACAAGUAAUUAGUAUAAUGAAUAUAUACUAAAUAAAAAUAUGAAAAAACUGUGAAAAAAAACUUAUUUGAUUAACUGCUAUAAAAUUAAUAUUUGAAAAUUGGCAUGUGUUCUCGAAACUAAUAAAAGCAAGUUUGGAAAUGCCUUUAUUUUGUCUUUGUUGAGUGUAGUGUAAAUUGGGAAAUAUAGAAUGCUUAAUUAUGUUGUUAAUUAAUAAGAAAAUUAUUUUAGAAGUUUUGAUGAAUGUCCAACUACAUGUGGAAAGAAUUAUAAAGGAUUGAAAAAUGAUUCUAUAAUCUAGCCCAAACAAGAGGUGGGUUAUUAUAGCUCACUUCACUUCUAUUUAGUUUGGGACCCAAAUAGCCUCUUAAAAUUAGGUUAACUCCAUAACUAAUAAGGGUCUUUAACUCAUAUAGUCUAAAUUGCUAUAUGAUAUUACAUGAAUGAUCCAAAUUACUAAUAAAUUUCAUAAAAGUCCUAAAUGGACUAGUAUAUUACAUAAAUGUAGGCUCAAAUUACUUUAAUACCAAUUUAUAUUAUUUAAUUGAUUUAUAACAAAUAUCUAAAUGAAAAAAACCGUGGGAUAUAGUUUUGGAAAGAAGUGGGGUCCAAAUUAAUUUAAUAUCAACUUCUAUUAUUUAAUUUAAUUGAUUUAUAACAAAUAUCUAAAUGGAAAAAAUGGUGGAACACCGUUUUGGAAAUAAGUGGGGUCCAAAAUAAUUUAAUACAAAUUUUUAUUAUUUAAUUGAUUUAUAACAAAUAUCUAAAUGGAAAAAAUAAAGAGAUACAGUUUUGGAAAGAAGUGGAAAACUUUUCAUGCUUUCCUUCCACGAAAAUGGUUGUCUACUCCUUUCAACGUGGAUUACGAUUUUUACUUCAAAAUUUUAGAGAGUUCGGAGGUGAAGAAGAAGACAGUCGACGACCGACAAAUACAAAACUUCUCGAACAUAAUCUAGUUAAAAACUUUGAAGUUAGUAUUGUAUAUAUUCAACACAUAUGAAACAUUAGAUAUAUUAUGUAUAUUUUAGACAUUCAAUUAAAUAGUCAAUCAAAUGAAAAUGUAGUUUUGAAUGUGAUACAUUUUAGGGUUUAUUGAGAUUUCGGCGGUGAAGAAGAAAACUUUUGAUGGCCAAAAAAUACAAAACUUAUCCGACAGAAUCUAACUAGAAAAUUUGUGCUUAAUAUUAUAUAUAUUCAAAACAAAUGAUUAGAAACAUUUAGUAUAUUAGGUAUAUUUUAAAUAUUCGAUUAAAUAGACAAACAAAUGAAAAUAUAUGAAACAUUUGGUAUAUUAGGUAUAUUUUAAAUAUUUGAUUAAAUAGACAAACAAAUGAAAAAUUAGUUUUGAAUGUGAUACAUUCUAGAGUUUAUUAAGAAUUCAACGUUGAAAAAGAACGGUCAUCCUAUCAAAAAAAUAAUAGAACUAUAUAUAUAAUAUGAGGUAUAUAUAUAUAAAACAUAGAACAUAACUAUUAUAGAUUACGGAUAUAUUAAAGUAUAAUGUAAUCAAAUACAUUUAUAAAGGAAAAAUAUGUAUGUAUGAUCAUGUCGUUUACUACCGUUUUAGUAAUAUUUAUUCUACAAACACAAAUUCUGUAGGAAUUAUGUAUAAGGUAUUAUUGUAUAUAAUAUGAGGUAUAUAUAUACUAAAUAACAUGUAUGAAUUAAGUGUACAUUUUAUUAGUGAAAGGUUCUUAUAUCAAUUUGUUUAUGAUUUUUAUUUAAAUAUUCAUAUAUUAUGUAGUAAGUAAUACGUUAUGUUUGAAAUAAUAUUGAUUAUGUAUUAAAGUUGCCAUUAGACAGUUUUUUAACAAAAUAUACCUAUUAUAUUAAUAUAGAAAAUGGGAGGAAAUCGUGCAACAUUAAAAUAGGAAACUUCUUUACCAUUUUCUCACUUUCCAUAUUCAACGAAAAGCUUGCCAUUUCGACAGUCAAUGACAUAUACAACAUAUUAUAUAAUGCGAUAAUAUUAUAAAACUAGUAUAAUCAUAAAUAAGAUGUGAUAUAUAUUUAAGGGAAAUAUUAAAAAACUGAUAAAUUCAUAAUAGAAUAACGUUAAAAUAAGGAGAAUAUUGUUAAUAUAAUAUAUAUACGCAUAUGAUAUACUCAUAAUGAACUAAUUUUAAAUGGGUAAAAUAACAAAUGACAUAUUUAUGUUAUUCUUCAUAUAAAACAUCAACUAAAAUAAUAAAGUAUUAUAUCUCACGGUUAAUAUAUAAAACUAUUAUAAAUGUAAACAAGAUGUGAUAUAUAUAUAUAAUAAAUCACAUAUACAACCUAUUAUAUCAUGCGAUAAUAUUUAAAACUAGUAUAAUCAUAAAUAGUAUGUGAUAUAUGUUUAAAGGGAAUAUUAAAAAACUGGUAAAAUCAAAAUAGAAUAACAUUAAAAUAAGAGGAAUAUUGUUUAUAUAUACUAUAUCUCAUAUAUAUACUCAGAAUGAACUAAUUUUAAAUGGGCAAAAUAACAAAUGACUGUGGAUUUUAUCUUAUCUUUAGGUGAUGGACAAUUGUAUAUGACGGCGAUUUGUUAAGAUUCUGCAGCUUACGGUUAUGAUAAAUUUGAAUACAAAUUUAUAAAACAAUGUAAUAAGAAGUUCAAAUGAUGGAGAAGAAUAGCAAAAAACAGUUGUCGGCGAUGGAGAAGAUAAUGUAAUGGCUGCCAGAGAGAGUGAACAAUUAGGUUAAGUUAUAUUUUUAGAAAGAAUAAUUAAAUAGUUUAUUACAAAAUAAAGUAAAAUUACAAUUAUUAUAAUAUAUUCUGAUUUAUAAUUAAUUUAAAAGAUACUUGAAAUUUAUUAACAUAUUAAGGUCUUUUGUCUAAAAGUUUCAACUAAUAAUAAUGAUAGUUGUAAAGCCCCAAAGGUAAAAAAAAAAAAUGUAUAUUUUACAUUUUCUUUUUAUAUAUUUUUAUAUAUAUAUUUUAUUUUAUUAAUUUAAAUAAAAAGAAAUGAAAAAGAAAAUCCUUAUUUAUAUAUUUUUUCUUUUCUUUUCUUUUUUUUUCUCUCUUCUUCUUCCUCCGUGCGCCGCGACCCCCACCCGUCCUCUUCUCCUUCCCGUUCGCAUCAAUCGCCGCCCCAUCCGUUCUCUUCUCUUUCGUUCGCAGCAGCCGUCGGCCGCCGCGUCUCCCCUACUGAAGCCGAGCGCCGCGACCAUUCCUUUCUCCUCUUCUCUUCAGUUCGCAAAGCAGCUGUACGCGUCCAAAUCUGUCGUCGUCCAGAUCUGCACCGCAAGACCUUCCGUCGUUGCGACCGUUGCUCUUUCUCCGCUGCCCAGCCGUCUCAGCCGGUUCUGUCUCCGUCGAAGCCACGGUUCUGCAACCGUCUCCGCCGGUUCUGUCUUCGUCGAAGCUAAGGCCCCCGCGUGAACCAGUAACCGCUACGCUCUCCGCUCACAACCGCCGCUCCACUUGCUAUCGACGUCGGUCGACUAGUUGCUGUAACCGUUCAGAUUUGCUGUAACCGUUCAGAUUCGCGGUCUGUUCGCGACGGUCUCCAUCCGUGAAGCCCAGCCGCCACGUUCCCUUUGGCCGACCGCUGACCGACCCACACUUAGGAUUUUGCUGCAAGUUCGACAGUCGUGCGUUGAGGUGUUGGGAGUAACGUUAGGCUCCCUUGCAUUCACAACCAGUUUGUGAGUUGUUGAGGGUUCAGUUCGCCAAUAUAUCGGUGAGUUGGAACUUACGUUGAGGAAAGUAAGUGAGAUAUGUAUCGUGAAAGUAAUUGAAUUUUGUGUUGUUGUGCUUAGGAUUGUUUCGAGGACGUUAGUUGAUUAAGGAGCUUCCCCAACUUUGAGGUAAGGGAUUUUCUACUGGACUCAAUUGUGAUUGUGAACUGUGAUUGUGAACUGCAUGUGUGUUGAAUGUAUACUGUGGGCUAACUGAAAAUAUAUAUGAAUGUAUAUGAAUUGAAGUAGACUUGACGUCAAAUGUAUAUCGUGAUUGUCAUGGAAUCUAUAUAUAAAUGUGUGUGUGUGGACAGGACGGAGAUUGUAGAUUGUGUUUGUAUGAGAUGCAGAUGUGAAUCUUGUGAUUUUCGUUUAGAUUGGGUGUAUGAUUACGCUAAAGUAUGACUGUGUGCUGGUGAACUGAGGGGUGCAUUGACUGUAUAGUGGAUUGACUGUAUAGUGGAUUGACUGAUGUAUUAGCAUAUUAUUGACAGACAUAUGACUGUAGUAAAAUAAGUUGACUGUUAGGAUGUUGAAAGAAAGAACUUUGUGACUUGAAGUAACUGAAAGAUGGGUUGAAUGGAAUGAGGGGAUAAAUUGUUAGAUUGUAUUGGGAUGUUUACCUUGUAGGUGUCCCACGGGAUCACCAAUUUAUUGUGCACCUUCAAGAGCAUUUGACUGAUAUGUGUUUCUGCAGAACACUAGACUGAUAUGUACGUCCCUCGGGGCGUUAGACUGAUAUGUACGUCCCUCGGGGCGUUAAACUGAGAUCUGUAUCCUACGGGAUCACAAGACUGCGAAUGUACAGAGUGUCCCAAUAGAACUUUAACAAUUUACUUUCCCCUGACGAGACCAGUAGAGGGUCUCUUACUGAGUAUUGUUAUACUCACCCUUCUUAUGUUUAAUUUUCAGGCAAAGGUAAUAAAGGCGGCAAACCGGCGAAGGGCAGGAAGGAAGCGUGAUUGACAUAGGAAAUGUGUCAUUUUGCUUCCGCUUAUGGUUUCUUUUGAGGUUUAAGAUGUACUAAAACUUAGUUUACAAACUUUUAUUUGUAAAUAGUGUUAUUUUUAAGUUUUCUUGAACAUUUGAAAAUCAGGCCUGACAUAAAUUGUUUUUAAAUUGACUUACGUUUCAUUUUGUAUCAACCAAAGUCUUUUGUUAAAAAUUAACGACCUCGACUUACCUAGAAAAGUUGGGUCGUUACAAUAGUUCUCAUUAACCAAUUGACAAAUGAAUGAUAUUGUCAAAUGAUCGAUAUUGUCAAAUGAUCGAUAUGUGCAAGUGCACAUUUCAAUUAUAUUAUAGUAAAACGUUCUUAGAGAUCGAGCUAGUAUCCUUUUAAGAGGGAUCAAAUUAACAAAUUAAUUUAUUGAUUUUAGGAUUAGGAUGUGUUUUAAGGAUAAAAACAAUGAUUAGAAACUAAUUAACUACAAGUUGUUGACUUUUGAAAAGAAUAUCUUUCCAUUCAAACAUAAUUGUUCCUAAUCUCUUCCAACUAAGUUAAAUAUUAUGGUAUUAAACAGAUACAUAGUUUGGUUGGUAGUUUCUCUUCAAAAUUAUUAUUUUGAGAAAACAAAUACAAUUUCUUUUUAUGUAAUCCAAUAUCCUCAAGUAUAUUUAUAAAUAUGGAAAUAUUAUUUCCAUAUUAGAAGAGAUACUAAAAGAUCUUAUUACAACAUCAUUAGAGUCCCAUCAUUUUCUCUAAAUAUCUCUUUUGUGGUGAAAGAUUUGGAAUUGCACAUCAAUCAUUUUGGAGUGGGUAAUUGAUCACCCUAUUUUUCAAAAAAUAAGAAAGAUAAAAAAUAGUUAUUUUUUUAAAGAUAUAUUUGAAAGUGUUGAGUUUAUGGAAGGUAUUAGUACUUAUACAACCACGAAACAUUUGAUUUUUGUUAUCUAAAUUAUUUUAAUAAAAAUGUUUUUUUUUUUUUUUGAAGUUUAUGCUUAUUAAAAAUGCUUAUUUAAAAAAUGUUAAUGAAAUUUUAAAAAAUAAAAUCUAAUUAAACACUUCUGAGAUAGAGAGGUUUCCCUUGACUACCCGAGCGUAGAUAAACACUUCUGAGAUUUGGUUGGUAAUCCUAAGUUCGUGUGCAGUUGAUUAUUUUUUAAAUUUUGUAUAGUUGAAUAAUAUUUGAAUUUUAAAUUUUCAUCUAUGUGAUAUUUACUCAUUUCAAACUUUUUGAAUAUGCAUGUUUAUUUAUUAUUCUGUCGUCUCUCUAUUGUAUUUUAAAAUAUAGAAUAUGUGUAUUUAUAUUAUUUGAAAUUGAAAAUUUAACUUUUACUCUUAGAGUAGGCUUUAACUCUUUGUUUGUCCGUGUUGUAGGUGAGCGAGAAGGAAAAGUUCCAUUGUUUGAUUGAAUUGGAAUUGUUUCCUGCAUGGGGUGUCAUACAUAAUUCCACUUAUUACUAGUUGAAGGUCUUCUUUGCCUCUGUCUUCUUCCCCAUCUCCCCAAGUUGUUCUAACCUUUUUAUAUCUACCUAUUACAUGUCAAAAGGUUCGCUCUUCAAUGUUUUGAAACAAGUUCAUUAUGAAAAUCUCUCACAAGCAAACGUAUGUGCAUUAUGAAUAAUUUCAUCUCAAAAAAAUUGUUUGAGAGGUUUCAAAAGUGUAUCGAAACUAAUAAUUUUAAUGAAUAAAAAAAUAAUUCUUCGUUAGAUUCUUACAUUUUAUUUCAACGAACAAAAUUUAGGAAAAUUUUUAAAAAUAGCAAAUUUUACAAAAAUAUUUACAAUUUAUAACAAAUUUAUAGUCAUUGAUAUGAUAUAACGAUAGUUACUAAUAAAUAUUUUAAUUUAUUUUGUUAUUUUUAAAAAUGCUCAUAAAAUAUUAUAGUGAGGGAACAAUGAUGAAUCACAUAGUUCUUGUGGUGAUGUCGCUUUUUCUCCCUCUUUACAUUCUAAAAUCUCAAAUACAAAUCAUAAAACAAGUAGAUAUACAUUCAAUUAGCAUGAUUUUGAUUCUAAUAAAUUAGAAAGACAAAAAUAACUAACUAAUUAUGGAAAAGUAAUAUUUUAACAUGAAUUAUUGAUUUUUAAUUAGAGGUAAUUUUAAAAUAAAUAAAAUAAAAGAAAAUAUUACAAAUCAAAUCUAAACUAACUUUGAUUUUACUUCUUUAAUUGCAAUAUAACAUAGAUACAUUGGCUAUGAAGUGCAAUUUCUUAUAUUAUAAUAUUUAAAAGAUUUAAAUUUAAAAAUAAAAAUAAGUAAUCUCAAGUCCAAUAUUGGACCCGUGGGCUUAGCCCAUCAAUUUAAAAAUUCAAAAUGCACACUCAACCGUCACAUUUUCCUAGGAUCAUCCUAUUUAAUGCCCUUCUACUUGUCAACUCCAUCGAAAUCCUUCAUUUCUUGUGGCACCGUCUAAAAUUUGCUUCGAUUGAAGAAAUUUUGACGCCCAUGACAGCGUUGAAAUUUCUUCAAUGCAAACAAAUUUUUUAUCUUCCUUUCAUCGAGGAUUUUCAUACCAUGUGAAGGAGAGAUCAGUUCCAUCCGUUCCAAGUCGUUCGUGAGUCAUCUUCUUUCCUGUGUAGUUUUCAUCUCUUGAUUUUGGAUUGCUUGUUCAAGAUUUAUUUUCGAAUUUUGGAUUGUUUGCUAUUCGGAUAGGCAGAAGGUUUGCACGAUGAUAGAUCUGGAGUACCUGAAUCGUUUAUUGAUUCUGUAGUUUAAUCUUAUGAUUUUGGUGAUUUCGAAGCGUACAAUAUAAUCGUACUGUGUUAUGAAGUAAAUAAGAUUUUGUAGGGUUUUUGAAAGUUAAUUUAGAUAUUUCCUGCAUUUUAGUCUUGAUAGAUCUGGGGUACCUGAACCGUUCAGGUUUGCAUGCUGUGAUUGUGUUGUUCUUUUUUGAUUUUGGAGAGAGUCCUUGGGUAAUUUUGAGGAUUGUUCUUUUUUUAGUUUUUUUUUGCAUGCAUUCAAACACACGCAUGGUUUUUAAACUGGGGUUCUUGAAUAUUUGUUGGUUUUCUCGAAUAUUUGCCGGUUUUUUUUUCUCAGAAGAAUUGAUCUUAUAUUUGUGUAUCUCUCUGUGCAACUUUAAUAUAAAGUUAUUAAGGAAGAAGAGAAAGGAGGAAGAAGGGAGAGAGAAAAGGUAGAAACGACCUAAUAGUAGGCAUGAGUAUUAAGAUGCAGCAGAGCCACCACUUAGUGGCGCUAAGGUUUAAUGAGCAAAUUGACAGUAGAAAAGGGUCCACAUCCAUACCUAAGUUACUAUUGCUCUGGGUUCUGUUGGUGGCAUUCAUUAGUAUGUUAAACUACAAAGAAAUGGAUGGGUGGGUGUUAACAAAGUUAGAAGAAAGUAAGUUCUGGGAAGUAUGUGUGACCAGACGACAAAGAUGUUUCUUAGUGUCAGUGUCAAACUAUGUCCAGGCUUUGGCCAUUCUCAUUUCCAUUUUCCAGUACUUCAAAAUCGUAUCAGCAAUUGAUCAGGAAAAUGUGUUUCGAUUUCUGUCUUUUAUUAGUCUCGGUUAGUUAGGCUUAAGAGUAAGGGAUAUAAUUCAUUUUUCUUGUUUCAGCUAGAAAUUACGUCGAUGUCUUGAUUUUUAGUUUUUUUAGGGCUGUUUGGUUGUUUUUUUAGGGGUGUUUGGUUAGUUAGGCCUAAGAAGUAAGGGCUAGUGAAAGAGAAGCAUUUGAUUGUCCUACAAGUAUCUGAAUCGCCAAUGAAAGCAGAGGUUAUUUCCUCUGAAUUUCCACGAAUUGUUCAGGUUUGGAUUCUGUGAUUGUGUUGUUCUGUUGUUCUCUUCUUUAUUUUGGAGUGUUCUAGGAAAUUUUGAGGUUUGUUAUUUUUUAGUUUUUUUGGCUUGCCUUUAAUCACGCUCGUUUGGGAAUAGACAGGCUUCAGAGAAUGAAUCUCCUUUUUAAGGGUUCGUUGGGGAGCGAAGUGACCAUAUGGCAUCCCUUUCUGCACCUGCUCAGUCUCUCUCUUGCCUUUUUCAUACUACAUAUUUUUGUUUCUCAAUUUAGUGUCAGUGUCAACCAUGUCUAUGCUUUGGCCAUUCUCAUUUCCACUUUCCACUACUCUAAAAAUGUAUCUGCAAUUGAUCAGGUAAAAGUGUUUCAAUUUUCUGUCUUUGGUUCAUCUCCGUUAGUUAGUCUUAAGAGUAAGGGAGAUAAUUCGUUUUUCUUGUUUCCCUCCAUGUAUUGAUUUUUAGUUUUUUAGGGAUGCUUGGUUGGUUUGAAUGCACGAAACAUUUGCUGGUACACGAUUCAAACAGCUUGCCCAGUCAUGUUUUUCUAUUUUUUUUUAAUAUUUUGGAAUUUUGCAUGUGUGAUUUCUGUAUAUAUUAUUCUUGCCCUUUUCCUUUAUCAUCAUUUAUUUUGAUUUUGGAGAGGUCUCUUGGUUAUUUGUUAUUUGCACAUAUACAAGGGUUGAAAAUUUCAAUCCCACCUCUCUUUUAUAUUACAUUCAUUUAGUUUUGGCUGUUAUCUAAUUGAACUAUUUGAUCAUCAAAUAAUUGUGUUACCUUUUCUUCUAGAUGUUUAGAUUCAUUUUUCUCACUCUUUUAGUUUUCUUAAUGUGUGACAGUCUUUGUUUUUUAUUGAACUAUUGUGUGGCAGUCUUUAUUUAUUGGUUAUCUUUAGUUUCACUAUUGUUCUUUUUUUAAUGUUUUCUUAGUUUUUAAUAAGUGUGACAAAAUAUGAAUUAAUUUUUUUCUUUGAACAAAUGUGGAAUUUAUUUUCUUUUAAUGUAGUUGUGUCCCCAAUAAAUUUAUUUUGGCGAUUUAACAAUCCAUCAUGUUCUUUUUCAUUUUUCUGUUGUAUUUUCUUCGGUUCUUUGUUGUGGUAUGUCUAUUUUUGAGACAUUCUUAAUUUAGUUUUAUUUCUUUUAGCUUCCUGCAUCAUUUUGUAUUAUGGAUUGUUAUGAAAUUUUGAGAUUAUGCUUUAUUUUGUUUUUUGGUCCUUUGCUGUGAUGUCUUUUGAUUAUUUAUUUUGAGUGAACAGUUCAUGUAAGAUUUUCUGCAUGAGAAUAAAUUGAUUAUUUAAUUUGGUCAAAGAAGUUCAAAAUUUACAUGUGAAAUUUACACUCAGUGGCUGUAAGGUUUAAUGAGAAAAUUGGAAGUAGAAAAGAGUCCACAUUAAUUCAUUCAGCCAAGAGGGCUUGGCAUCCUAAGUUUGCUCUGGGUUCUGUUGGUGGCAUUCAUCAAUAUGUUAAUCUAUUAGGGAAUGUAUGGUUAUAACAAAGUAAGAAGAAUGGAAGUUCUGGGGGAGUAUUUGUGACAAGAGGGCAAGGAUGCUUCUGCAUCAAUUUAGUGUUAGUCAAUCAUGUCUAUGCUUUGGCCCUUCUCAUUCCACUUUCCACUACUACAAAAAUGUAUCUGCAAUUGAUCAUGUAAAAGUGUUUCAAUUUUCUGUCUUAGGUUCAUCUCAGUUAGUUAGUCUUAAGAGUAAGGGAGAUAAUUCAUUUUUCUUGUUUCAGCUAGAUGUUACCCUCCAUGUCCUGAUUUUUAAUUUGGCUUCCUAAGUGUGCUCUAGGUUCUGUUGGUGGCAUUCAUCAGUAUGUUAAUCUACAGGUGAAUCUAUAGUUAUAACAUAGUAAGAAGAAUGGAAGUUCUUGGGGAGUCUUUAUGUGUGACGGUCUUUGUUUUUCAUUGAACUAUUGUGUGGCAGUCUUUAUUUAUUGGUUAUCUUUAGUUUCACUAUUGUUCUUUCUUUAAUGUUUUUCUUAGUUUUUAAUAAGUGUGACAAAAUAUGAAAUUAUCUUUUUCUUUGAACAAAUGUGGAAUUUAUUUUUCUUUUAAUGUAGUUGUGUCCCCAAUAAAUUUAUUUUGGCGAUUUAACAAUCCAUAAUGUUGUUUUUCAUUUUUCUGCUGUAUUUUCUUUGGUUCGUUGUUGUGCGAUGUCUAUUUUUGAGACAUUUUUAAUUUAGUUUUAUUUCUUUUAGCUUCCUGCAUCAUAUUGUAUUAUGGAUUUUUUCGAAAAUUUGAGUUUGAUCUUGUUUUCCUGGUCCACUGCUGUGCAGUUUUUUUUUAUGAGAUAUUUUUAUUUAGAUUUAUUAUCUUUUAGCUUGUUUUGCAUUUUGCAUUAUAGAUUAUUUUUUAAAAUUUUGAGGUUGUUUUUUUUCUUUGAUCUUUUGUUGCGGUGACAAUUUUAAUUUAGAUUUAUUAUCUUUUAGCUUGCUUGCAUUAUGGAUUGUUAUGAAAUUUUGAGAUGAUGCUUUAUUUUGUUUUUUGGUCCUUUGCUGUGAUGUCUCUCUAUAAGACAUUUUUAAUUUAGGUUUAAUAACUUUUAGCUAGCUUGCAUUGUGGAUUGUUAUGAAAUUUUGAGUUUCUGCUUUCUUUUGAGUUUUGGUGAUGCCUUUUUACGAGACAUUUUUUAAUUUAGGUUAAUUUUUUAGGUUGCUUGCAUUUAUGGAUUGUUCUGAAAUUUUGACUUUCUGCUUUUGUUUUUUAUGUCAUUUGUUGUGUGAUAUUCUCUUUAUAAGAUAGAGAUAUUUUUAAUUUAGGUUUACUAUUUUUUAGCCUGCUUGCAUUUGGUAUCAUAUAUGAAUUGUUCUGAAUUUUGAGUUUCUACUUUUUCAGUCAUUUUUUUAGGGCUGUUUGGUUGUUUUUUUAGGGGUGUUUUGGUUAGUUAGGCUUAAGAAGCAAGGGCUAGUGAAAGAGAAGCAUUUGAUUGUCCUACAAGUAAUAAGCUUCUCCUCAAUCAUUCAACCAUUUUUUUAGUAAAGAAAGAGGCUUCUCCUCUGGCAACCAAAGUCCGUCCCUCGUUAACAGGUAAGUCUACCUCAUUACUUUUUAUGUCCUUUUAAUUAAGAUAUUUGGGUCAAUAUAUAUCAAAAUAAAUAAGAUCCAUCUUUGGUAAUUUUUAAAAAAAUUAAAUCUAUAAAUACUCAUUUCAUCUCUAAAAUUAUGUGAUUUGUACUUUCUAAAAUUCCCUCGAUGGUACUAAUACACUCUUAUAUUUGUAUUGUAAUUAUCAUGUCCUUUUUCUAUGGUUUUUUAAAGUUAAUUUAGAUCCUUAUUCGCUCUAGGUAUAAGUUGAAUGGAAGAGUUUUUUAGCCUUGAUGGAUCUUGAGUACCUGAAUCGCCGAUGAAACAGAGGUUAUUUUCUCGAAAAUUCCACGAAUUGUUCAGGUUUGGAUUCUGUAAUUCUGUUGUUCUUUUUUGAUUUUGGAGAGUGUCCUGGGUAAUUUUGAGGAUAUUAUUUUUUUGUUUUUUCGGCUUGCAUUUAAUCACGUGCGUUGGGGAAUAGACAGGCUUCGGAGAAUGAAUCACCUUUUUAAGGUUUCGCUGGGGAGCGAAUUGGCCAUAAGGCAUCCCUUUCUGUUCAGUCUCUCUCUUGCCUUUUUCAUACUAUAUGGUUGUUUGAUCUGGGGUUAUUGAAUGAUUGUUGCUUUUAUUUUCAUAAGAAGUGAUCUUAUAUUUUUGUCUCUCUGUGCAACUUUAAUUUGAGGUUAUUAAGGAAGGAGAUAAAGGAGGAAGAAGGGACGGAGAAAAGGAAGAAAUGACUGGAUUGUUGGGAUGGGUAUGAAGAUGCAGUAGAGCCACCACCUAGGUAAGGUCUAAUGGGCAAAUUGAAAGUAAAAAAGAGUGCACAUCCAUUCAAGCUAAGAGAGCUUGGGUUCCUAAAUUACUACUGCUCUAGGUUCUGUUGGUGGCAUUGAUUGGUAUUGUUAAUCUACAAGGGAAUUGAUGGUGUUAACAAAGUUAGAAGAAAGGAAGUUUUGGGCGUAUGUGUGACCGGAGCACAAAGAUGCUUCUGCAUCAAUUUACUGUCAGUGUUAAACUAUGUCCAUGCUUUGGUUUAUUUUCUAUUUUCUACUUUCCACUCCUCUCGAAAUGUAUCAGCAAUUGUUCAUGUAAAUGUGUUUCGAUUUCUGUUUGAUACUUCUCAGUUAGUUAGGCUUAAAAGUAUGAGAGAUAAUUCAUUUCUCGUCUCAUAUAGAAAUUAUCUUGAUGUCUUGAUUUUUAGGGUUUUUUUCAGCGGUUUUUGGUUUUUUUUUUUUUUUUUUUGGAUUUUGGCUAGUUAGGCUUAGAGGUGCAAGGACUUGUGAAAGAGAAGCAUUUGAUUGACCAACGAGUAAUUAGUUUCUCCUCAAGCAUCCCACCACUUUUCUAUUAAAGAAAUACAGGUACGUCUACGCUAUUACUUUUCAUGUCCUUUUACUUAAGAUAUUUAUAUAAAUAUAUAUAAAAAUAAAUAAGAUCCAUCUUUGGUAAUUUUUUUUAAAAUCAAAUCUGUGAAUAUUCAUUUCAUCUCUAAAGUUUUGCGUUUUGUUACUUUUUAAAAUUCCCUCCAUGUUACUAUUACACUCCUAUAUUUGUGUUGUAAUUAUGAUGUCCUUUUUCUAUGGUCUGUUAAAGUUAAUUUAAAUCCUUUUUUGCUCUUGGUUUAUGUUGAAGAAAUGGAAGAGUUUUUUAGCCUUAAUAGAUCUGGAGUACCUUAAUCGCUCUUGCAUUUUGUGAUUCUGUUCUUUUUCUAUUUUGAAGAGUGUCCUGAGUAAUUUUUAGGAUUUUUAUUUUAUAGUUUUUGUCGCUUGCAUUUAAACACGAACUUGGUUGUUGAACUGGGAUUCUUGAAUAAUUGUUGGUUUUGUUUUCUGAAGAAGUGAUCUUAUAUUUGUGUAUCUCUAUGUGCAACUUUAAUAUGGGGUUAUUAAGGAUGGAGAUAAAGGAGGAAGAAUGGAGAGAGAAAAGGCAGAAAUGACUUAAUUGUUGGGAUGAGUAUGACCCCAUGUCUAGUAGUUCCCAAGUAUGAUAUAGGAAGGCAGAGAGUCAAGGCCUUGUCUGACUCUAAUAGAAGUAAGUAGCUAACGCAACGCAAUAUUCUUUGCACCUUCAGUCUGUGAAUCUGAGGAGCAAGAGUUUGGCCAGAGGAGCUAGUCUCGUAACUGCGGGCGCAGUUCUAGUUCUUUACAAGACAGAUGGGAACUGUAGCUAACAAGUGUGCCCUGAGUGGAAUCCUACCACUACUCUUUCUACUAUAUUGGCAGGACGGGUGCCAAGUUAUUAGUAGCUAGGCAGCUAAGCCAGUAGUAGUUCAGUUCAGGUGCUGUUCUCAAACCUAGUUGACUACGUUGUAGCGUAGCGGUACGGGACAGAAAAAGAAUUGAUAGCGGUACACUGAACACAAAGAAAUUUGAUAGACAUAUGUUGAGAGUUCGACAAGUAGCACUGAAUCUACUAUCAGUAGUGAUUUAUAGAAGUUGACUCGCUUAAACGAAGAGAGUGAACAAAGCAUAGCGGAGUGAAGAGAGAAAUGGUUUCAUUAGAUAGCUCUCUCGAUGUCCUUGUUAUCUUUCCUAGGUAGAUUGUGACUUAUUCAUUCUUUCUCGCUGACUCUAGUUUCCCCGCCGUGGAUCCUUUCUCGGUUAGGGCUGUAAUUUAGAAUUCAGAAACGUAUCUGUCUUAUUAUCUUUGAGUCAAAGCAAUGUUACAUAUUUAUAUAGAGAAUAAACUAAACCCUAGAGACUAUGUAAAAUUACAAUAAAGGACAUAUGUGUAUAUAUAUAUAUAUAUCAUAACACUCCCCCUCAAGCUGGAGCAAAUAUGUCGAUCAUGCCCAGCUUGUUGCACAGAUAGCUUAUCCUUGUUCCAUUUAAAGCUUUAGUUAGAAUAUCUCCCAAUUGUUCUCCGGUCUUCACAUAUCCUGUGGACACCAACCCAUCUUGGAUUUUCUCACGAAUGAAGUGACAAUCCACCUCAAUAUGUUUAGUUCGUUCAUGAAAUACUGGAUUAGAUGCAAUAUGAAGUGCAGCUUGAUUAUCACACCAUAAUUUAGCUGGCACGGUAAUACUGAAGCCUAUCUCAGAUAAUAGUUGGUGAAUCCAUACUAUUUCACACACAGAUUGUGCCAUAGCUCUAUAUUCUGACUCAGCACUCGAACGAGAAACAACAUUUUGUUUCUUACUCUUCCAUGAAACUAAGUUUCCACCUACAAAAACACAAUAUCCAGAAGUCGAUCUCCUAUCCUCACGAGACCCCGCCCAAUCAGCAUCAGAAAAACAUUCAACUCUCGUAUGUCCAUGAUCUUUGUAUAGGAUCCCACGUCCAGGAGCAGCUUUUAGAUAACACAAAAUCUGCUCUACUGCAGCCCAAUGAUCCACUGUAGGGGAAGACAUGAAUUGACUUACAACACUUACAGAAUAUGCAAUGUCUGGUCGAGUCACUGUUAAGUAGUUCAACUUCCCAACUAAUCUCCUAUAUCUCUCAGGAUCUUUACAUAAUUCUCCUUCUUUAACAAGUUGCUGAUUUGGCAUCAUUGGAGUGCCACUUGGUUUGGCGCCUAAUUUUCCUGUUUCAGACAACAAAUCAAGUACAUAUUUUCGUUGAGACAAAUAAAUACCUUUCUUGCUUCUCAUCACUUCAAUGCCCAAAAAAUAUUUCAAUUGGCCCAAAUCUUUUGUAUAAAACUGACCCUGAAGGAAAGUUUUGAGAGACGAAAUACCCAAUGCAUCAUUUCCAGUAAUAACAAUAUCAUCAACAUAUACAACUAGUAGAACUAUACCCUUCUCAGAUCGGCGAUAGAAAACUGAAUGAUCAGAUGUACUCUUCUUCAUACCAAAGCAUACAAGGGCUGACUAAACUUACCAAACCACGCACGAGGACUCUGUUUCAAACCAUACAGAGAUUUUCGAAGGCGACAUACUUUAUCACUCUCCCCCUGAGCAACAAACCCUGGUGGUUGUUCCAUAUAAACUUCCUCUUGAAGAUCACCGUGAAGAAAAGCAUUCUUAAUGUCAAGUUGAUGCAACGACCAUUUAUUGGUAGCAGCCAUGGAAAGAAAUAGGCGAAUGGAAGUUAACUUGGCAACCGGAGAGAAUGUAUCUGAAUAAUCAGUGCCAUAGAUUUGAGCAUAACCUUUGGCAACAAGGCGAGCCUUUAAACGAGCCACUGUUCCAUCAGGAUUCAUCUUGACAGCAAACACCCAUUUACAACCAAUGGCCUUCUUUCCUGCAGGACGAGAUACCAAAUCCCAAGUAUCAUUAUCAUCUAAAGCAGUCAUCUCCUCAAUCAUUGCAUUUUGCCAGCGAGGAUGAGACAAAGCUUCAUGAACAGAGUUAGGAAUAGAUGUGGACUCAAGAGACGUAAUAAACGCAUAUGUGGAGGGAGAUAACUGGUGAUAGGAAAUAAAGGAAGAAACGGGGUAAGUACACUUGCGUUUACCUUUGCGAAGAGCAAUGGGAAGAUCAUCACUUGGCGCUGGAUCACAUGAUGAAGGAAGCAUUGAUGGAGGACAUGAGUCUGAAGGUUGUGGUGGAGGUCGUCGGGAGUAGACUUGAGAAAUCAACGGGCGGGAAGGAGGCACAUCAGUAGACAAGGAUGGUGUGGGAGAGGUAACCUCAUAUAUAAAAAGAUUGUCAUCCUCCCCCUGACACAAACUCGAUGGUGAUGAAGUAAAGGGUGUAUCUUCAAAAAAGACAACAUCAGGCGAAACCAGAUACCUUUUAAGGGUAGGACAAUAACAACGAUAACCCUUUUGAACACGUGAAUAACCCAAGAAGAUACACUUCAAGGAUUUGGGAUCUAACUUAGUAUGAUGAGGACGAACGUCACGAACAAAACAGACACAACCAAAUAUCUUAGGAGCAAUAGGAAACAAAUGCUUGGUAGGAAAAAGAACACGAUAGGGAAUCUCACCAUUAAGAACAGAGGAAGACAUUCUAUUAAUCAAAAAACAAGCUGUAGAGACAGCAUCAACCCAAAAGAUUUUUUAAACAUGCAUUUGAAACGAUAAAGCACGGGUAGUUUCAAGUAAAUGCCUAUUUUUCCGCUCUGCAACACCAUUUUGAGAUGGAGUGUCAGCACAGGAAGAUUGAUGAAUAAUGCCAUUUUCACACAAGUAAGAGCCAAGAGAAUGAGAAAAAUAUUCACCCGCAUUAUCAGUACGCAAAGUUUUGAUAGAGACAUUAAAUUGGUUUUUUAUUUCAGUAUGAAAGGCACAAAAAUGAGAUAAUAACUCAGAACGAUUUUUCAUUAAAUAUAACCAAGUUAGACGAGAAUGAUCGUCAACAAAAGUAACAAAAUAACGAAAGCCUGUUUGAGAUACAACUGGACACGGACCCCAAAUAUCAGAAUGAACUAACUCAAAUGGAGCAAUUGCUCGUUUAUCGACUCGAGGACUCGAACUAAGACGAUGAAAUUUCGCAAAUUGACACGAAUCACAAUUUAAAGAGGACAAAGACCUAAAUUCUGGAUAAAGUUUCUUCAACACGAACAAAGAUGGAUGACCUAAACGACAAUGGACUUCAAAAGGAGAGGGAACGACAGGACACGCCACAGCUUGCGAUACUUGAUGAUCAAAGAGAUAAAGGCCUCCUGACUCAUAUCCUCUACCAAUAAUCUUCUUCGUCACACGAUCCUGAAACAAGCAAUAACCAGAAAAGAACAUGACAACACAAUUUAGGUAGGUCAUGAGUAAGUUGACUAGUAGAAAUUAAAUUAAAGGAUAAGUUAGGCAAAUGUAACACAGAAGAGAGUGAAAAUGAUGGGGUAAGGUGAAUAGUGCCAGAGCCAAGAACAGAAGAUGUGGAGCCAUCGGCCAAUGUAACCGAUGGAAAAGGGGCAGGGGACAACGGUCUAGAAAAUAGGUGAGAAUUACCUGUCAUAUGAGCUGUGGCACCAGAGUCUAUGACCCAUUUGGUAGAUGAUGUAAGAAGACACUUUAUAUUACCUGGGGCAACAGUGGAUGCAAUCAGAGUAGAGGAAGAUGACGCUUGUAAUGACUCUUGGUAAUUCUGAAACUUAGCAAACUCAUCUGCCGAAAUAGUAACUGACGCCUCUGGUAUAUCACAUGUGGAGGCUAUCUGAGCAUGUUGAGAUCGUUGACUAUUCUUAUAUAGCAAUUUCUGACAAUCACGUUUCAUAUGGCCUGGCUUACGACAGUAGUUACAAACAAUCUCUACAGACUCUGGUUUUCGAUGAUCAGUACUAUUCCUCUGAGGUGCCCGAGGGUUAUUGUUAUUGUUCUUGCUAAAGAGAGCACUACUGGGUUGAGGAAUAGACACACUAGUCGGAGAGCUUUCAAUGCGAAGGACUCGAGUGAAGGCAUCAUCUAAUGAUGGAAUCUUGGAGUCAGAGAGAAUCUGUGUCUUUGCCAUUCCAAAUUCAGGUAAGAGUCCAUUCAGGAAAAUCAUAACAGCCAUCUUCUCUCGUUGAACUUGUUGAACUUUAACAUCAGGACUAAAAGGUAACAACAAGCCAAGCUCGACAAUGAUCUUCUUAAGCCGCAUAAAGUAGCUGGUGACAGACUCAGCUUUCUGUUCCGCACGAGAAAAUUGCAUACAAACUUCAAACAUUCUAUGCACUUGCUCUUUACCUGAGUAUAGAAAAUCCAAAAAUUCCAAAAGUUCUUUAACAGACUCACAGUGAUCAACCAAUCCAAUUAUCUCACUCUCAAUUGAAUUCUUGAUCUGAAGAUAUAAACGGGCAUCAUCACGAAGCCAAUCCUUCUUCUGCUUUGCAUCUUUUGGGAGAUCGAGUUUCAAACCUUUAUACACAAAAUUGAAACUCAAAAUUCACUUCCUUCCUUCCGCAAGGCCGAUAUCUUUCAUAGCAAGCAAGGAUGAGUCCAUUAGGUUCUUCGAUUGAUUCGGAAAAGAAAUGAGAGACAAGAAAAGAUCUUUGAUGGAGAUGAAAAGGAAGAAUCUCAAAUAGACCAAGAUCCAAUUUCGGGUCAUUUCUUGGUGAACAUGAUCUGCCAUAAUCUCUUCGAUCCCUGAAUUUAUGUGCCAGAAUAAAGAGAGAUUUGGUAGGAAAGUGGAAGAGACCUUGUGGUAUAUAAUAAUGAGAGGGAGUGGGAAAGCUGCUGUAAUUCUUUGGAAAAGCCCGGUUCUUUUUGUCUUCGAGCUUGAAUUCCUCAAUCCACUCUUUCGUUCUUUCAUAUACCUCCCCACCAAUAGAUAGAGACAAAUAGGAAUAACCGAACCACGUCUACAAAAUGCCAGUACCAUGCAGCUGCUUCAAAGCCAAUGUGAUGCUCCUUGGUCGGAUGACCUAGAUAUUGGCGAAUACCACAUACGAUCAAGAAAAGAGUACCUAUAAUCACAUGAAAACCAUGAAAGCCAGUUGCUAAGAAAAAGGUAGAACCAUAAAUACUAUCCGAAAUAGUGAAGGGUGCUUGAUAAUAUUCCAUUCCUUGAAAGCCUGUGAAUACUAGAGCCAGUGAAACGGUAGCUACUAAAGCGUAAACAGCUCGUUUUUCCUUCCCCGCGAGUAUAGCAUGAUGAGCCCAAGUUACGGCUGCUCCGGAUGAAAGGUGAAUAGGGGUGUUAAGAAAAGGGAUUUCCCGAGGAUCUAAAACCCCAAUCCCUUUUGGGGGCCAAAUAUCUCUGAUCUCUACCGUAGGUGCCAAAGAAGAAUGAGAAGAAGCCCGAAAGAAGCAAAAAGGAACAUAACCUUCGAUACGAUAAAGAGAAUAAAACCAUAUCGAAGUCCUAUUUUUACGACUUUGGUAUGAUGUCCUUCCAACGUGGAUUCACGUAGAACAUCGCGCCACCAUACGAACAUGGUAUAUAGGAGAAAUAUGAGGCCCAAACUGAGAAGUCUUGCACCCCCUUGAAAUGAGUGCAUGUACAUCACACCUCCUACGGUGGUUGCCAAAUGAUAAGAAUGCCUCUGAGAUUCAAUCAUAAACCACUUUGCCUCGGUUGUAUGUAAACCCCCCCUUCACCCCCACCCGCUAAAGUGGUAAAGAAGGGCUCUUUGGGGUCUCAUUUUCUUUCUAUCUGACAGGACUCAAAAAUAGGAAGGGAUGGUUCUUUCAUUGCAUUGAUAGAAGUCUAACUAGAAAAAGAUCUCGUUGCUUUGACCGAGCCCUAGGCUUUCCUUGGAUAGAGCCCUCUAUAUUCCGACUGAUUUAUGGCGUAGAAGGCGGGAAUAGGAAUCACUCAUAUUGCAUUGAGCCUUAACAGUCCGGAGGACUAUCCCGCUCCGUGGGAUUCUUUGAGCCUCACAAUAUUCUUUGCACCUAUCCAUCCACGGCAAUAUUCUUUGCACCUUCGCUCCAAAUAAAGUAAUAGCCGCAACUCAAUUCAUUUCAGCCUUCGCCUAGAAAUUCACUUUGCGACCCACUCUGUAAGCCCACUACACGAGAAGAAAGAAUAUCCUUAGCUAUUUAUCUUUAUUAUCUCUUCUCUGAGAAUAUCCUCUUAUUCUACUAUUAGAAGAAUAUCCUACUUUCAGUUUCUAGUCAAAGAAAGGUCCAGGCGCAGGCGCAAAGAAUAUUGCGAGGUGCAGUCUAAUGGAUAGGACUGAGGGCUCGACUGAAAGGAGAGAAGGCGCAAUUCAAUAUGCGAGGUCCAUAUUCCGACUGAGGAACUGAAACUUCCGCGUAGUGCUUCCCUUGUUCAUUGAUAGUAAUCCUGAAGUUUCUUCUUGGCAUCAAAAUAGAUCAAUGAAAGAGGACUAAAAAUAAGACGAAAGUACUUAUGACGGCUUUCCUUCCCAACAAAUCUUCGUUCUUAGUUAUUUGAUUCCACUUUCAAACUUUCUGGGAGUUGUCUUCUCCUAGGCUUUCUUCUUUCUGGCAGUCUUCUGCCUUGCCGUAGGGAGUAGGUUCAGGAGAACCAUAACCAUAAAUCAGAGAGACGGAGGCAUCAAUCACGCAAUAUUCUUUUGCACCUCUUCCUUUAAGCUAUAUUUUUUUAGGCUCCGGAGGCUCAAAGACAGGGAUAUUGUUGAAUACUAUUAGUUCGAGUCGCAGAGAGCAAAGAAUUUUCUCUUAAUGGAACUUAGCGCGGGUUAAUAUGGAUAGGACUGAGGUCUUAAGACUCCUAACUAUUAAUGGAAAGGACCCACGGAGCGGUGCAAAGAGAUAUAUAUAGAAGGGCAGACAGGUCCUGAGGACCUGUCUGUCCUUCGGUCUUAAUACUCCUAACGUCGAAUAAGAAGCUGGAGGCUGGGUCCAGGUGCAAAGAAUAUUGUGUCCAUUAGAUCCAUUGAAUUAGGCGAAGGAUUUUAUCAAGCUUAGCUUUCUGGAUUCUUCGGCGGAGUGAGGCUUUCUCUAGUAGGUCUGGAGGCACAAAGAAUGAUCGAAGGCUCCAGACCAUAAAGAAGAGAGUCGGAGGACUUCCAUUGACUUUUUCUUCCUUUCACUUCUAACUUCAAACCUUUCAUAUUCAACCUUGAAAAUAAAGGAGGGAGCGGACUACGGAGGCCAUAAGUUUGAGUUCCUCAGAUGUAUAAAAACAAGUCCUCCGGACGACCUAUCCACUGAAAGUAGCUACGUAGUCUUGUCUCCUUCCCCGCGUAGUGGGCAUUGACUUCUUCAUUGAUUUUCUUCUAUCUCCCACGUAGCGGGUUUGAAUUAUGAAAGGAAGCCCACAGAGCUGAAGAUGGAGCGGGAUAAUAAAGAAGAAAGCUCAAAAGGAGGGAGCGGACCUCAAUGAACAAGGGGAGGACUCGUUUUCAUCCUUAUGGAAGAAAAAUCUCUUUUUUUUUUAUCUAAAAGACGUAGAAGGAGGCUCAAUGUCUAAUCUUUCUCUCAAAUCAAUAUCUCCCAGUGCAAAUAUUCCAGCAAUAUUCUCAAUAUGAAAAGAGCCUUUCUUCUUUUCUUAGAUAAAUGCGCUUCGUAGAUUAUGCUGAAGGAGGAGUGGGCCAUGAUCUUUGCUCCUUAAUUUCCCUAAUGGAUAGUCAUCUGGACCUUUCUUUUUAGUUCUUUGCGCUCUCGUCAACGCAUAUUUCAUUGCGCCUUCGCCUUCAAUGAAAAUCCAUAAAUAAAUAAGGGUAGAUUUCAGACUCAAGAGGAGGGUUCCUUAUCAAUAUCAAUAUGAGACGGAUAGGCUUUCUUUUACAUUCCACAGGUCCGAAGGACUAUCCAUAUUAACAUGUCUGUCCUUCGCCUAACUAGUUUCAUAUAGACCUUUGUUUUUCUUCCGCAGUCACUAAUAUGGAUAGUCCGGAGGACCUCCUUCAGCAUAAUCUAUGAAUGAUCGGAGCAAAGAAUAUUGCGGAAAAGAAGAAAGGAGUGCAAGCGAAAAAUAAUGGAUUGAAUAGUCCUUCGGACGAACUACCGCACUUGGGGGAUAUUGUUGAGAAAGAAUAUUGAAAAAGAAUGAUCGAAGAAUAUUGAAAAAGGACGGAGGAUAGGCUUUCUUUGAACAAUGUGGAUGUAUCAAAGAUUCCACAGGUUAAUAUGGUAGAUUUCAGACUAGUCCUUCACCUUGGAUCUGGGGACUAUUCUCUGUUCUAAUAGACAGAGGAGAGGUUCAAAGAAUAUUGAGAAUACUCGUGCAAGCGCAAUCAAUGAACAAGGUGAAAAGAAUAAAAAAAAAGGCGGUCGAUGAUCAGGAAGAAAAAGUCAAAAGUCUAUCCCAUCUUCUUCGUUAGGCGCAAAGAAGAAAAACAAGGUGCAAAGAUCUAUGGCCCAAUUAUAAGGGGUCCAGAUGCACCAUAAGACUGGUCCGAAGGACUAUCCAUAUUAACCGGAGUCUUCAACAAGAUUUCCAACAUUGAAUAUUAAGCUACUGAGGCCCAAUAUUGCGAAGGAAGAACUGCGCCAUAAGACAGGUCCGAAGGACUAUCCAUUAGGGAAUGAGACGGAGGUAACGUUUGGUUUUUUGGAAACUUGUUGGUCGCGGAUUAGUGCGUUUUUUUUGGAAAGUAACAAUUCUCUUCAGUUUGGUUUCAGAAAACUUGUUGGUCACGGAUUAGUGCGUUCUGCGCCGCCUGGUGUCACGAACAUAUUUUUCCAAAGUGUGUUUACCUUUGGUUAUAUGCUCCGAUUACCCCCAGUUUAUCUCAUCUUUAGUUUGCAUAACUAGUUUAGCUGAUUGCUUUUCAUUCUAGGUCAUAAAGCUUGGGUGUGACGUUUCGGCAUUUUCAUAUGCAAGCCUGCCAGAGAGGAAAAUGUUCAAAAUGUACUAUAGGGGAGGCAUACCAGUUGAAUCCCCGCCCAAGCAUUAGUUGUACUCUUUGCAAGCAACCCUUUUUCCUUGCAAUUGACAGUCUUUAAUGCUUAUUGUAACGUCUAUUUCAAUGUAUUUCUUUCUUUCCCGUGUUUUAUAAAUAAAAUGUCCCUAAAACGCAAACGAAGGUUACGACAUACAUCGACGUUACCCACAACUCUUGGAUAUUGAUCGACUGACUUGUUCAUCGAGUUAGAACAAGUGCCGCACAAUCGUCCGUCUCGAGGUUGAAACGCUACGAUUGUGACAAGUGGUAUCAGAGCCAAAGUUGGCUGAGUGACAGUUUUGACAAAAAUAAAAUGUCGACUGCAAAACGAGCGAGCAAGACCCAUGAAGAACGGUUGGUGGGGAUCGAAGUGCAGAUGCUCCACCUGAUGGAAGUUCCUGAUUCCAUCCGGUUCUUGGAAUAGCGGCUUGAGGAUAUUGCCAAGAAAGCUGAUGGCAUUGAAGCCGUGUCCGGUCGCCUUGACGGACUACCCAUCCAAGAGUUACUGACUAGAGUCGACACUCUAGAGUCCCGAGUUAUGAGAACGGGAAAUGUCACCUACGAGCGUGGGGACAGUUCAUCGGGCUCUGUUGCCCAGAUGGAAGAACGAGUUAUGGAGCUUGAUAACUCGCAAAAGAACAUGUUGGAGAUGAUCAGCGGCAUGACAAAGGAUUUUCGAGCAACCCUCGAUGUCGUGAGGAAUGAGCUCGCAGAGGUAAGCACGAGGGUGAACCUUACUAUGCGAGCACUAGAAAAUCAGGCUCUAGCUGGAGGAGCCAUUCCUGUGGGCAGAAUCAAGAUUCCUGAGCCCAAGCCCUUCUGUGGGGCGAGAGAUGCCAAGGCGUUGGAAAACUUCAUCUUUGAUGUCGAGCAGUAUUUCAAAGCCACGAACACAAUUACUGAAGAGGCCAAGGUGACGUUGGCAACCAUGCAUCUGUCAGAAGAUGCGAAGUUAUGGUGGAGGUCCCGAUACAUGGACAUUCAAGAAGGGCAUUGCACAAUCGACACGUGGGAUGCCCUAAAAGGAGAACUCCGUUCGCAAUUUUCCCUGAGAAUGUCGAAAUUCUGGUCCGACGGAAGCUGCGUGAAUUGAAGCACACGGGGAACAUUCGGGACUACGUGAAACAGAUUGCGGGGGUAAUGUUGGAUAUACGCGACAUGAUCGAAAAAGAUAAAAUAUUCAGCUUUGUUGAAGGGUUGAAGCCAUGGGCAAGGACUAAGCUAUACGAGCAGAAAGUCCAAGACCUCGUGUCAGCCUAUGCAACAGCUGAACGUUUGUUUGAUCUGUCUAAUGACGUUCAAGAGACAAGACAUCAUUGAAGCUCUUCACCUGGAAGAGACAGAAACAGCCGACUGAGUUCUCCCGAAGCUGUCAGUAGAAAUAAAAGUCCCGGCAGAGACCGCAAGCCCUUCCAGUCAAAUACGGGGAACACCAGGCAAAGGCCCACUAGUCAAAGGACCUCCCACACUCCUAUCAUGUUGCUACAUUUGUAACAGGCCACAUCGGACAAGGGAAUGUCCGGAUAAAGCGGCCUUCUACGCCUUCCAGGCCUCUCUGGCUACAGACUUAGGUGACAAGUUGGGUCAACCAGAGAAUGAAGGUGGGUAGGUGGAGGAAGUCCAAAACGUUAGAGUAGGGGCCAUAAGACUCUUGUCGUUCCUUCAGAAUAAAGCAGGGGAGACAAGUGGUCGUACAAAAGGGGGCCUAAUAUAUGUGGACACCUGGAUCAACCGAAGGCAUGCAAAGAGCACUAUGGUUGACUUCAGUGCAACCCAUAAUUUUAUAACGGUGGCGGAAGCCAGACGAUUGAACCUUCACUAGAAGAAGGAUACAGAAAGAUGAAGGCCGUAAAUUCUACAGCUUUACCCGUCGUCGGAGUAGUGAAACGAGCGGUGAUACAGUUGGAAAGAUGGAACGGCCUUGUUGACUUUGUGGUUGUGGGCAUGGAUGACUUUGAUGUAGUUCUCGGAAUGGAAUUCCUUCUCGAACAUCAAGUGAUCAUGAUGCCUGCAGCCAAAUGUCGGUGAUCACGGGAUCUACCCCACCGUUAUGCAGAUACCCCCACCAUUAUGGCAGAUAGAACUCCGGCAACCCAAAGGAUUGAGAAUGGUCUCGACCAUGCAACUGAGGGAGGGCCAUAUUCAGGAAGGACACAAGGCGUGUCGUGGAGAGACGUUGUGAUGGGAAACAGGAUAGUUUGCCCAUGUCAGAAUCGCCUACGAGAAAUGAUCAUCGUAUGGCGCAAUCAAAAUCAUCUGGACUCAGGAGACAGUCAAGAAGACUGUCAGGUGCAGGAUCCACUAGACCUGCGAGAGAUCCGUAUCAAGCACAAGACUUCUUACGGAAGGAAGAGAAUGGACAAUUGUGUGUCAACAACCGUGUCCUAAAGCAAGCCCCGAGGAGAGGGCCAACUUUUGAGUCCGUGAGUGGGACUCAGCCUGUUGAAGCUUACGCUAAGGCAUAUGGUCCUGUGUCAGGUGGCAUCCUAAUGCAGAAUGGACACCCUGUCACAGCUGAGAGUCAGAAACAAAGUGCCGCAGAAGGUAGUUAUACGAUGUUUGGAAAAGGAAUGCUGACCACGAUACGUAGUCUGAAGGAUGGAAGACAACAUUCCCAGGGGUCUACACAUGGAAGAGAGACGAACAACAUUGCGACCAACCGCUUUGAUACUCGGCCGAAGUGGGCUUUGAGUCAAGAAAAGUGGCAGAGGGACGUGUCAAGGAAUCCUUGCAGAAAAACUCUGUCAUUGAAGUUGAUGUAAGUCUGGCGGAGACCAGUCAGGUGGAAGAAAAGAAUGGAGUUCAAUUGUGGAAGCUAACCCAAUCUUAUGUUAAUGCUGCAAUGAGUUCGUCAAUGGAUGGAAACCAGUUUGUGGGUGUUUGUGGCGGACAUUCUGUACAGUCCCGCCUUGUUGGUCCCUCCUAUGUUGGUAAGAAUCCUCAAGCUUGCAACAGUACCAAGAGGUGGAAGCUGGAGUCAGACAUCGUUCGGACCGAUCGAGAGGAAGCCUCGAAGUGGCCAGAAAAGUGGGCAGAUAAGAAGCAUCGCCUCCGUGAUUCCCGUGGGGGAGACCAGGUCAUCGUCAAACGGCGAUCUGAACUGACUCAGUUUUUGAAGAAGACUUCAAGAUCACUGCCUCGUGAGAGAACGCGAGGGACAAACAGAAGUUCAAGAAGUCCUUGCUAAAGAAGCAAGGAAAAGAAGAAGACCCAUGGGGGGAUACACAAGUUCGUGGUGAAGCAGAGGAGCCUCCUCAUGGAAGAAGCCUGUGGAAGACGUACCAAGACUGUGAAGCGUGGAGGUAGAAGAUCGAAGGAUUCCAGCUUUGCCAGUCGACGGGGACGUCAACUGUUUAAGUGGGGGAGUGUGUCACGGACAUAUUUUUCCAAAGUGUGUUUACCUUUGGUUAUAUGCUCCGAUUACCCCUAGUUUAUCUCAUCUUUAGUUUGCAUAACUAGUUUAGCUGUUUGCUUUUCAUUCUAGGUCAUAAAGCCUUGGUGUGCGUUUCGACAUUUUCAUAUGCAAGCCUGCCAUAGAGGAAAAUGUUCAAAAUGUACUAUAGGGGAGGCAUACCAGUUGAAUCCCCGCCCAAGCAUUAGUUAUACUCUUUGCAAGCAACCCUUUUUCCUUGCAAUUGACAGUCUUUAAUGCUUAUUUUAACGUCUAUUUCAAUGUAUUUCUUUCUUUCCCGCGUUUUAUAAACAAAAUUUCCCUAAAACGCAAACGAAGGUUACGACAUACAUCGACGUUACCCACAACUCUUGGAUAUUGAUCGGCUUACUUGUUCAUCGAGUUAGAACAAGUGUCGCACAAUCGUCCGUCUCGAGGUUGAAACGCUACGAUUGUGACACCCGACGGCCACAUAGAAUUGAGAAAAGCCUAUGGUUGAGGCAGCAUUAAUUUAUGAAACUUUACACGUGGGAAGGGAUGACUCUUUCUAUUCAAACCUGUAAACAUAGAAGACCGCCUCAAUGAACAAGGGAUCAUUCACAUAGAAUAAAUAUGAACAACGAGAAAGGGAAUAUAAGGUUUGAAUUCAGAGGAAAGCCUAGCUUGAAUGAACAAGGUGAAAAGAAUAUUGACAGCUGCACUUACGAGUCUUUCAGUUACCUUUCUGCCUCUUUAAAGAGAGUUCAAGGUUUUCUAUUAUCGAAAGAAUCAGAAUAAGAAGAAAAUAGAGGAAGACAGAGAGAAGAGAGCUCAGGAGGCGCAAUGAAAUAUGCGUGAGAAGCGCAUUUCCUUAGUGGAAUACUUUGAUAGCGGAAUAAGAAGUCGGAGGCUCGGUCAAGACGAUCUUUUGAUCUAUUCUAAUGGUUCUAAUGGAUAGUCCUUCGUUUUAGAGUCCUACAGAUAAAUCCUCCGGACUGGUCCGAAGGCUAGGUUCAUACGGAUAGUCAGGAGGACGGUUAGUUGGAGCCUUGUUUUUCGAAAUCUUCUUUGAGCCUCAGUCGUCUCAUUGAUAAGGACAUCUUUGCAAAUGAAGAGCGGGAGGUGCAAAGUGCGGCUAUUACUUUGAAAAGAAUAGGAGCUCCGCGGUUUGAAUUGAAUAAAAAGGAUAGGCUGAAAUUCAAAGUGAAUAAGAGGAUAUUUUCAGAUAUAAUAUCUAAAGUCAAUGAACAGGGGCUCCUAACCUCUGAUUUAUGGGGAGCCUACUACGUCCAUUAGUUCCGAACUUGGCUCCACUCCUAGUAGUUCGAACUUGGCUUUGCUCCUUCGCUUUUUCUCUUAUUGAUCUCUCUUGUAAUGCUUUCUACUAAGAAUCAAGAAAGCGCAACUUCUAUUUUGUUCGAACGACCUUGAUUAAAAAACGAUGCUUCCUUGGUCGUGUAGAACAUGGAUUAGCAUUAUUUCAUUCCUACAAGCGAUCCCCCAUCCAGGAUUGGAAGAAGUGCUAUAUGAGGACUUUGAGAUCAAAUAGAAUAUAUUUCUUUCAAGACCUCGUGAGCCACUUAUUUCUCUGAAACAAGAGAGAAAAGUGAUUUUCCUCCUUUUUCUCAAUAAGUCGACGACCUUACACCAUUGGGAUACUUCUUUGAAACUAGAGUACAUAUAGGAUACACCGGUGCUAAAACCUUUUCUCAAAAGAUCUUCCAAACUGUUGGGGUCCUUGCUCCGUAUGUUCUUCCCCCGGUGUGAAAGCAGUUGGUUCCAUAGUUUGAGAAUUCUACUGAUCCCAAGUACUCCAUCUCCAUCAUUGCAUAUGGGAAUAUAGAAAGUCAAGAAGAAAAGGCAUGAGCAGAAGAAUUGUGUGAAAUAAGUCAAUUUAUCCAAUUGAGGCAUUCUUUCUUUUUCUUAAGAAAAUUCCCUCUAGACAUAAAUCCUUUCUGUACGAGUAGUGAAGAACUAUAGAGAGUAGUGGUUGGUUGUUGACCAACGAAAAGCAUGGGAGAAAGAAAGAUGUUGGCAAGGAAGCAUCAAAUUAGAUCAAUGGAAGAGGCUCAAAGAAUGAUCGAGGACUAUUUUAGUUCGACUAGAAACUAGGGAAACUAAAGACUAACGAAAUCUAGAUGAGAAUCCGUACAAUUAGUCUCGAGAAAAAGAAGAAAGCAAUAAAAAAAGUGAAGACAGAAAAUGAACCGAAAAUCUUCUUCUCUCAUAUUGAAUUCAUCCUUCUACGCAUCUCCAUGGGCUCGACUGAGAGUGGAGGAGAGGACGGGAAGAAUGAGAAAAAUAGUAAGGCGAGAAGACAGGUUCGAAGGACUAUCCAUCAGGGAGUUUGGACCCCGUAGUUAGGAGCAAAGAAUAUUGCGAAAGAGUCAUAAUAGGUACAAAUCUUCUUAUAGAUUAUGUUGAAGGAGGCGGCGCAAUUCAAUAUGCGAAAGUCAUGAUCCCUUUAAAGCAGACGUUAGGCGCAAAGAAAGAAGCUCAUUAACGAGAAUGAAAGAAUAAUUCACUCAUUAACGAGAAUGAAAGAAUAAUUCACUCAUUAACGAUAAUGAAAGAAUAAUUCUGAUUUCAUCACCUUGUUUUUACGGAGUUCAAUACUAGAUUGAAGACGGAGGGAAAUCCCAGAUUUUGCUAGGUUUUGGGCCUAUAAAGUAGCAAGAAAUCAUGAAAAAUCAGUCAAAAUUAGACAAUUAUCGUAGCAUAUCAAUAUGAGAAAAAGUAUGAAAAAGAAGCAAAAAAGUCGGGAAAUAGCAAUUCAAGAAGAAAGCCUAGGACAGGGAAAAGAAAUGAACACUUCUAGUUUGAGUUUAUGGUCCGGAUACUGACAGGUCUAUUCUUUAUUCCGCUCCUGAAUACGGAUAAUCCUACUUCGGUUAAUUACGGAUAGUCCUCCUUCGGUUAAUUACGGAUGGUCCUACGGAUAAAUCCUCCAGACUACUUCCUUCCAUAUGGAUGGUCCUACUUCGGUUAAUUACGGAUGGUCCUACUUCCAUAUGGAUGUCCUACGGAUAAGAAUCCUGCAGACUCCGGACUACUUUGGUUAAUUACGGAUGGUCCUACGGAUAAAUCCUUCGGACUCCGGAUAAAUCCUGCGGACUCCGGACGUACGACGUAGGAUAAAUCACCUGGACCUUUCUUUGGCACUACGGACUACUUCGGUUAAUUACGGAUGGUCCUACGAAUAAAUCCUCAAGACUCCGGGUCGUAAGACGUAGGAGAAAUCCUGCGGACUCCUUCCUUCCAUAUGGAUGGUCCUACGGAUAAAUCCUCCAGACUACUUCAAUUAAUUACGGAUGGUCCUACUUCCAUAUGGAUAGUCCUACUUCAAAUGGAUAGUCCUCCGGAUAAAUCCUGCGGACGUAGGACCCUGGACCUUUCUUUCUUUAAUGGAUAGUCCUCCAGAUAAAUCCUGCAAACUGCGGACGUAGGACCCUGGACCUUUCUUUGGCACUCCGGACGAAUAAAGAAAGGAUAAAUAAAGGCGCAAAGAAUAUUGCGAAGUGAAGCGCAUUUAUCUAAGAAAAGAAGAAAUGAUAAAUAAAGGCGCAAAGAAUAUUGCAAGAGCGGGAAUUACCUUUUCUCUUCGGGUUAGCUAAGAGUUGCCGGAGGCUUGAAGUCGGAUAAUUACUUUUACUUAAAGGUUUCACAAACCUGGAAAAUCUUCUCCAAAUUAGCGUUAGCGUUCUGAGCUAGCCAAGCAGUAUAUUUAAAAUAUAGAAAGAAGAAAAAUCCAUGCAAUCCAAGUACACUAAGAACCUACAGCAUCGUCACCGCUGCGUGGGAAGGUUAAUUCUUCUAACUCUAGUAUUAUCGUUGAACAAGCAGUUCAUAUUCGACUGCCCGCGUAGUGGGGGAAGCUCGCUCGCUAACUUUGCACUUCGGCCAAAAUGCCGAAAAAAGGCUAAGGCCGAAGGAGGUCUGCUCCUUCGCUCAAGGAAAAAUUGCCCGAUUGGAUAUAUAUCUUGGAGCAGAGAGAGGAAAGGAUGACGGAAGCCUCAGUCUCAGUACGAAACGGGCAAAAAGCUGGAAAAGGCAUACUGGCUUCACCUUGCCCUAGGAUGGGGUCCGCCGGAUCUUUUAAGGCAUAAGCUUAAUGCUGAGACGCACGGGGAUAUCCGGUCAAGGAUGGAUAUUCAAGACAAGGACGAAGGCUCUCCUUCACGCAAGAUGAUUACAAGUCUUAGGAGUGAACUUCCGCUUUACCCCUUGUGGUAUCAUGAAGCGAAGGGCAGAGAAAGCGAGCGAGAAAACAUAAAUCAAGGCGGUCGUUGACUUAAAAUAGGCAAAAAGAAAAGACAGAGAGCCUACAGGUUUCUCGAUUUACCCUUCUUUUAGGAUAGAAAAAGGCACUGCCUGUGUGACCACUACAAGCAGACGUGACGAGCGAUGCAGGGCCACCCACGACCGCUAGCAAUACGAGGUAAAGCGGCCAGAAAGCAUACCAUAGGAUGCGUCCUGAGGGCAUUCACAUAAACAUUCUUCGAAUUGUUCACAUUCGGCGGGAUGUUCUUAGCCUUGUCUCCAAGUGAAUAAUUGAAUCGGCACCGACACGAUCGGACCUAUUGCAGCCUUCGGUUGACUGGUGGCAUUCGAUGGUAUGCUUUGAGGCCUUCCCAACCUGCUCCGUGUAAAAGAGGUAGAAGGAGGCUCAAAGAAUUAUCGAAGAGCGAGACGAAAGAAAAUAGCGACUUCCAGUCGGUGAUGGGAUAUCUCAAUGUUAUCGCAGAUUCAAAGGCGCAAAGAAUAUUGCAUUGAGGCUCGAUUGAAAGGAGAGGCGAAUUUGAGAAGAAAGAACUAUAUCGGAUAAAUACUCAACUGCCUCAGAUGUCACUGGGACAAGAGCCGGAGAUUCUGAAACCUCUCGCAGCUUCUUUGCUUCCUUUGGUCUCGAUAUUUGAACCGCCUCAAUAAACAAUAAAUAAGGGUCCAAAAAAUCAAGGUCAUCUGAAACCCUUUUUUUUAUGCGCCUCAAUCCUAUCCAUUAGAACGCCGGCCCUCACCCUUUUUCUCAAAUUCUUUGACCCUCUGUCUCAGUAUUCGGCGGAGAUGCUGAUGUUAACAACAAAUGCAGGCUGAAUGUUGUAUGGAAGGAUGAUCAUUUCGGCUUCUUGUAGCCAUUGAUGUUGUCUAAUGCUUGGAGAGACAUUGUUUAAUGUGACUUUGGACAAGGUUACUGAAGAUAGAACUAUCUGGCUUUAGGUCAGUUUUCAGUUGCUAAGACAGUGAAGCUCUUUCAUCUUUCUGGUAAUACUGUCCCUUGGUUCAAGCUUCUUUGGGGUAAGAAGCACAUCCCUAGUCAUGCUUUUCUUUCGUGGAUGGCUAUGAAUAAGAGUCUGAGAGUCAAAGCUAAACUGUAUAAUCUUUAAGUGCUUUCGUCUUAUUUUGAGGUUUGGAAGCAAAGAAGCAGAGCGGAGUUUGAUUCCUUAUAUCAGAAAAAGAUAUAGGAAGACUCCCAGAAAGAAGAAAGCCUAGGAGCAAGCAAAGAAAGAGUAAGGAUCAGAAAGCUCCUAACCCCUAUUUAUUUAUGGAUGUGAAUUGAGCGAAGGCGCAAAGAAUAUUGCGAAGGUUAAAAGAAUAUUGACUUGAUAAACCUCUAUUUAGCUUCUUAUAUCUGAAGACGAUAAAGUCAGAUAAUCAGCCUCCGGCUGGGUCGGAUCGUCCAUACCUAGUUGAGUAUCUCUGUCCGUCAUAACGAAUUCACUCUUUGAAAAAGGGUCGGACUUUGUUGGAGUUGACUCGGUGAGUACACUUUCAUCUUUACGAGAAGAAGCGCGAACAACAACUAUAUUAUUCAGCGAUAGACCUGAUUUACCCGAUGAGUGGAACGACUCGACAAAAGUCUUAGGACUCGGGACAGACGCGCCUCCUUCCUGCUAGAACUCAUAGGUCUACGGGGGUUCUUUCGGUAGCGAGAAUAGUGGUCCCAAACGGAAUAGAAGUACUUUUGAUUCACUGAAUCAUAAUCUUUGAAAGAAGAAAGGGGGACGGAGGAUCAAUGAAAUUUGAUGAUGAUGAGUAAGCUCUUGCUUUUCUUGCUCCUCUUUCUGAAGUUGCGAGAGGUUCAAAUAUCCUUAUCAAUGAUUGGAGUGAUUGUUCCGGUUGCAAAUGUUGCUGUUGGAGUAGAAGUUGUAGCCCUUUCGGUGAGGUGCAAAUGCUCGACCUCGACCCAUUGGCAUUAGUUGAGGAUGCACUAUCCCUGAUUAUUUUUUAGGAGAAAGCCUCUUUCGUUGGGUUUAGGGGAAAAGACUAAGAAUGAGGUCCCCUCCCCCCAAUUGAGGAACGAGGGCAAAAGCGAAGCCUAUGAAGUGAGUAUGAGCUCGUUCGACCCCCAUGUAGCAGGAAUAGCACCAUCUUCUCUCUUUCAUGAGUAGUUCACUGCACUCAUUAGUAGCUGGACCAAGAGGUUAUUCUCUCUAUGAUCUCCUGGACUGGAAUAAGCGCUCUCCCCAUAGCAAGAGGGAGCUCGACGUAGUUGGUCUUUUGACAGUCACAGUAAUUGAGAGAAGCAGCUGCCCGGGAGAGGGAGGUAUCAGAUUAGGCACUAAGAGAGGAUUAGUUGAAUCGAUUGUAAGAAGAGGCAUCCGUUCUUGUGCCAGUAGCAGUUGCAGAAGUUGAAUCGUCAGUGGUUGUUCUUGUUUAAGAAAUAGCUACAGCUAUUCCCACCAAGGCCUGACGAUAGGCUGAUUUCAGGAUUUCCUAUCCAUCCUCAAAUUCUUUGAGCCUUUGUUACAAGAAAACACUCUUUAGUGACUCAAGAAUGACCCUGUCUUAUGGCACCUCUUAUCUGGAGCCUUUGUUUUUUAAACAAGUCUAAUUCUCUAAUGGAUAAGCCUGAAUUCAUGAAUAUUGAAUUAAACCUACUAAAAUCAAAGGAAUAAAGAAAGAGCUCAAAAGGAGUCAAAAUGAGAAGUCCGAAACCUCAUCACCUACUCCCGGAGGCAAGGUGAAAUUCAAUAUGACGAAGUCUUAUAACUGGGUCUCAUCCCCCCAUAAUCAAGUAGCAUCCACUAAAAAGAAGCGGAGCGCGGAAGGACGAGGCGCAAUUCAAUAUGCCUCGAAUGAAUCUACCCUUUUUAGAUUCGACUACUCCGCUACGUGGGCUUACUAGUAAUGCUGAAGUUUCCUCCUUUUCUAGCUUUCUUUCUAAUGCCCUUCUUUAUGGUCAAUGGUCACUUCCCCGAGGCGCGGAUCCCACUACACGGGAAUAUAUUAUGAUAUAAUGAACUAUCUUCUUUCUAAUAGCUGGUUUCAACAGCCACCGGGGAGGAGACAAGAACUCAAUCUACUGAAACAAGGAUUUCAACCACAGCGAGAGCAUACCUCAAAAAAAUAAGGAAGAAAAAGAUAAAGGCGCGAAGCAAAGCCUAUGAAGUCAUAAGGCAAGGGCUUUCCGUGAACUUUCUUAUGAUGGGAAAUCCUUGUUUUCAUUUGCGAGACACAUUUCAUUCGUAGAAAUACCACUUCCUACUUCCUCAUCCCGACAAUAAAUAAAGCACUACGUGGGACAAAGUAGAUUCCCAAACUUAAAAGGAAAGACUAAAAUCAAAGCUCCAGAUGAGUUGAAUUGAGGUGCAAUGAAAUAUACCUUUCUGCAGUGAGCGAAUUCGCUCUUUCGGCUGAUAACCUUUCGAUCCAGAAAGAAAUUACUUACUUCAUGCUUUCUUCGUAUUUAUUUAAGGACCCAAUCCAUCUUUUGUCUAUGACGAUCGGUACGAAAGGAAGGCAUGCUCGCAGGGGAUUCUUAUUACUAAUAGAUGAUAAGAUAAUACGAGAAUGAAAGAGGUCGAGCGCCUCACCUCUGAGUCUGAUUGUUGGAAGUAUGAUGACUCCCACUGGUCGUCUUUCAACUCAUUAAAUCCCCUUAUCUUUUAUGGCGGUCUUACCGGAAUAUCUACUUUAUAGAAUUCCUAUGAGACUAAGAAAUCAAACUGGGACCUCGUAGUCUUCCUGUUCCCGGUCGAUCCUAUGAUCGAUCUCAUACAAAGAUCCUAUGAUCGACUAAAAAGACUCUUUCUUCUUAGUUUGAGCUUGAGGCGCGUCCAACCCACUACGCGGUAAGCUUUUCCUCUUUUCCUCUCACUUCAAGACUCAAGACCUUACCCGCACCGAGUCAAUCUGAUCGCUACCUUUCCAGGUCGUAUUCUAGUAAUUAAUUUCAUUAAUAACUCAGAGCGGCGAUCUAAAUACUUCUUCAGCAAGAACUUUCGAAGAAGGUAGAGGAACUGAAAUGGAUUCAGCUUCCGCAGGCAGCAUCCCUUUCAACGACGACUCCCCGAGAGACUCGCUUCAAACUUUCGAUUUAGAAAGAAGGUAUCUCAGUCUCUUACCGCGUAGUGGGCUGAUCGUGAGAGAUGGAAUCUUCAACCUCUUAAGGAAAUGUGUCCAGCGAAAGUAUUUACGUAAGAAAUUGAGAACCAGGUGAGAGGAGAGGGGUGAGGAUCGAGCGCAUUCCCUAUCGAUCAGCAUCCUCAACUCUACUUCAAGAGUAGAAAGGUUUCGGAAUUCAGAGGCAAGAGCAUUCCUUCCUCUUUCUUUAGUCAAGUCAUUUCAUUCCAUUUCUCACUAGGUCUAUAGAAAUAGUUCAUGGCCAGGGCUAGGUCUCGUCAUAUUCUUUUCUCAAGAGAUGAGAAGAAAGUUCUCCUAAUAGAAUAUGUUUGAAUAUCUCAACUAGAAAGUCUCGGACUAACUCUUCCCAUAGCGUAGCCGACGGAGCAGGGAAAAGGAAGAUUUUCAACAGUCAAGAGAUCAAUCAGAAGGGAGCGGGAAGAAUGGAUAUUGUCUUCGAUCUUGCGAUAAAAUGAGUCAGACCAUAUGCGAUCUCGUCUCAAACAGAGAAUUAGUAAUCUGAGUCGCACGGGGAAUAGGUUGAAUAGUCCGGAGGACGAGAAGACAGAAAGAAAAGAAAGGUUCCCGAGGUUCAAAGAAUAUUGACAAAGAAUAUUUCAUGAAUUGAGGUGCGGUAGUCCGUCCGAAGGACUAUGAAAUCCAUUAGUUUUCGUUUGCACUCCUUUCUUCUUUUCUUAGAUAUUCUGGGAUUGAACUCCGUCUGAAAUCUAGCAGAUUCAUUUUUAGCUUCUUUCAUUCUCGUUAAUGAGCACUUGAACCUGUCUUUCUCAGGUGCAAAAAAUAUUGCGAGAAGAGCAAAGAAGAGAAUGGCGAUCAGAAUUUGAGUCCUUUCAUACUUUCGUUGAGGAGGAGGAGUUUUCUUCUUGUAUCAUAAUAGGAUAUUUUAGUAGAAUAAGAAGAAGAAGAAGAUAAGACUACGUAGCGUAGUGGGCUUUUCUUAUGGCGGAGCGGAGGAUUCCGAUUAUCCACUGAAGAAAGUAGGAAAGCCUAAGGAACCUAAAAAGGGCUAAUAGGGGAAGGAAGAAAGCCUAUCCCUCCAGAAUCUUUGAGGACCGAAGGACUUCUUUAUAUCCCUAUUUAUUUAUUUAUGGGACUCCCAGAAAGGUUUAGUUCCAUAAAUCAGUCGGCUAAUAUAUAGGAUGAAAGUAGAUAGAGAGGAAAAGAAAAAAGUCGUCACUCUUAAGGAGUGCAAGAAGGAAUCUUUGAACCUUUUAUCCUGAUCUCUCUCAUUCUACAACUCAGUCGAGCCACUAUUCAACCUUCUUUUCGAGGGGACAUCAUGUCCUCUUAUCUUAAUCCCAUAAAUCAUUUAAGGCGAUACUGAAAGAAGAAAUCCAGCAACUUAAUCCGGUAGAGUCAAUUCGAGACUAAGACGAGUUGGGGUUUCGACCAUAGGCUUUCCUUCCAAACCUACUAUACUAAACCUACCCCCGGACUCAAGACGCGAAGUGAAGCGGCUGCCCACUUUUUAGAAAUAAAGAGAUGAGAUAAUUCUUUUCACUCAUUGAGGUCGGCUAAAUUCAAUGGAUAAAGAAGUCCUUUGCUUCAUUCUAUAUGUCCUUAUCAAUGAGACCAUUAAUCAGUCCGAAGGACUAUCCAAAGAAAAGAAUAUCCCUGUCUUAUGGGGCCUCCGUAGCUUAAUAUGGAGCGCUCCGGACGAGUCUUAACUAAUAUUCCCAAUCAAAGAAUUAUCGAAAGAAUGAUCGACGAGUCUUAUUCCACUAAAAUAGUAGUCCUUCGGAGCAGUCUUAAUACUCCUAAAAUCAAAGCUCCAUAUGAGUUUCAUUCCACUAAAAGACGAAAGAAGGUAUCUCAGUUACCAAAGAGAAAGAGCUUCCACAAACCACUUCCACAUAAACUUCUGCUAAGUCUACUUCUGUUAUUGAUUCAACUUAGCCUUUAAUCAGAUUAGGACCUAGCUAGCCAACCUUAUUCCUUCCUCUUCCUUACUUUGUUCUCGCUUGCUUCGGCAACACAUCUCUGGAUACUGGAUAAGAGAUCCUUUGGUCAAGCUGCAAGAGAAAGACUUCUUCCGAUCGAUCAGCUACCCGAUUCCUCCUUCCCCGAUGAUAAGGUUAGCAUGCCCGAUCCUCUCCUAUUGAAAAAGAAAGCAGAAAUCUUUCAGUCCAGAGGAUUUAUCCGUAGCCCGGAGGAUUUAUCCGUAGGACCAUCUGUAAUUAACCGAAGUAGUCUGCAGUCCGGAGUCCGCAGGAUUUAUCCGGAGGACUAUCCAUAUGGAAGUAGGACCAUCCAUAUGGAAGGAAGUAGUCCGCAGUCCGCAGUCCGCAGGAUUUAUCCGUAGGACUAUCCAUUUUCAGUCGGACUAUCCAUAUGGAAGGGAGCGAAAUCUAGCUAUGAGGACUCUUUGAGCUCUUCUUUGAGUCAGUGGCUGCCCUUGCAGAAGGAGCAGCGAAGUCCGCGGUUUCAGAGGUUUAUGUAGCAGUUCUUCUUUAAUAAGAUGCUUACUUUCUUUCGGGUAGAAAGGUUCACUCGUGAACGGUACACCUCUUAUAUGAUGCCUGGGGACUUUGUCCCUUCUUCUACGGAUUUCUCUUAUAUGAUCUUAUUCAUCUCCGUAUCGUUCAUAUAUUCAUUCUAUAAAAUCCCUAGCUGCCACAUAUGGUCGAACUUGCCUCUUAAGUGGCGUGGGUCGAUCCUCUUGUUGACUUUUUACCUAGGAGUGGGGGGGAAGAAGUUCGAGAAUAAUUUAUCUUCUUUCCUUGUCCCAGUUCUUCUUUCCACUUCUACUUAAGUCACCACGACUGAUACAGAUGCAAGAACAUCAGGGCGAGCAGGGAAGAGGCGGAGGGAGUUUGCACUCUUUUCAUGCGGGUUUGAGUGAGACUGAUGCGCCCUAGGUCAAGCCAUUGCUUCGUCUUGUUCAUCACAUUCAUUAUGUUCACAAUUCCGGAAUCAAAGUAGAAAUACGAGAAAGCGCUCCAGCGGACUCUGAUUCAUUGGGAAUUCUAUCUUCCCGCCUCAAUGAACAAGGUGAAAAGAAUAUUAAAUGAAUCAUUGAGUUGAGGCGGUGGAACCUAGGAGUGGGACCGGGAACAUGAUAGGCUUGAAUCUAAGAAGUGAAUAUAGUAUUGAAAGAGGCCCACGGAGCGGUGUCCGACUAUCCUACUAUCGAAGCCUUGAAGCAUGAGUCUUGAGGUUUUCAAAGUCUACUCAGAGGACGAGGUUGAAGUUUCAUAGGGAAAGGUUUCAUAACAAGCAGUUGUUUUCCGUAUCGAAUGCUCUUUCAUUCCUUAUUCGAAAGAAGGCAAAGAAAGUGGAAACUAAAUCCUUGGAUUCUUUCCCGCUUGAACCAUGAAAGGUUAGGCCUUAGUUACGAUCUCAUUCAAUGCCCUAGCAUACUCAAAGGUUCGGGGGCGUAGUGGAUGGAGCUAGAAGACUACUACUUGGACGAGGGAUUUCCUUUCUCUUAUUGUAAUACUCCUAACCACCCCUUUUUGAAUGGGCAGGCCCCUCUGGUCGAGUUUACCCUUUUUAUUCAGGCCUAUCUGCCUCCGUUCAUGAAGGACAAAAUCGGACUGAGCCCUUGUUCAUUGAGGCGUAUAAGCCCACGUAGCGGUGCCAUAAGACACGUCUGAAGGCGUCACAGGUCCGGAGGACCCGUCUGUCCGAAGGACGAGAUAUUUAUAAUGUUGAGAGAAAGAUUAGACUUUGUCAGGACCCUUAUUUCCAUUAUUUUUCACUUUCAAUAUUCUUGAGAAUAUUCAUUCAUCCGACAGAGCAAAGUUCAUCCAGAUCCCCAUAUGAAUUAGGCGAAUGACUGAUUUUCAAAGUCAGAGUUAUCCCUCAAAUUCUUUGAGCCUUUGCACUCAAAUUCUCUAAUGGAUAGUCCUUCAGACCGCUAGGAGUAAAGAAUAUUGUGUGGAACUGAACUAAUAGGGAAAAGCAUUUCCUAUUGAUUUGUCCCCUGGACUGGACCUAUUCUGAUUCUGAAUUAUCCGUCGCUACGUUGUUCCCAAGGACUAGCAAAAUCGAAAUAGCGAAAUUCUUGGGUCAUCUCAAUGGGUUCAGAAACCACACGUUUCUCUGGAUCAUCACAGCGUACUUCCACAUAUCCACUCAGAGGAAGGUCUUUUUGUAAUGGAUGACCCUCGAAACCAUAAUAUGUUGAUAUACGGCGUAGAUCCGGAUGAUUGAUGGAAGAAACACCAAACAUAUCCCAAACUUCUCGCUCCCACCGGCCGGCUGAUGGAAAUAGACUGACUACCGGAGAGAUUCGUGUUACUUCGUCUGCACUGGUUUGUACACGAAUGCGUGAGUUAUACCGAGUACUCAGUAAAUUAUAGGCCACUUCAAAUCUGAGUUUUCUAUAUAUAUUUAUAUUGAUGUUAAUAUGUUACCUUGUAAUUGGAAUGGUGAUUUGAAUAAUCUAAUAGGAUUAUGUGUUUGGAUCAAAAUAUGUUGCAAGAGAAAUAGCUAAAUGUGUGGAUUUAGUGACAAAGAGGGUAUUCAUGUGUUUAUUUUAGUUUUCUCAGUGAGGACUCGAUUUUUAGAAGAAACGACCACUGUUCGAAUCAUUCAAAACUUUGUUUCGAACAAAAAUUUUGGACUUUGUCAUUGUCCUCUUCACCGAAUGUGACAAACUUGAAGACAACGAUGAAACAUUGAAAGAUUACUUGGAUCGAAAAUGUCUUGUGGGGUUGAAAGAUACCAUAGCCGCUAGCAAGAACUGUUGCUUGGUUUUCAAUAACAAAAACCGAUAAUGAAACAAAGAAGAUUGAAUAAGUGGAUAAACUUAUAAAGAUGGUGCAUGAAGUUGUACAACAAAAUGAAGGAAAAGCAUACACUCAUGGCUUGUUUUCUAAUGUCAAGUUUGAGACCAACUUGCAAGAUGAUGUGAAAACCAAGCUUGAACACACAAUUACAGUUCAAAACACAAGCAAAAUUUAAAGCAUAACAAGGAGCACAAGAAGUUCAACAACAAUCUAUGGAUCAAAUUCGAGUCCUCAAAGACCAUCUAUGCAUCAAGACUUGAAAGGUCACUGUCACUACCAAUGCUUCCACAAAUUAUUCGUCAUGGUCGCUGCAUGAGAAAAGGUUGCAUUAUUGUAUGACUUUACUGUGCAUGCAUUCAAUAAAUAUGUACAAGUAAUUAGUAUAAUGAAUAUAUACUAAAUAAAAAUAUGAAAAAACUGUGAAAAAAAACUUAUUUGAUUAACUGCUAUAAAUUAAUAUUUGAAAAUUGGCAUGUGUUCUCGAAACUAAUAAAAGCAAGUUUGGAAAUGCCUUUAUUUUGUCUUUGUUGAGUGUAGUGUAAAUUGGCAAAUAUAGAAUGCUUAAUUAUGUUGUUAAUUAAUAAGAAAAUUAUUUUAGAAGUUUUGAUGAAUGUCCAACUACAUGUGGAAAGAAUUAUAAAGGAUUGAAAAAUGAUUCUAUAAUCUAGCCCAAACAAGAGGUGGGUUAUUAUAGCUCACUUCACUUCUAUUUAGUUUGGGACCCAAAUAGCCUCUUAAAAUUAGGUUAACUCCAUAACUAAUAAGGGUCUUUAACUCAUAUAGUCUAAAUUGCUAUAUGAUAUUACAUGAAUGAUCCAAAUUACUAAUAAAUUUCAUAAAAGUCCUAAAUGGACUAGUAUAUUACAUAAAUGUAGGCUCAAAUUACUUUAAUACCAAUUUAUAUUAUUUAAUUGAUUUAUAACAAAUAUCUAAAUGAAAAAAACCGUGGGAUAUAGUUUUGGAAAGAAGUGGGGUCCAAAUUAAUUUAAUAUCAACUUCUAUUAUUUAAUUUAAUUGAUUUAUAACAAAUAUCUAAAUGGAAAAAAUGGUGGAACACCGUUUUGGAAAUAAGUGGGGUCCAAAAUAAUUUAAUACAAAUUUUUAUUAUUUAAUUGAUUUAUAACAAAUAUCUAAAUGGAAAAAAUAAAGAGAUACAGUUUUGGAAAGAAGUGAAAAACUUUUCAUGCUUUCCUACCACGAAAAUGGUUGUCUACUCCUUUCAACGUGGAUUACGAUUUUUACUUCAAAAUUUUAGAGAGUUCGGAGGUGAAGAAGAAGACAGUCGACGACCGACAAAUACAAAACUUCUCGAACAUAAUCUAGUUAAAAACUUUGAAGUUAGUAUUGUAUAUAUUCAACACAUAUGAAACAUUAGAUAUAUUAUGUAUAUUUUAGACAUUCAAUUAAAUAGUCAAUCAAAUGAAAAUGUAGUUUUGAAUGUGAUACAUUUUAGGGUUUAUUGAGAUUUCGGCGGUGAAGAAGAAAACUUUUGAUGGCCAAAAAAUACAAAACUUAUCCGACAGAAUCUAACUAGAAAAUUUGUGCUUAAUAUUAUAUAUAUUCAAAACAAAUGAUUAGAAACAUUUAGUAUAUUAGGUAUAUUUUAAAUAUUCGAUUAAAUAGACAAACAAAUGAAAAUAUAUGAAACAUUUGGUAUAUUAGGUAUAUUUUAAAUAUUUGAUUAAAUAGACAAACAAAUGAAAAAUUAGUUUUGAAUGUGAUACAUUCUAGAGUUUAUUAAGAAUUCAACGUUGAAAAAGAACGGUCAUCCUAUCAAAAAAAUAAUAGAACUAUAUAUAUAAUAUGAGGUAUAUAUAUAUUAAAACAUAGAACAUAACUAUUAUAGAUUACGGAUAUAUUAAAGUAUAAUGUAAUCAAAUACAUUUAUAAAGGAAAAAUAUGUAUGUAUGAUCAUGUCGUUUACUACCGUUUUAGUAAUAUUUAUUCUACAAACACAAAUUCUGUAGGAAUUAUGUAUAAGGUAUUAUUGUAUAUAAUAUGAGGUAUAUAUAUACUAAAUAACAUGUAUGAAUUAAGUGUACAUUUUAUUAGUGAAAGGUUCUUAUAUCAAUUUGUUUAUGAUUUUUAUUUAAAUAUUCAUAUAUUAUGUAGUAAGUAAUACGUUAUGUUUGAAAUAAUAUUGAUUAUGUAUUAAAGUUGCCCAUUAGACAGUUUUUUAACAAAAUAUACCUAUUAUAUUAAUAUAGAAAAUGGGAGGAAAUCGUGCAACAUUAAAAUAGGAAACUUCUUUACCAUUUUCUCACUUUCCAUAUUCAACGAAAAGCUUGCCAUUUCGACAGUCAAUGACAUAUACAACAUAUUAUAUAAUGCGAUAAUAUUAUAAAACUAGUAUAAUCAUAAAUAAGAUGUGAUAUAUAUUUAAGGGAAAUAUUAAAAAACUGAUAAAUUCAUAAUAGAAUAACGUUAAAAUAAGGAGAAUAUUGUUAAUAUAAUAUAUAUACGCAUAUGAUAUACUCAUAAUGAACUAAUUUUAAAUGGGUAAAAUAACAAAUGACAUAUUUAUGUUAUUCUUCAUAUAAAACAUCAACUAAAAGUAUUAUAUCUCACGGUUAAUAUAUAAAACUAUUAUAAAUGUAAACAAGAUGUGAUAUAUAUAUAUAAUAAAUCACAUAUACAACCUAUUAUAUCAUGCGAUAAUAUUCUAAAACUAGUAUAAUCAUAAAUAGUAUGUGAUAUAUGUUUAAAGGGAAUAUUAAAAAACUGGUAAAAUCAAAAUAGAAUAACAUUAAAAUAAGAGGAAUAUUGUUAAUAUAUACUCAUAUGAUAUACUCAGAAUGAACUAAUUUUAAAUGGGCAAAAUAACAAAUGACUGUGGAUUUUAUCUUAUCUUUAGGUGAUGGACAAUUGUAUAUGACGGCGAUUUGUUAAGAUUCUGCAGCUUACGGUUAUGAUAAAUUUGAAUACAAAUUUAUAAAACAAUGUAAUAAGAAGUUCAAAUGAUGGAGAAGAAUAGCAAAAAACAGUUGUCGGCGAUGGAGAAGAUAAUGUAAUGGCUGCCAGAGAGAGUGAACAAUUAGGUUAAGUUAUAUUUUUAGAAAGAAUAAUUAAAUAGUUUAUUACAAAAUAAAGUACAAUUACAAUUAUUAUAAUAUAUUCUGAUUUAUAAUUAAUUUAAAAGAUACUUGAAAUUUAUUAACAUAUUAAGGUCUUUUGUCUAAAAGUUUCAACUAAUAAUAAUGAUAGUUCUCAUUAACCAAUUGACAAAUGAUUGAUAUUGUCAAAUGAUCGAUAUUGUCAAAUGAUCGAUAUGUGCAAGUGCACAUUUCAAUUAUAUUAUAGUAUAACGUUCUUAGAGAUCGAGCUAGUAUCCUUUUAAGAGGGAUCAAAUUAACAAAUUAAUUUAUUGAUUUUAGGAUUAUGAUGUGUUUUAAGGAUUAAAAACAAUGAUUAGAAACUAAUAAAAAGAUCCCUAAAAGACAAAUAUGAAAUCUCAAAGAAUAAAAAAUGCUCCAAAAUUGUUUUUGAUUUCACUGUUCAAUCCAUAAAAUCAUGAUGUGUAUAGGUUAUAUGAAAACUAGUGUCAGUAUGUGUUCAGAUGUAGGAACUAAUUAACUACAAGUUGUUGACUUUUGAAAAGAAUAUCUUUCCAUUCAAACAUAAUUGUUCCUAAUCUCUUCCAACUAAGUUAAAUAUUAUGGUAUUAAACAGAUACAUAGUUUGGUUGGUAGUUUCUCUUCAAAAUUAUUAUUUUGAGAAAACAAAUACAAUUUCUUUUUUAGGUAAUCCAAUAUCCUCAAGUAUAUUUAUAAAUAUGGAAAUAUUAUUUCCAUAUUAGAAGAGAUACUAAAAGAUCUUAUUACAACAUCAUUAGAGUCCCAUCAUUUUCUCUAAAUAUCUCUUUUGUGGCGAAAGAUUUGGAAUUGCACAUCAAUCAUUUUGGAGUGGGUAAUUGAUCACCCUAUUUUUCAAAAAAUAAGAAAGAUAAAAAAUAGUUAUUUUUUUAAAGAUAUAUUUGAAAGUGUUGAGUUUAUGGAAGGUAUUAGUACUUAUACAACCACAAAACAUUUGAUUUUUGUUAUCUAAAUUAUUUUAAUAAAAAUGUUUUUUUUUUUUUGAAGUUUAUGCUUAUUAAAAAUGCUUAUUUAAAAAAUGUUAAUGAAAUUUUAAAAAAUAAAAUCUAAUUAAACACUUCUGAGAUAGAGAGGUUUCCCUUGACUACCCGAGCGUAGAUAAACACUUCUGAGAUUUGGUUGGUAAUCCAAGUUCGUGUGCAGUUGAUUAUUUUUUAAAUUUUGUAUAGUUGAAUAAUAUUUGAAUUUUAAAUUUUCAUCUAUGUGAUAUUUACUCAUUUCAAACUUUUUGAAUAUGCAUGUUUAUUUAUUAUUCUGCCGUCUCUCUAUUGUAUUUUAAAAUUUAGAAUAUGUGUAUUUAUAUUAUUUGAAAUUGAAAAUUUAACUUUUGCUCUUAGAGUAGGCUUUAACUCUUUGUUUGUCCGUGUUGUAGGUGAGCGAGAAGGAAAAGUUCCAUUGUUUGAUUGAAUUGGAAUUGUUUCCUGCAUGGGGUGUCAUACAUAAUUCCACUUAUUACUAGUUGAAGGUCUUCUUUGCCUCUGUCUUCUUCCCCAUCUCCCCAAGUUGUUCUAACCUUUUUAUAUCUACCUAUUACAUGUCAAAAGGUUGUUUCGCUCUUCAAUGUUUUGAAACAAGUUCAUUAUGAAAAUCUCUCGCAAGCAAACGUAUGUGCAUUAUGAAUAAUUUCAUCUCAAAAAAAUUGUUUGAGAGGUUUCAAAAGUGUAUCGAAACUAAUAAUUUUAAUGAAUAAAAAAAUAAUUCUUCGUUAGAUUCUUACAUUUUAUUUCAACGAAUAAAAUUUAGGAAAAUUUUUAAAAAUAGCAAAUUUUACAAAAAUAUUUACAAUUUAUAACAAAUUUAUAGUCAUUGAUAUGAUAUAACGAUAGUUACUAAUAAAUAUUUUAAUUUAUUUUGUUAUUUUUAAAAAUUCUCAUAAAAUAUUAUAGUGAGGGAACAAUGAUGAAUCACAUAGUUUUUGUGGUGAUGUCGCUUUUUAUCCCUCUUUACAUUCUAAAAUCUCAAAUACAAAUCAUAAAACAAGUAGAUAUACAUUCAAUUAACAUGAUUUUGAUUCUAAUAAAUUAGAAAGACAAAAAUAACUAACUAAUUAUGGAAAAGUAAUAUUUUAACAUGAAUUAUUGAUUUUUAAUUAGAGGUAAUUUUAAAAUAAAUAAAAUAAAAGAAAAUAUUACAAAUCAAAUCUAAACUAACUUUGAUUUUACUUCUUUAAUUGCAAUAUAACAUAGAUACAUUGGCUAUGAAGUGCAAUUUCUUAUAUUAUAAUAUUUAAAAGAUUUAAAUUUAAAAAUAAAAAUAAGUAAUCUCAAGUCCAAUAUUGGACCUGUGGGGCUUAGCCCAUCAAUUUAAAAAUUCAAAAUGCACACUCAACCGUCACAUUUUCCUAGGAUCAUCCUAUUUAAUGCCCUUCUACUUGUCAACUCCAUCGAAAUCCUUCAUUUCUUGUGGCACCGUCUAAAAUUUGCUUCGAUUGAAGAAAUUUUGACGCCCAUGACAGCGUUGAAAUUUCUUCAAUGCAAACAAAUUUUUUAUCUUCCUUUCAUCGAGGAUUUUCAUACCAUGUGAAGGAGAGAUCAGUUCCAUCAGUUCCAAGUCGUUCGUGAGUCAUCUUCUUUCCUGUGUAGUUUUCAUCUCUUGAUUUUGGAUUGCUUGUUCAAGAUUUAUUUUCGAAUUUUGGAUUGUUUGCUAUUCGGAUAGGCAGAAGGUUUGCACGAUGAUAGAUCUGGAGUACCUGAAUCGUUUAUUGAUUCUGUAGUUUAAUCUUAUGAUUUUGGUGAUUUCGAAGCGUACAAUAUAAUCGUACUGUGUUAUGAAGUAAAUAAGAUUUUGUAGGGUUUUUGAAAGUUAAUUUAGAUAUUUCCUGCAUUUUAGUCUUGAUAGAUCUGGGGUACCUGAACCGUUCAGGUUUGCAUGCUGUGAUUGUGUUGUUCUUUUUUGAUUUUGGAGAGAGUCCUUGGGUAAUUUUGAGGAUUGUUCUUUUUUUAGUUUUUUUUGCAUGCAUUCAAACACACGCAUGGUUUUUAAACUGGGGUUCUUGAAUAUUUGUUGGUUUUCUCGAAUAUUUGCCUGUUUUUUUUUCUCAGAAGAAUUGAUCUUAUAUUUGUGUAUCUCUCUGUGCAACUUUAAUAUAAAGUUAUUAAGGAAGAAGAGAAAGGAGGAAGAAGGGAGAGAGAAAAGGUAGAAACGACCUAAUAGUAGGCAUGAGUAUUAAGAUGCAGCAGAGCCACCACUUAGUGGCGCUAAGGUUUAAUGAGCAAAUUGACAGUAGAAAAGGGUCCACAUCCAUACCUAAGUUACUAUUGCUCUGGGUUCUGUUGGUGGCAUUCAUUAGUAUGUUAAACUACAAAGAAAUGGAUGGGUGGGUGUUAACAAAGUUAGAAGAAAGUAAGUUCUGGGAAGUAUGUGUGACCAGACGACAAAGAUGCUUCUUAGUGUCAGUGUCAAACUAUGUCCAGGCUUUGGCCAUUCUCAUUUCCAUUUUCCAGUACUUCAAAAUCGUAUCAGCAAUUGAUCAGGAAAAUGUGUUUUGAUUUCUGUCUUUUAUUAGUCUCGGUUAGUUAGGCUUAAGAGUAAGGGAUAUAAUUCAUUUUUCUUGUUUCAGCUAGAAAUUACGUCGAUGUCUUGAUUUUUAGUUUUUUUAGGGCUGUUUGGUUGUUUUUUUAGGGGUGUUUGGUUAGUUAGGCCUAAGAAGUAAGGGCUAGUGAAAGAGAAGCAUUUGAUUGUCCUACAAGUAUCUGAAUCGCCAAUGAAAGCAGAGGUUAUUUCCUCUGAAUUUCCACGAAUUGUUCAGGUUUGGAUUCUGUGAUUGUGUUGUUCUGUUGUUCUCUUUUUUAUUUUGGAGUGUUCUAGGAAAUUUUGAGGUUUGUUUUUAUUUUUUUGGCUUGCCUUUAAUCACGCUCGUUUGGGAAUAGACAGGCUUCAGAGAAUGAAUCUCCUUUUUAAGGGUUCGUUGGGGAGCGAAGUGACCAUAUGGCAUCCCUUUCUACACCUGCUCAGUCUCUCUCUUGCCUUUUUCAUACUACAUAUUUUUGUUUCUCAAUUUAGUGUCAGUGUCAACCAUGUCUAUGCUUUGGCCAUUCUCAUUUCCACUUUCCACUACUCUAAAAAUGUAUCUGCAAUUGAUCUUAUAUUUGUGUAUCUCUCUGUGCAACUUUAAUAUGAAGUUAUUAAGGAAGAAGAGAAAGGAGGAAGAAGGGAGAGAGAAAAGGUAGAAACGACCUAAUAGUAGGCAUGAGUAUUAAGAUGCAGCAGAGCCACCACUUAGUGGCGCUAAGGUUUAAUGAGCAAAUUGACAGUAGAAAAGGGUCCACAUCCAUACCUAAGUUACUAUUGCUCUGGGUUCUGUUGGUGGCAUUCAUUAGUAUGUUAAACUACAAAGAAAUGGGUGGUGUUAACAAAGUUAGAAGAAAGUAAGUUCUGGGAAGUAUGUGUGACCAGACGACAAAGAUGCUUCUGCCUCAACUUAGUGUCAGUGUCAAACUAUGUCCAGGCUUUGGCCAUUCUCAUUUACACUUUCCAGUACUUCAAAAUCGUAUCAGCAAUUGAUCAGGAAAAUGUGUUUCGAUUUCUGUCUUUUAUUAGUCUCGGUUAGUUAGGCUUAAGAGUAAGGGAUAUAAUUCAUUUUUCUUGUUUCAGCUAGAAAUUACGUCGAUGUCUUGAUUUUUAGUUUUUUUAGGGCUGUUUGGUUGUUUUUUCAGGGGUGUUUGGUUAGUUAGGCCUAAGAAGUAAGGGCUAGUGAAAGAGAAGCAUUUGAUUGUCCUACAAGUAUCUGAAUCGCCAAUGAAAGCAGAGGUUAUUUCCUCUGAAUUUCCACGAAUUCUUCAGGUUUGGAUUCUGUGAUUGUGUUGUUCUGUUGUUCUCUUUUUUAUUUUGGAGUGUUCUAGGAAAUUUUGAGGUUUGUUAUUUUUUAGUUUUUUUGGCUUGCCUUUAAUCACGCUCGUUUGGGAAUAGACAGGCUUCAGAGAAUGAAUCUCCUUUCUAAGGGUUCGUUGGGGAGCGAAGUGACCAUAUGGCAUCCCUUUCUGCACCUGCUCAGUCUCUCUCUUGCCUUUUUCAUACUACAUAUUUUUGUUUCUCAAUUUAGUGUCAGUGUCAACCAUGUCUAUGCUUUGGCCAUUCUCAUUUCCACUUUCCACUACUCUAAAAAUGUAUCUGCAAUUGAUCAGGUAAAAGUGUUUCAAUUCUCUGUCUUUGGUUCAUCUCCGUUAGUUAGUCUUAAGAGUAAGGAGAUAAUUCGUUUUUCUUGUUUCCCUCCAUGUAUUGAUUUUUAGUUUUUUAGGGAUGCUUGGUUGGUUUGAAUGCACGAAACAUUUGCUGGUACACGAUUCAAACAGCUUGCCCAGUCAUGUUUUUCUAUUUUUUUUUUAAUAUUUUGGAAUUUUGCAUGUGUGAUUUCUGUAUAUAUUAUUCUUGCCCUUUUCCUUUAUCAUCAUUUAUUUUGAUUUUGGAGAGGUCUCUUGGUUAUUUGUUAUUUGCACAUAUACAAGGGUUGAAAAUUUCAAUCCCACCUCUCUUUUAUAUUACAUUCAUUUAGUUUUGGCUGUUAUCUAAUUGAACUAUUUGAUCAUCAAAUAAUUGUGUUACCUUUUCUUCUAGAUGUUUAGAUUCAUUUUUCUCACUCUUUUAGUUUUCUUAAUGUGUGACAGUCUUUGUUUUUUAUUGAACUAGUGUGUGGCAGUCUUUAUUUAUUGGUUAUCUUUAGUUUCACUAUUGUUCUUUUUUUAAUGUUUUCUUAGUUUUUAAUAAGUGUGACAAAAUAUGAAUUAAUUUUUUUCUUUGAACAAAUGUGGAAUUUAUUUUCUUUUAAUGUAGUUGUGUCCCCAAUAAAUUUAUUUUGGCGAUUUAACAAUCCAUCAUGUUCUUUUUCAUUUUUCUGUUGUAUUUUCUUCGGUUCUUUGUUGUGGUAUGUCUAUUUUUGAGACAUUCUUAAUUUAGUUUUAUUUUUUAGCUUCCUGCAUCAUUUUGUAUUAUGGAUUGUUAUGAAAUUUUGAGAUUAUGCUUUAUUUUGUUUUUUGGUCCUUUGCUGUGAUGUCUUUUGAUUAUUUCUUUUGAGUGAACAGUUCCUGUAAGAUUUUCUGCAUGAGAAUAAAUUGAUUAUUUAAUUUGGUCAAAGAAGUUCAAAAUUUACAUGUGAAAUUUACACUCAGUGGCUGUAAGGUUUAAUGAGAAAAUUGGAAGUAGAAAAGAGUCCACAUUAAUUCAUUCAGCCAAGAGGGCUUGGCAUCCUAAGUUUGCUCUGGGUUCUGUUGGUGGCAUUCAUCAAUAUGUUAAUCUAUUAGGGAAUGUAUGGUUAUAACAAAGUAAGAAGAAUGGAAGUUCUGGGGGAGUAUUUGUGACAAGAGGGCAAGGAUGCUUCUGCAUCAAUUUAGUGUUAGUCAAUCAUGUCUAUGCUUUGGCCCUUCUCAUUCCACUUUCCACUACUACAAAAAUGUAUCUGCAAUUGAUCAUGUAAAAGUGUUUCAAUUUUCUGUCUUAGGUUCAUCUCAGUUAGUUAGUCUUAAGAGUAAGGGAGAUAAUUCAUUUUUCUUGUUUCAGCUAGAUGUUACCCUCCAUGUCCUGAUUUUUAAUUUGGCUUCCUAAGUGUGCUCUAGGUUCUGUUGGUGGCAUUCAUCAGUAUGUUAAUCUACAGGUGAAUCUAUAGUUAUAACAUAGUAAGAAGAAUGGAAGUUCUUGGGGAGUUUGUGUGACAAGAGGGCAAGGAUGCUUCUGCAUUAAUUUAGUAUCAGUGUCAACCAUGUUUAUGCUUUGGCCAUUCUCAUUUCCACUUUCCACUACUCCAAAAAUGUAUUAUCUGCAAUUGAUCAGGUAAAAGUGUUUCAAUUUUCUGUCUUUGGUUCAUCUCAGUUAGUUAGUCUUAAGAGUAAGGGAGAUAAUUCGUUUUUCUUGUUUCAGCUAGAUAUUACUCUCCAUGUCUUGAUUUUUAAUUUUUUAGGGGUGCUUGGUUGGUUUGAAUGCAGGAAACUUUUGCUGGUACACGAUUCAAACAGCUUUCCAUGUCAGGUUUUUCUAUUAUUUUUCUUUAAUAUUUUGGAACAUGUGUAAUUUCUGUAUAUAUUAUGUUUGCCGUUUUCCUUUUUCAUCAUUUAUUUUGAUUUUGGAGAGGGUCUCUUGGUAACUUGACUUUUCUUUUAGUUUUGACUGUUAUCUAAUUGAACUAUUUGAUUAUCAAAUAAUUGUGUUACUUUUUGUUCUAGAUGUUUAUAUUCAUUUUUCCCACUCUUUUAGUUUUGUUAAUGUGUGACAGUCUUUGUUUUUCAUUGAACUAUUGUGUGGCAGUCUUUAUUUAUUGGUUAUCUUUAGUUUCACUAUUGUUCUUUCUUUAAUGUUUUUCUUAGUUUUUAAUAAGUGUGACAAAAUAUGAAUUUAUCUUUUUCUUUGAACAAAUGUGGAAUUUAUUUUUCUUUUAAUGUAGUUGUGUCCCCAAUAAAUUUAUUUUGGCGAUUUAACAAUCCAUAAUGUUGUUUUUCAUUUUUCUGCUGUAUUUUCUUUGGUUCGUUGUUGUGCGAUGUCUAUUCUUGAGACAUUUUUAAUUUAGUUUUAUUUCUUUUAGCUUCCUGCAUCAUAUUGUAUUAUGGAUUUUUUCGAAAAUUUGAGUUUGAUCUUGUUUUCCUGGUCCACUGCUGUGCAGUUUUUUUUAUGAGAUAUUUUUAUUUAGAUUUAUUAUCUUUUAGCUUGUUUUGCAUUUUGCAUUAUAGAUUAUUUUUUAAAAUUUUGAGGUUGUUUUUUUUCUUUGAUCUUUUGUUGCGGUGACAAUUUUAAUUUAGAUUUAUUAUCUUUUAGCUUGCUUGCAUUAUGGAUUGUUAUGAAAUUUUGAGAUGAUGCUUUAUUUUGUUUUUUGGUCCUUUGCUGUGAUGUCUCUCUAUAAGACAUUUUUAAUUUAGGUUUAAUAACUUUUAGCUAGCUUGCAUUGUGGAUUGUUAUGAAAUUUUGAGUUUCUGCUUUCUUUUGAGUUUUGGUGAUGCCUUUUUACGAGACAUUUUUAAUUUAGGUUAAUUUUUUAGGUUGCUUGCAUUUAUGGAUUGUUCUGACAUUUUGACUUUCUGCUUUUUUUUUAUGUCAUUUGUUGUGUGAUAUCUUUAUAAGAUAGAGAUAUUUUUAAUUUAGGUUUACUAUUUUUUAGCCUGCUUGCAUUUGGUAUCAUAUAUGAAUUGUUCUGAAUUUUGAGUUUCUUCUUUUUCAGUCAUUUGUUGUGCGAUAACUUUUUAUAAGACAGACAUUAAGAUUUAUUAUUUUUGGACUUGUUUGUAUUUUGUAUCACGGAUUGUGGUUUUUUAAAUUCAGAGGAGGAACUAGAAAUUGUUCUUGUGAUAUGUUAAAAUCUAGUUUACUGCAAAGAAUGAAUUCUAAAACAGAGGGUAUGAAUGUCGUCAAUAAUUUUUCUCCAUUUCUGCGUUGAGCAAUGUUUAGCUGAUAUGUUUGUGUAUUCUUUACAUUAGUGCAGCACCACAUGCUAAUUUAGGUGUGAAAUGCUAAUUUAGAUGUGAAACACUUCCAAAGAUGACGAGAAAUCAAAGAUUGUCGUAGUAAAAAACCUCACCAGUUUUUCCUUUCAGGUUUUUCUUUUCUUUUUCUUUAAUAGUUUGGAAUUUUGCUGGUGUGAUUUCUGCUUUUCUCUUAUCAUUUAUUUUGAUUUUGGAGAGCAACUUUGGUAAUGUUAAUAAUUUUUCUCCAUUUCUGCGUUGAGCAAUGUUUAGCUGAUAUGUUUGUGUAUUCUUUACAUUAGUGCAGCACCACAUGCUAAUUUAGGUGUGAAAUGCUAAUUUAGAUGUGAAACACUUCCAAAGAUGACGAGAAAUCAAAGAUUGUCGUAGUAAAAAACCUCACCAGUUUUUCCUUUCAGGUUUUUCUUUUCUUUUUCUUUAAUAGUUUGGAAUUUUGCUGGUGUGAUUUCUGCUUUUCUCUUAUCAUUUAUUUUGAUUUUGGAGAGCAACUUUGGUAAUGUUAAGGUGAUUUAAGAAAAGUUGGUUGUCCAAGAAUCAAUAUUUUUAUAUUACCUUAAAUCUUCCUAAGACAUGUUGGGUCUUUCUUUGGCCUUUGUUAGUGUCUUCUAUUAAGUCUGUUAGUUUCACUUUAGUUGGGUCUUUUUUUAAUUUUAUUUUAUCUUUUAAAUUCCAAAUCCUACUCAUUUGGUCAUGACGAUUGAAUAAUCAUUGUUAAAUUUAUUUCUUGUUGGGAGUGUAGAUUUUAUUUUCUUUUUGGCCUUUGUUAUUUGCAUCUAUACAGGGGUUCGAAAAAUUCAAACCCUUCCCUCUUUUAUUCGACAUUCUUUUAGUUUUAUUUGUACUAUUGGAUUGUUAAAAAUAAUUGUGUUACUAUUUCUUACAUUCCAUAAAGAACCCUUUCUGAUGGAUUAUUUCUUAUUGAACUGUUUUAAAAUUUUGAGUUUCUUCUUUUUCUUUUUUGGGUCCAUUGUUGGGGGAUGAUACAUCUUUAAUUUUUUUUUUUUUUUUUUGAUAAGAGAUGAUACAUCUUUAAUUUAGAUUUAUUAUCGUUAGCUUGUUUUGCAUUUUGUAUUAUGUUUUUUGAAAUUUUGAGUUUCUUCUUUUUCUUUCUUUGGUCAUGUGUUGUGCGAUGUUAUUUGCAUUAGGGGUGUUUGGUUGGUUGUUUUUUUAGGGGUGUUUUGGUUAGUUAGGCUUAAGAAGCAAGGGCUAGUGAAAGAGAAGCAUUUGAUUGUCCUACAAGUAAUAAGCUUCUCCUCAAUCAUUCAACCAUUUUUUUAGUAAAGAAAGAGGCUUCUCCUCUGGCAACCAAAGUCCGUCCCUCGUUAACAGGUAAGUCUACCUCAUUACUUUUAUGUCCUUCUAAUUAAGAUAUUUGGGUCAAUAUAUAUCAAAAUAAAUAAGAUCCAUCUUUGGUAAUUUUUAAAAAAAUUAAAUCUAUAAAUACUCAUUUCAUCUCUAAAAUUAUGUGAUUUGUACUUUCUAAAAUUCCCUCGAUGGUACUAAUACACUCUUAUAUUUGUAUUGUAAUUAUCAUGUCCUUUUUCUAUGGUUUUUUAAAGUUAAUUUAGAUCCUUAUUCGCUCUAGGUAUAAGUUGAAUGGAAGAGUUUUUUAGCCUUGAUGGAUCUUGAGUACCUGAAUCGUCGAUGAAAACAGAUUUUUUCUCGGAAAUUCCACGAAUUGUUCAGGUUUGGAUUCUGUAAUUCUGUUGUUCUUUUUUGAUUUUGGAGAGUGUCCUGGGUAAUUUUGAGGAUAUUAUUUUUUUGUUUUUUCGGCUUGCAUUUAAUCACGCGCGUUGGGGAAUAGACAGGCUUCGGAGAAUGAAUCACCUUUUUAAGGUUUCGCUGGGGAGCGAAUUGGCCAUAAGGCAUCCCUUUCUGUUCAGUCUCUCUCUUGCCUUUUUCAUACUAUAUGGUUGUUGAUCUGGGGUUAUUGAAUGAUUGUUGCUUUUAUUUUCAUAAGAAGUGAUCUUAUUUUUUGUCUCUCUGUGCAACUUUAAUAUGAGGUUAUUAAGGAAGGAGAUAAAGGAGGAAGAAGGGACGAAGAAAAGGAAGAAAUGACUGGAUUGUUGGGAUGGGUAUGAAGAUGCAGUAGAGCCACCACCUAGGGGCUGUAAGGUCUAAUGGGCAAAUUGAAAGUAAAAAAGAGUGCACAUCCAUUCAAGCUAAGAGAGCUUGGGUUCCUAAAUUACUAUUGCUCUGGGUUCUGUUGGUGGCAUUGAUUGGUAUUGUUAAUCUACAAGGGAAUUGAUGGUGUUAACAAAGUUAGAAGAAAGGAAGUUUUGGGCGUAUGUGUGACCGGAGCACAAAGAUGCUUCUGCAUCAAUUUACUGUCAGUGUUAAACUAUGUCCAUGCUUUGGUUAUUCUAUUUUCUACUUUCCACUCCUCUCGAAAUGUAUCAGCAAUUGUUCAUGUAAAUGUGUUUCGAUUUCUGUUUGAUACUUCUCAGUUAGUUAGGGUUAAAAGUAUGAGAGAUAAUUCAUUUCUCGUCUCAUAUAGAAAUUAUCUUGAUGUCUUGAUUUUUAGGGUUUUUUUCAGCGGUUUUUGUUUUUUUUUUUUUGUUGGAUUUUGGCUAGUUAGGCUUAGAGGUGCAAGGACUUGUGAAAGAGAAGCAUUUGAUUGACCAACGAGUAAUUAGUUUCUCCUCAAGCAUCCCACCACUUUUCUAUUAAAGAAAUACAGGUACGUCUACGCUAUUACUUUUCAUGUCCUUUUACUUAAGAUAUUUAUAUAAAUAUAUAUAAAAAUAAAUAAGAUCCAUCUUUGGUAAUUUUUUUAAAAAUCAAAUCUGUGAAUAUUCAUUUCAUCUCUAAAGUUUUGCGUUUUGUUACUUUUUAAAAUUCCCUCCAUGUUACUAUUACACUCCUAUAUUUGUGUUGUAAUUAUGAUGUCCUUUUUCUAUGGUCUGUUAAAGUUAAUUUAAAUCCUUUUUUGCUCUUGGUUUAUGUUGAAGAAAUGGAAGAGUUUUUUAGCCUUAAUAGAUCUGGAGUACCUUAAUCGCUCUUGCAUUUUGUGAUUCUGUUCUUUUUCUAUUUUGAAGAGUGUCCUGUGUAAUUUUUAGGAUUUUUAUUUUAUAGUUUUUGUCGCUUGCAUUUAAACACGAACUUGGUUGUUGAACUGGGAUUCUUGAAUAAUUGUUGGUUUUGUUUUCUGAAGAAGUGAUCUUAUAUUUGUGUAUCUCUAUGUGCAACUUUAAUAUGGGGUUAUUAAGGAUGGAGAUAAAGGAGGAAGAAUUGAGAGAGAAAAGGCAGAAAUGACUUAAUUGUUGGGAUGAGUAUGACCCCAUGUCUAGUAGUUCCCAAGUAUGAUAUAGGAAGGCUGACUGAUUAAUGGAACUGAUCUUGUUGCGGUCCGUUUUAGAGUCCGGAGGAUUUAUCCGUAGGACUAUCCAUAUGGAAAGAAGGGUCCAGGUUUCAUAAGACUCCUUCUACGCGGUCUUCGCAAUAUUCUUUGCACUGGGGGAGGGCUCAAAGAAUUUGAGAUUAGAUUGGAACUGAUUGUAGUAGGCGAAGGACGGAUAUUAUUGGAAGGCAAUCGCAUAUUGAAUUGCGCCUAAGGCCACUCCUAACUAUUAAUGGAAAGGACCCACGGAGCGGUGCAAAGAAUAUAUAGAAGGGCAGACAGGUCCGGAGGACCUGUCUGUCCUUCGGUCUUAAUACUCCUAACGUCGAAUAAGAAGCUGGAGGUUGGGUCCAGGUGCAAAGAAUAUUGUGUCCAUUAGAUCCAUUGAAUUAGGCGAAGGAUUUUAUCAAGCUUAGCUUUCUGGAUUCUUCGGCGGAGUGAGGCUUUCUCUAGUAGGUCUGGAGGCACAAAGAAUGAUCGAAGGCUCCAGACCAUAAAGAAGAGAGUCGGAGGACUUCCAUUGACUUUUUCUUCCUUUCACUUCUAACUUCAAACCUUUCAUAUUCAACCUUGAAAAUAAAGGAGGGAGCGGACUACGGAGGCCAUAAGUUUGAGUUCCUCAGAUGUAUAAAAACAAGUCCUCCGGACGACCUAUCCACUGAAAGUAGCUACGUAGUCUUGUCUCCUUCCCGCGUAGUGGGCAUUGACUUCUUCAUUGAUUUUCUUCUAUCUCCCACGUAGCGGUUGAAUAUGAAAGGAAGCCCACAGAGCUGAAGAUGGAGCGGGAUAAUAAAGAAGAAAGCUCAAAAGGAGGGAGCGGACCUCAAUGAACAAGGGGAGGACUCGUUUUCAUCCUUAUGGAAGAAAAAUCUCUUUUUUUUUAUCUAAAAGACGUAGAAGGAGGCUCAAUGUCUAAUCUUUCUCUCAAAUCAAUAUCCCCCAGUGCAAAUAUUCCAGCAAUAUUCUCAAUAUGAAAAGAGCCUUUCUUCUUUUCUUAGAUAAAUGCGCUUCGUAGAUUAUGCUGAAGGAGGAGUGGGCCAUGAUCUUUGCUCCUUAAUUUCCCUAAUGGAUAGUCAUCUGGACCUUUCUUUUUAGUUCUUUGCGCUCGUCAACGCAUAUUUCAUUGCGCCUUCGCCUUCAAUGAAAUCCAUAAAUAAAUAAGGGUAGAUUUCAGACUCAAGAGGAGGGUUCCUUAUCAAUAUCAAUGAGACGGAUAGGCUUUCUUUUACAUUCCACAGGUCUGAAGGACUAUCCAUAUUAACAUGUCUGUCCUUCGCCUAACUAGUUCAUAUAGACCUUUGUUUUUCUUCCGCAGUCACUAAUAUGGAUAGUCCGGAGGACCUCCUUCAGCAUAAUCUAUGAAUGAUCGGAGCAAAGAAUAUUGCGAAAAAGAAGAAAGGAGUGCAAGCGAAAAAUAAUGGAUUGAAUAGUCCUUCGGACGAACUACCGCACUUGGGGGAUAUUGUUGAGAAAGAAUAUUGAAAAAGAAUGAUCGAAGAAUAUUGAAAAAGGACGGAGGAUAGGCUUUCUUUGAACAAUGUGGAUGUAUCAAAGAUUCCACAGGUUAAUAUGGUAGAUUUCAGACUAGUCCUUCACCUUGGAUCUGGGGACUAUUCUCUGUUCUAAUAGACAGAGGAGAGGUUCAAAGAAUAUUGAGAAUACUCGUGCAAGCGCAAUCAAUGAACAAGGUGAAAAGAAUAAAAAAAAGGCGGUCGAUGAUCAGGAAGAAAAAGUCAAAAGUCUAUCCCAUCUUCUUCGUUAGGCGCAAAGAAGAAAAACAAGGUGCAAAGAUCUAUGGCCCAAUUAUAAGGGGUCCAGAUGCACCAUAAGACUGGUCCGAAGGACUAUCCAUAUUAACCGGAGUCUUCAACAAGAUUUCCAACAUUGAAUAUUAAGCUACUGAGGCCCAAUAUUGCGAAGGAAGAACUGCGCCAUAAGACAGGUCCGAAGGACUAUCCAUUAGGGAAUGAGACGGAGGUAACGUUUGGUUUUUUGGGAAACUUGUUGGUCGCGGAUUAGUGCGUUUUUUUUGGAAAGUAACAAUUCUCUUCAGUUUGGUUUCAGAAAACUUGUUGGUCACGGAUUAGUGCGUUCUGCGCCGCCUGGUGUCACAAACAUAUUUUUCCAAAGUGUGUUUACCUUUGGUUAUAUGCUCCGAUUACCCCCAGUUUAUCUCAUGUUUAGUUUGCAUAACUAGUUUAGCUGAUUGCUUUUCAUUCUAGGUCAUAAAGCUUGGGUGUGACGUUUCGGCAUUUUCAUAUGCAAGCCUGCCAGAGAGGAAAAUGUUCAAAAUGUACUAUAGGGGAGGCAUACCAGUUGAAUCCCCGCCCAAGCAUUAGUUGUACUCUUUGCAAGCAACCCUUUUUCCUUGCAAUUGACAGUCUUUAAUGCUUAUUGUAACGUCUAUUUCAAUGUAUUUCUUUCUUUCCCGUGUUUUAUAAAUAAAAUGUCCCUAAAACGCAAACGAAGGUUACGACAUACAUCGACGUUACCCACAACUCUUGGAUAUUGAUCGACUGACUUGUUCAUCGAGUUAGAACAAGUGCCGCACAAUCGUCCGUCUCGAGGUUGAAACGCUACGGUUGUGACAAGUGGUAUCAGAGCCAAAGUUGGCUGAGUGACAGUUUUGACAAAAAUAAAAUGUCGACUGCAAAACGAGCGAGCAAGACCCAUGAAGAACGGUUGGUGGGGAUCGAAGUGCAGAUGCUCCACCUGAUGGAAGUUCCUGAUUCCAUCCGGUUCUUGGAAUAGCGGCUUGAGGAUAUUGCCAAGAAAGCUGAUGGCAUUGAAGCCGUGUCCGGUCGCCUUGACGGACUACCCAUCCAAGAGUUACUGACUAGAGUCGACACUCUAGAGUCCCGAGUUAUGAGAACGGGAAAUGUCACCUACGAGCGUGGGGACAGUUCAUCGGGCUCUGUUGCCCAGAUGGAAGAACGAGUUAUGGAGCUUGAUAACUCGCAAAAGAACAUGUUGGAGAUGAUCAGCGGCAUGACAAAGGAUUUUCGAGCAACCCUCGAUGUCGUGAGGAAUGAGCUCGCAGAGGUAAGCACGAGGGUGAACCUUACUAUGCGAGCACUAGAAAAUCAGGCUCUAGCUGGAGGAGCCAUUCCUGUGGGCAGAAUCAAGAUUCCUGAGCCCAAGCCCUUCUGUGGGCGAGAGAUGCCAAGGCGUUGGAAAACUUCAUUUGAUGUCGAGCAGUAUUUCAAAGCCACGAACACAAUUACUGAAGAGGCCAAGGUGACGUUGGCAACCAUGCAUCUGACAGAAGAUGCGAAGUUAUGGUGGAGGUCCCGAUACAUGGACAUUCAAGAAGGGCAUUGCACAAUCGACACGUGGGAUGCCCUAAAAGGAGAACUUCGUUCGCAAUUUUCCCUGAGAAUGUCGAAAUUCUGGUCCGACGGAAGCUGCGUGAAUUGAAGCACACGGGGAACAUUCGGGACUACGUGAAACAGAUUGCGGGGUAAUGUUGGAUAUACGCGACAUGAUCGAAAAAGAUAAAAUAUUCAGCUUUGUUGAAGGGUUGAAGCCAUGGGCAAGGACUAAGCUAUACGAGCAGAAAGUCCAAGACCUCGUGUCAGCCUAUGCAACAGCUGAACGUUUGUUUGAUCUGUCUAAUGACGUUCAAGAGACAAGACAUCAUUGAAGCUCUUCACCUGGAAGAGACAGAAACAGCCGACUGAGUUCUCCCGAAGCUGUCAGUAGAAAUAAAAGUCCCGGCAGAGACCGCAAGCCCUUCCAGUCAAAUACGGGGAACACCAGGCAAAGGCCCACUAGUCAAAGGACCUCCCACACUCCUAUCAGUUGCUACAUUUGUAACAGGCCACAUCGGACAAGGGAAUGUCCGGAUAAAGCGGCCUUCUACGCCUUCCAGGCCUCUCUGGCUACAGACUUAGGUGACAAGUUGGGUCAACCAGAGAAUGAAGGUGGGUAGGUGGAGGAAGUCCAAAACGUUAGAGUAGGGGCCAUAAGACUCUUGUCGUUCCUUCAGAAUAAAGCAGGGGAGACAAGUGGUCGUACAAAAGGGGGCCUAAUAUAUGUGGACACCUGGAUCAACCGAAGGCAUGCAAAGAGCACUAUGGUUGACUUCAGUGCAACCCAUAAUUUUAUAACGGUGGCGGAAGCCAGACGAUUGAACCUUCACUAGAAGAAGGAUACAGGAAAGAUGAAGGCCGUAAAUUCUACAGCUUUACCCGUCGUCGGAGUAGUGAAACGAGCGGUGAUACAGUUGGAAAGAUGGAACGACCUUGUUGACUUUGUGGUUGUGGGCAUGGAUGACUUUGAUGUAGUUCUCGGAAUGGAAUUCCUUCUCGAACAUCAAGUGAUCAUGAUGCCUGCAGCCAAAUGUCGGUGAUCACGGGAUCUACCCCCACCAUUAUGCAGAUAGAACUCCGGCAACCCAAAGGAUUGAGAAUGGUCUCGGCCAUGCAACUGAGGGAGGGCCAUAUUCAGGAAGACACAAGGCGUGUCGUGGAGAGACGUUGUGAUGGGAAACAGGAUAGUUUGCCCAUGUCAGAAUCGCCUACGAGAAAUGAUCAUCGUAUGGCGCAAUCAAAAUCAUCUGGACUCAGGAGACAGUCAAGGAGACUGUCAGGUGCAGGAUCCACUAGACCUGCGAGAGAUCCGUAUCAAGCACAAGACUUCUUACGGAAGGAAGAGAAUGGGCAAUUGUGUGUCAACAACCGUGUCCUAAAGCAAGCCCCGAGGAGAGGGCCAACUUUUGAGUCCGUGAGUGGGACUCAGCCUGUUGAAGCUUACGCUAAGGCAUAUGGUCCUGUGUCAGGUGGCAUCCUAAUGCAGAAUAGACACUCUGUCACAGCUGAGAGUCAGAAACAAAGUGCCGCAGAAGGUAGUUAUACGAUGUUUGGAAAAGGAAUGCUGACCACGAUACGUAGUCUGAAGGAUGGAAGACAACAUUCCCAGGGGUCUACACAUGGAAGAGAGACGAACAACAUUGCGACCAACCGCUUUGAUACUCGGCCGAAGUGGGCUUUGAGUCAAGAAAAGUGGCAGAGGGACGUGUCAAGGGAAUCCUUGCAGAAAAACUCUGUCAUUGAAGUUGAUGUAAGUCUGGCGGAGACCAGUCAGGUGGAAGAAAAGAAUGGAGUUCAAUUGUGGAAGCUAACCCAAUCUUAUGUUAAUGCUGCAAUGAGUUCGUCAAUGGAUGGAAACCAAUUUGUGGGUGUUUGUGGCGGACAUUCUGUACAGUCCCGCCUUGUUGGUCCCUCCUGUGUUGGUAAGAAUCCUCAAGCUUGCAACAGUACCAAGAGGUGGAAGCUGGAGUCAGACAUCGUUCGGACCGAUCGAGAGGAAGCCUCGAAGUGGCCAGAAAAGUGGGCAGAUAAGAAGCAUCGCCUCCGUGAUUCCCGUGGGGGAGACCAGGUCAUCGUCAAACGGCGAUCUGAACUGACUCAGUUUUUGAAGAAGACUUCAAGAUCACUGCCUCGUGAGAGAACGCGAGGGACAAACAGAAGUUCAAGAAGUCCUUGCUAAAGAAGCAAGGAAAAGAAGAAGACCCAUGGGGGGAUACACAAGUUCGUGGUGAAGCAGAGGAGCCUCCUCAUGGAAGAAGCCUGUGGAAGACGUACAAAUCUUCUUAUAGAUUAUGUUGAAGGAGGCGGCANNNNNNNNNNNNNNNNNNNNNNNNNNNNNNNNNNNNNNNNNNNNNNNNNNNNNNNNNNNNNNNNNNNNNNNNNNNNNNNNNNNNNNNNNNNNNNNNNNNNNNNNNNNNNNNNNNNNNNNNNNNNNNNNNNNNNNNNNNNNNNNNNNNNNNNNNNNNNNNNNNNNNNNNNNNNNNNNNNNNNNNNNNNNNNNNNNNNNNNNNNNNNNNNNNNNNNNNNNNNNNNNNNNNNNNNNNNNNNNNNNNNNNNNNNNNNNNNNNNNNNNNNNNNNNNNNNNNNNNNNNNNNNNNNNNNNNNNNNNNNNNNNNNNNNNNNNNNNNNNNNNNNNNNNNNNNNNNNNNNNNNNNNNNNNNNNNNNNNNNNNNNNNNNNNNNNNNNNNNNNNNNNNNNNNNNNNNNNNNNNNNNNNNNNNNNNNNNNNNNNNNNNNNNNNNNNNNNNNNNNNNNNNNNNNNNNNNNNNNNNNNNNNNNNNNNNNNNNNNNNNNNNNNNNNNNNNNNNNNNUACACAUUUCAGUCUAACGCCCCGAAGGACGUACAUAUCAGUCUAACGCCCCGAGGACGUACAUAUCAGUCUAACGCCCCGAGGGACGUACAUAUCAGUCAAGUGUUCUGCAGAAACACAUAUCAGUCAAAUGCUCCCGAAGGUGCAAAAUAAAUUGGUGAUCCCUACAAGGUAAACAUCCCAAUACAACCUAACAAUUUAUCCCCUCAUUCCAUUCAACCCAUCUUUCAGUUACUUCAAAUCACAAAGUCCUUUCUUUCAACAUCCUAACAGUCAACUUAUUUUACUACAAUCAUAUGUCUGUCAAUAAAAUGCUAAUACAUCAGUCAAUCCACUAUACAGUCAAGUCAAUACACCCCUCAGUUCACCAGCACAAACCACAGUUCAGUAUAAUCCACAUCCAACCGAAACAAAUUCACUAGUUCACAUCCAAUCUUUAUACAGCACAAAUCUAUUAAUAUCAUCAUGUACACAUAAGCAUAAUUUCAGUCAUUCACAAUGUAUACUUUUGGCAAUCCACAUGCAAUUCACACAUCAAUGUAACAUAUAUAUGUUUCCAGUCAAAUACAACAUACACUAAACAUUUAGUCUGCAAUCAAACAUGUACAUCUUAAUCAUCAUCCAUACAGUCCAUCCAACACAAACUCAAAAACUUUAGGUGAGGUCCAGUAGAAAGUCCCUUACCUCAAAGUUAGGGAAGCUCCUUAAUCAACUAACGUCCUCGAAACAAUCCGAUAUAUUUGGCGAACUGAACCCUCAACAAUUCACAAAAUUGGUUGUGAAUUUAUAGGGAGCCCAACGUUACUCCCAACACCUUCAAGAACCAAUUAACAAAUUAGCUAAACAUUCCAACCAUAACACUUGAAACCACUUUGAAACCAAUUACCAUUCAUACUUAAGUUGUUACCAACAAAGCAACCUCGAUAAAAUUUGUAAAACAGAGACAGCAGCACACCUCAACGCACGACUGUCAGACUCGCAGCAAAAAUCCUAAGUGUGGGUCGGUCAGCGGUCGGCCAAAGGAGACGUGGCGGCUGCCUCAAAAUCGAUCAACGAUCUGACGCGGUCGGAGAGUCGCGCGGCAGUGCAAAAAAUAGAGGAGAACGGAAUGGGCGGCGGCUCGAAACAGAGGUUGCGCGGCAGGGCUCCACGAAGACAGAACCAGCAGAGACGGUUGCAGAACCGUGGCUUCGACGGAGACAAAACCGGCGGAGACGGUUGCAGCGGCGGUUACUGCGCGAACGGAGAGAAGGAAACGGAUGGGGCGGCUGGGCUACGGCGGGAAGAGAACGGAAGAGAAAGGAUCGGUGGCGGUUGCGGCUGGGCUGCGACGGGAAGAAAACGGAAGGGAGAAGAGAAAAGAGAAAGGAAAAGAGAAGAGAACGGGGGGGGGGGGGGGGGGGGUCGCGGCGCGCUUGAGGGAGAGAGAAAGAGAGAGUUUUUCUUUUUUUCUUCUUUCUUUCUUUAUUUUUUCUUUUUCCUUUUUAUUAAAAUUAAAUAUAAAUAAACAAAUAUAUAUAUCUCACGGUUAAUAUAUAAAACUAUUAUAAAUGUAAACAAGAUGUGAUAUAUAUAUAUAAUAAAUCACAUAUACAACCUAUUAUAUCAUGCGAUAAUAUUCUAAAACUAGUAUAAUCAUAAAUAGUAUGUGAUAUAUGUUUAAAGGGAAUAUUAAAAAACUGGUAAAAUCAAAAUAGAAUAACAUUAAAAUAAGAGGAAUAUUGUUAAUAUAUAUUAUAUAUACGCGUAUGAUAUACUCAGAAUGAACUAGUUUUAAAUGGACAAAAUAACAAAUGACUGUGGAUUUUAUCUUAUUUUCAGGUGAUGGACAAUUGUAUAUGAUGGCGAUUUGUUAAGAUUCUGCAGCUUGCGGUUAUGAUAAAUUUGAAUACAAAUUUAUAAAACAAUGUAAUAAGAAGUUCAAAUGAUGGAGAAGAAUAGCAAAAAAAAGUUGUCGGCGAUGGAGAAGAUAAUGUAAUGGCUGCCAGAGAGAGUGAACAAUUAGGUUAAGUUAUAUUUUUAGAAAGAAUAAUUAAAUAGUUUAUUACAAAAUAAAGUAAAAUUACAAUUAUUAUAAUAUAUUCUGAUUUAUAAUUAAUUUAAAAGAUACUUGAAAUUUAUUAACAUAUUAAGGUCUUUUGUCUAAAAGUUUCAACUAAUAAUAAUGAUAGUUCUCAUUAACCAAUUGACAAAUGAUUGAUAUUGUCAAAUGAUCGAUAUGUGCAAGUGCACAUUUCAAUUAUAAUAUAGUAAAACGUUCUUAGAGAUCGAGCUAGUAUCCUUUUAAGAGGGAUCAAAUUAACAAAUUAAUUUAUUGAUUUUAGGAUUAGGAUGUGUUUUAAGGAUUAAAAACAAUGAUUAGAAACUAAUAAAAAGAUCCCUAAAAGACAAAUAUGAAAUCUCAAAGAAUAAAAAAUGCUCCAAAAUUGUUUUUGAUUUCACUGUUCAAUCCAUAAAAUCAUGAUGUGUAUAGGUUAUAUGAAAACUAGUGUCAGUAUGUGUUCAGAUGUAGGAACUAAUUAACUACAAGUUGUUGACUUUUGAAAAGAAUAUCUUUCCAUUCAAACAUAAUUGUUCCUAAUCUCUUCCAACUAAGUUAAAUAUUAUGGUAUUAAACAGAUACAUAGUUUGGUUGGUAGUUUCUCUUCAAAAUUAUUAUUUUGAGAAAACAAAUACAAUUUCUUUUUUAGGUAAUCCAAUAUCCUCGAGUAUAUUUAUAAAUAUGGAAAUAUUAUUUCCAUAUUAGAAGAGAUACUAAAAGAUCUUAUUACAACAUCAUUAGAGUCCCAUCAUUUUCUCUAAAUAUCUCUUUUGUGGUGAAAGAUUUGGAAUUGCACAUCAAUCAUUUUGGAGUGGGUAAUUGAUCACCCUAUUUUUCAAAAAAUAAGAAAGAUAAAAAUAGUUAUUUUUUAAAAGAUAUAUUUGAAAGUGUUGAGUUUAUGGAAGGUAUUAGUACUUAUACAACCACAAGACAUUUGAUUUUUGUUAUCUAAAUUAUUUUAAUAAAAAUGUUUUUUUUUUUUUUGAAGUUUAUGCUUAUUAAAAAUGCUUAUUUAAAAAAUGUUAAUGAAAUUUUAAAAAAUAAAAUCUAAUUAAACACUUUUGAGAUAGAGAGGUUUCCCUUGACUACCCGAGCGUAGAUAAACACUUCUGAGAUUUGGUUGGUAAUCCCAAGUUCGUGUGCAGUUGAUUAUUUUUUAAAUUUUGUAUAGUUGAAUAAUAUUUGAAUUUUAAAUUUUCAUCUAUGUGAUAUUUACUCAUUUCAAACUUUUUGAAUAUGCAUGUUUAUUUAUUAUUCUGCCGUCUCUCUAUUGUAUUUUAAAAUUUAGAAUAUGUGUAUUUAUAUUAUUUGAAAUUGAAAAUUUAACUUUUGCUCUUACACUAGGCUUUAACUCUUUGUUUGUCCGUGUUGUAGGUGAGAGAGAAGGAAAAGUUCCAUUGUUUGAUUGAAUUGGAAUUGUUUCCUGCAUGGGGUGUCAUACAUAAUCCACUUAUUACUAGUUAAAGGUCUUCUUUGCCUCUGUCUUCUUCCCCAUCUCCCCAAGUUGUUCUAACCUUUUUAUAUCUACCUAUUACAUGUCAAAAGGCGGAUAAUUUCGCUCUUCAAUGUUUUGAAACAAGUUCAUUAUGAAAAUCUCUCACAAGCAAACGUCAAUGUGCAUUAUGAAUAAUUUCAUCUCAAAAAAAUUGUUUGAGAGGUUUCAAAAGUGUAUCGAAACUAAUAAUUUUAAUGAAUAAAAAAAUAAUUCUUCGUUAGAUUCUUACAUUUUAUUUCAACCAAUAAAAUUUAGGAGAAUUUUUAAAAAUAGCAAAUUUUACAAAAAAUAUUUACAAUUUAUAACAAAUUUAUAGUCAUUGAUAUGCUAUAACGAUAGUUACUAGUAAAUAUUUUAAUUUAUUUUGUUAUUUUAAAAAAUGCUCAUAAAAUAUUAUAGUGAGGGAACAAUGAUGAAUCACAUAGUUCUUGUGGUGAUGUCGCUUUUUCUCCCUCUUUACAUUCUAAAAUCUCAAAUACAAAUCAUAAAACAAGUAGAUAUACAUUCAAUUAACAUGAUUUUGAUUCUAAUAAAUUAGAAAAGACAAAAAUAACUAACUAAUUAUGGAAAAGUAAUAUUUUAACAUGAAUUAUUGAUUUUUAAUUAGAGGUAAUUUUAAAAUAAAUAAAAUAAAAGAAAAUAUUACAAAUCAAAUCUAAACUAACUUUGAUUUUACUUCUUUAAUUGCAAUAUAACAUAGAUACAUUGGCUAUGAAGUGCAAUUUCUUAUAUUAUAAUAUUUAAAAGAUUUAAAUUUAAAAAUAAAAAUAAGUAAUCUCAAGUCCAAUAUUGGACCCGUGGGGCUUAGCCCAUCAAUUUAAAAAUUCAAAAUGCACACUCAACGGUCACAUUUUCCUAGGAUCAUCCUAUUUAAUGCCCUUCUACUUGUCAACUCCAUCGAAAUCCUUCAUUUCUUGUGGCACCGUCUAAAAUUUGCUUCGAUUGAAGAAAUUUUGACGCCCAUGACAGCGUUGAAAUUUCUUCAAUGCAAACAAAUUUUUUAUCUUCCUUUCAUCGAGGAUUUUCAUACCAUGUGAAGGAGAGAUCAGUUCCAUCAGUUCCAAGUCGUUCGUGAGUCAUCUUCUUUCCUGUGUAGUUUUCAUCUCUUGAUUUUGGAUUGCUUGUUCAAGAUUUAUUUUCGAAUUUUGGAUUGUUUGCUAUUCGGAUAGGCAGAAGGUUUGCACGAUGAUAGAUCUGGAGUACCUGAAUCGUUUAUUGAUUCUGUAGUUUAAUCUUAUGAUUUUGGUGAUUUCGAAGCGUACAAUAUAAUCGUACUGUGUUAUGAAGUAAAUAAGAUUUUGUAGGGUUUUUGAAAGUUAAUUUAGAUAUUUCCUGCAUUUUAGUCUUGAUAGAUCUGGGGUACCUGAACCGUUCAGGUUUGCAUGCUGUGAUUGUGUUGUUCUUUUUUGAUUUUGGAGAGAGUCCUUGGGUAAUUUUGAGGAUUGUUCUUUUUUUAGUUUUUUUUUGCAUGCAUUCAAACACACGCAUGGUUUUUAAACUGGGGUUCUUGAAUAUUUGUCGGUUUUCUCGAAUAUUUGCCGGUUUUUUUUUCUCAGAAGAAUUGAUCUUAUAUUUGUGUAUCUCUCUGUGCAACUUUAAUAUAAAGUUAUUAAGGAAGAAGAGAAAGGAGGAAGAAGGGAGAGAGAAAAGGUAGAAACGACCUAAUAGUAGGCAUGAGUAUUAAGAUGCAGCAGAGCCACCACUUAGUGGCGCUAAGGUUUAAUGAGCAAAUUGACAGUAGAAAAGGGUCCACAUCCAUACCUAAGUUACUAUUGCUCUGGGUUCUGUUGGUGGCAUUCAUUAGUAUGUUAAACUACAAAGAAAUGGAUGGGUGGUGUUAACAAAGUUAGAAGAAAGUAAGUUCUGGGAAGUAUGUGUGACCAGACGACAAAGAUGCUUCUGCCUCAACUUAGUGUCAGUGUCAAACUAUGUCCAGGCUUUGGCCAUUCUCAUUUCCAUUUUCCAGUACUUCAAAAUCGUAUCAGCAAUUGAUCAGGAAAAUGUGUUUCGAUUUCUGUCUUUUAUUAGUCUCGGUUAGUUAGGCUUAAGAGUAAGGGAUAUAAUUCAUUUUUCUUGUUUCAGCUAGAAAUUACGUCGAUGUCUUGAUUUUUAGUUUUUUUAGGGCUGUUUGGUUGUUUUUUUAGGGGUGUUUGGUUAGUUAGGCCUAAGAAGUAAGGGCUAGUGAAAGAGAAGCAUUUGAUUGUCCUACAAGUAUCUGAAUCGCCAAUGAAAGCAGAGGUUAUUUCCUCUGAAUUUCCACGAAUUGUUCAGGUUUGGAUUCUGUGAUUGUGUUGUUCUGUUGUUCUCUUUUUUAUUUUGGAGUGUUCUAGGAAAUUUUGAGGUUUGUUAUUUUUUAGUUUUUUUGGCUUGCCUUUAAUCACGCUCGUUUGGGAAUAGACAGGCUUCAGAGAAUGAAUCUCCUUUUUAAGGGUUCGUUGGGGAGCGAAGUGACCAUAUGGCAUCCCUUUCUGCACCUGCUCAGUCUCUCUCUUGCCUUUUUCAUACUACAUAUUUUUGUUUCUCAAUUUAGUGUCAGUGUCAACCAUGUCUAUGCUUUGGCCAUUCUCAUUUCCACUUUCCACUACUCUAAAAAUGUAUCUGCAAUUGAUCAGGUAAAAGUGUUUCAAUUCUCUGUCUUUGGUUCAUCUCCGUUAGUUAGUCUUAAGAGUAAGGGAGAUAAUUCGUUUUUCUUGUUUCCCUCCAUGUAUUGAUUUUUAGUUUUUUAGGGAUGCUUGGUUGGUUUGAAUGCACGAAACAUUUGCUGGUACACGAUUCAAACAGCUUGCCCAGUCAUGUUUUUCUAUUUUUUUUUAAUAUUUUGGAAUUUUGCAUGUGUGAUUUCUGUAUAUAUUAUUCUUGCCCUUUUCCUUUAUCAUCAUUUAUUUUGAUUUUGGAGAGGUCUCUUGGUUAUUUGUUAUUUGCACAUAUACAAGGGUUGAAAAUUUCAAUCCCACCUCUCUUUUAUAUUACAUUCAUUUAGUUUUGGCUGUUAUCUAAUUGAACUAUUUGAUCAUCAAAUAAUUGUGUUACCUUUUCUUCUAGAUGUUUAGAUUCAUUUUUCUCACUAUUUUAGUUUUCUUAAUGUGCGACAGUCUUUGUUUUUUAUUGAACUAUUGUGUGGCAGUCUUUAUUUAUUGGUUAUCUUUAGUUUCACUAUUGUUCUUUUUUUAAUGUUUUCUUAGUUUUUAAUAAGUGUGACAAAAUAUGAAUUAAUUUUUUUCUUUGAACAAAUGUGGAAUUUAUUUUCUUUUAAUGUAGUUGUGUCCCCAAUAAAUUUAUUUUGGCGAUUUAACAAUCCAUCAUGUUCUUUUUCAUUUUUCUGUUGUAUUUUCUUGGUUCUUUGUUGUGGUAUGUCUAUUUUUGAGACAUUCUUAAUUUAGUUUUAUUUCUUUUAGCUUCCUGCAUCAUUUUGUAUUAUGGAUUGUUAUGAAAUUUUGAGAUUAUGCUUUAUUUUGUUUUUUGGUCCUUUGCUGUGAUGUCUUUUGAUUAUUUCUUUUGAGUGAACAGUUCAUGUAAGAUUUUCUGCAUGAGAAUAAAUUGAUUAUUUAAUUUGGUCAAAGAAGUUCAAAAUUUACAUGUGAAAUUUACACUCAGUGGCUGUAAGGUUUAAUGAGAAAAUUGGAAGUAGAAAAGAGUCCACAUUAAUUCAUUCAGCCAAGAGGGCUUGGCAUCCUAAGUUUGCUCUGGGUUCUGUUGGUGGCAUUCAUCAAUAUGUUAAUCUAUUAGGGAAUGUAUGGUUAUAACAAAGUAAGAAGAAUGGAAGUUCUGGGGGAGUAUUUGUGACAAGAGGGCAAGGAUGCUUCUGCAUCAAUUUAGUGUUAGUCAAUCAUGUCUAUGCUUUGGCCCUUCUCAUUCCACUUUCCACUACUACAAAAAUGUAUCUGCAAUUGAUCAUGUAAAAGUGUUUCAAUUUUCUGUCUUAGGUUCAUCUCAGUUAGUUAGUCUUAAGAGUAAGGGAGAUAAUUCAUUUUUCUUGUUUCAGCUAGAUGUUACCCUCCAUGUCCUGAUUUUUAAUUUGGCUUCCUAAGUGUGCUCUAGGUUCUGUUGGUGGCAUUCAUCAGUAUGUUAAUCUACAGGUGAAUCUAUAGUUAUAACAUAGUAAGAAGAAUGGAAGUUCUUGGGGAGUUUGUGUGACAAGAGGGCAAGGAUGCUUCUGCAUUAAUUUAGUAUCAGUGUCAACCAUGUUUAUGCUUUGGCCAUUCUCAUUUCCACUUUCCACUACUCCAAAAAUGUAUUAUCUGCAAUUGAUCAGGUAAAAGUGUUUCAAUUUUCUGUCUUUGGUUCAUCUCAGUUAGUUAGUCUUAAGAGUAAGGGAGAUAAUUCGUUUUUCUUGUUUCAGCUAGAUAUUACUCUCCAUGUCUUGAUUUUUAGUUUUUUAGGGGUGCUUGGUUGGUUUGAAUGCAGGAAACUUUUGCUGGUACACGAUUCAAACAGCUUUCCAUGUCAGGUUUUUCUAUUAUUUUUCUUUAAUAUUUUGGAACAUGUGUAAUUUCUGUAUAUAUUAUUCUUGCCGUUUUCCUUUUUCAUCAUUUAUUUUGAUUUUGGAGAGGGUCUCUUGGUAACUUGACUUUUCUUUUAGUUUUGACUGUUAUCUAAUUGAACUAUUUGAUUAUCAAAUAAUUGUGUUACUUUUUGUUCUAGAUGUUUAUAUUCAUUUUUCCCACUCUUUUAGUUUUGUUAAUGUGUGACAGUCUUUGUUUUUCAUUGAACUAUUGUGUGGCAGUCUUUAUUUAUUGGUUAUCUUUAGUUUCACUAUUGUUCUUUCUUUAAUGUUUUUCUUAGUUUUUAAUAAGUGUGACAAAAUAUGAAUUUAUCUUUUUCUUUGAACAAAUGUGGAAUUUAUUUUUCUUUUAAUGUAGUUGUGUCCCCAAUAAAUUUAUUUUGGCGAUUUAACAAUCCAUAAUGUUGUUUUUCAUUUUUCUGCUGUAUUUUCUUUGGUUCGUUGUUGUGCGAUGUCUAUUUUUGAGACAUUUUUAAUUUAGUUUUAUUUCUUUUAGCUUCCUGCAUCAUAUUGUAUUAUGGAUUUUUUCGAAAAUUUGAGUUUGAUCUUGUUUUUCUGGUCCACUGCUGUGCAGUUUUUUUUAUGAGAUAUUUUUAUUUAGAUUUAUUAUCUUUUAGCUUGUUUUGCAUUUUGCAUUAUAGAUUAUUUUUUAAAAUUUUGAGGUUGUUUUUUUUCUUUGAUCUUUUGUUGCGGUGACAAUUUUAAUUUAGAUUUAUUAUCUUUUAGCUUGCUUGCAUUAUGGAUUGUUAUGAAAUUUGCUUUAUUUUGUUUUUUGGUCCUUUGCUGUGAUGUCUCUCUAUAAGACAUUUUUAAUUUAGGUUUAAUAACUUUUAGCUAGCUUGCAUUGUGGAUUGUUAUGAAAUUUUGAGUUUCUGCUUUCUUUUGAGUUUUGGUGAUGCCUUUUUACGAGACAUUUUUAAUUUAGGUUAAUUUUUUAGGUUGCUUGCAUUUAUGGAUUGUUCUGAAAUUUUGACUUUCUGCUUUUGUUUUUUAUGUCAUUUGUUGUGUGAUAUUCUCUUUAUAAGAUAGAGAUAUUUUUAAUUUAGGUUUACUAUUUUUUAGCCUGCUUGCAUUUGGUAUCAUAUAUGAAUUGUUCUGAAUUUUGAGUUUCUUAUUUUUCAGUCAUUUGUUGUGCGAUAACUUUUUAUAAGACAGACAUUAAGAUUUAUUAUUUUUGGACUUGUUUGUAUUUUGUAUCACGGAUUGUGGUUUUUUAAAUUCAGAGGAGGAACUAGAAAUUGUUCUUGUGAUAUGUUAAAAUCUAGUUUACUGCAAAGAAUGAAUUCUAAAACAGAGGGUAUGAAUAUCGUCAAUAAUUUUUCUCCAUUUGUGCGUUGAGCAAUGUUUAGCUGAUAUGUUUGUGUAUUCUUUACAUUAGUGCAGCACCACAUGCUAAUUUAGGUGUGAAAUGCUAAUUUAGAUGUGAAACACUUCCAAAGAUGACGAGAAAUCAAAGAUUGUCGUAGUAAAAAACCUCACCAGUUUUUCCUUUCAGGUUUUUCUUUUCUUUUUCUUUAAUAGUUUGGAAUUUUGCUGGUGUGAUUUCUGCUUUUCUCUUAUCAUUUAUUUUGAUUUUGGAGAGCAACUUUGGUAAUGUUAAGGUGAUUUAAGAAAAGUUGGUUGUCCAAGAAUCAAUAUUUUUAUAUUACCUUAAAUCUUCCUAAGACAUGUUGGGUCUUUCUUUGGCCUUUGUUAGUGUCUUCUAUUAAGUCUGUUAGUUUCACUUUAGUUGGGUCUUUUUUUAAUUUUAUUUUAUCUUUUAAAUUCCAAAUCCUACUCAUUUGGUCAUGACGAUUGAAUAAUCAUUGUUAAAUUUAUUUCUUGUUGGGAGUGUAGAUUUUAUUUUCUUUUUGGCCUUUGUUAUUUGCAUCUAUACAGGGGUUCGAAAAAUUCAAACCCUUCCCUCUUUUAUUCGACAUUCUUUUAGUUUUAUUUGUACUAUUGGAUUGUUAAAAACAAUUGUGUUACUAUUUCUUACAUUCCAUAAAGAACCCUUUCUGAUGAAUUAUUUCUUAUUGAACUGUUUUAAAAUUUUGAGUUUCUUCUUUUUCUUUUUUGGGUCCAUUGUUGGGGGAUGAUACAUCUUUAAUUUUUUUUUUUUUUUGAUAAGAGAUGAUACAUCUUUAAUUUAGAUUUAUUAUCGUUAGCUUGUUUUGCAUUUUGUAUUAUGUUUUUUGAAAUUUUGAGUUUCUUCUUUUUCUUUCUUUGGUCAUGUGUUGUGCGAUGUUAUUUGCAUUAGGGGUGUUUGGUUGGUUGUUUUUUUAGGGGUGUUUUGGUUAGUUAGGCUUAAGAAGCAAGGGCUAGUGAAAGAGAAGCAUUUGAUUGUCCUACAAGUAAUAAGCUUCUCCUCAAUCAUUCAACCAUUUUUUUAGUAAAGAAAGAGGCUUCUCCUCUGGCAACCAAAGUCCGUCCCUCGUUAACAGGUAAGUCUACCCCAUUACUUUUUAUGUCCUUUUAAUUAAGAUAUUUGGGUCAAUAUAUAUCAAAAUAAAUAAGAUCCAUCUUUGGUAAUUUUUAAAAAAUUUAAAUCUAUAAAUACUCAUUUCAUCUCUAAAAUUAUGUGAUUUGUACUUUCUAAAAUUCCCUCGAUGGUACUAAUACACUCUUAUAUUUGUAUUGUAAUUAUCAUGUCCUUUUUCUAUGGUUUUUUAAAGUUAAUUUAGAUCCUUAUUCGCUCUAGGUAUAAGUUGAAUGGAAGAGUUUUUUAGCCUUGAUAGAUCUUGAGUACCUGAAUCGCCGAUGAAACAGAGGUUAUUUUCUCGGAAAUUCCACGAAUUGUUCAGGUUUGGAUUCUGUAAUUCUGUUGGUUCUUUUUUGAUUUUGGAGUGUGUCCUGGGUAAUUUUGAGGAUUAUUAUUUUUUUGUUUUUUUGGCUUGCAUUUAAUCACGCACGUUGGGGAAUAGACAGGCUUCGGAGAAUGAAUCACCUUUUUAAGGUUUCGCUGGGGAGCGAAUUGGCCAUAAGGCAUCCCUUUCUGUUCAGUCUCUCUCUUGCCUUUUUCAUACUAUAUGGUUGUUGAACUGGGGUUAUUGAAUGAUUGUUGCUUUUAUUUUCAUAAGAAGUGAUCUUAUAUUUUUGUUUCUCUCUGUGUAACUUUAAUAUGAGGUUAUUAAGGAAGGAGAUAAAGGAGGAAGAAGGGACGGAGAAAAGGAAGAAAUGACUGGAUUGUUGGGAUGGGUAUGAAGAUGCAGUAGAGCCACCACCUAGGGGCUGUAAGGUCUAAUGGGCAAAUUGAAAGUAAAAAAGAGUGCACAUCCAUUCAAGCUAAGAGAGCUUGGAUUCCUAAAUUACUAUUGCUCUGGGUUCUGUUGGAGGCAUUGAUUGGUAUUGUUAAUCUACAAGGGAAUUGAUGGUGUUAACAAAGUUAGAAGAAAGGAAGUUUUGGGCGUAUGUGUGACCGGAGCACAAAGAUGCUUCUGCAUCAAUUUACUGUCAGUGUUAAACUAUGUCCAUGCUUUGGUUAUUCUAUUUUAUACUUUCCACUCCUCUCGAAAUGUAUCAACAAUUGUUUAUGUAAAUGUGUUUCGAUUUCUGUUUGAUACUUCUCAGUUAGUUAGGCUUAAAAGUAUGAGAGAUAAUUCAUUUCUCGUCUCAUAUAGAAAUUAUCUUGAUGUCUUGAUUUUUAGGGUUUUUUUCAGCGGUUUUUGGUUUUUUUAUUUUUUUGUUGGAUUUUGGCUAGUUAGGCUUAGAGGUGCAAGGACUUGUGAAAGAGAAGCAUUUGAUUGACCAACGAGUAAUUAGUUUCUCCUCAAGCAUCCCACCACUUUUCUAUUAAAGAAAUACAGGUACGUCUACGCUAUUACUUUUCAUGUCCUUUUACUUAAGAUAUUUAUAUAAAUAUAUAUAAAAAUAAAUAAGAUCCAUCUUUGGUAAUUUUUUUUAAAAUCAAAUCUGUGGAUAUUCAUUUCAUCUCUAAAGUUUUGCGUUUUGUUACUUUUUAAAAUUCCCUCCAUGUCACUAUUACACUCCUAUAUUUGUGUUGUAAUUAUGAUGUCCUUUUUCUAUGGUCUGUUAAAGUUAAUUUAAAUCCUUUUUUGCUCUUGGUUUAUGUUGAAGAAAUGGAAGAUUUUUUUAGCCUUAAUAGAUCUGGAGUACCUUAAUCGCUCUUGCAUUUUGUGAUUCUGUUCUUUUUCUAUUUUGAAGAGUGUCCUGAGUAAUUUUUAGGAUUUUUAUUUUAUAGUUUUUGUCGCUUGCAUUUAAACACAGACUUGGUUGUUGAACUGGGGUUCUUGAAUAAUUGUUGGUUUUGUUUUCUGAAGAAGUGAUCUUAUAUUUGUGUAUCUCUAUGUGCAACUUUAAUAUGGGGUUAUUAAGGAUGGAGAUAAAGGAGGAAGAAUGGAGAGAGAAAAGGCAGAAAUGACUUAAUUGUUGGGAUGAGUAUGACCCCAUGUCUAGUAGUUCCCAAGUAUGAUAUAGGAAGGCAUAGAGUCAAGGCCUUGUCUGACUCUAAUAGAAGUAAGUAGCUAACGCAACGCAAUAUUCUUUGCACCUUCAGUCUGUGAAUUUGAGGUGUAAGAGUUUGGCCAGAGGAGCUAGUCUCGUAACUGCGGGCGCAGUUCUAGUUCUUUACAAGACAGAUGGGAACGGUAGCUAACAAGUGUGCCCUGAGUGGAAUCCUACCACUACUCUUUCUACUAUAUUGGCAGGACGGGUGCCAAGUUAUUAGUAGCUAGGCAGCUAAGCCAGUAGUAGUUCAGUUCAGGCGCUGUUCUCAAAUCUAGUUGACUACGUUGUAGCGUAGCGGUACGGGACAGGAAAAGAAUUGAUAGCGGUACACUGAACACAAAGAAAUUUGAUAGACAUAUGUUGAGAGUUCGACAAGUAGCACUGAAUCUACUAUCAGUAGUGAUUUAUAGAAGUUGACUCGCUUAAACGAAGAGAGUGAACAAAGCAUAGCGGAGUGAAGAGAGAAAUGGUUUCAUUAGAUAGCUCUCUCGAUGUCCUUGUUAUCUUUCCUAGGUAGAUUGUGACUUAUUCAUUCUUUCUCGCUGACUCUGGUUUCCCCGCCGUGGAUCCUUUCUCGGUUAGGGCCUCCCCUAUCCUUAUUCAUUGAUCGCUCUCUUUGCCGCGAAUCUCGGCAUGGUGGUCCUUCGCCUCGCAAUAUUCUUUGCUCCUCCUUCCUGGGCUUGAUGGGUACAUCAAGCAUAUCGGCAUCUUGCUUCUUUGGUGUGGUACACAUAUCUAUCAAUGAAAAGAAAGUAAUAGAAUUCAUUCCCGCAUACUCGCAUAUUGAAUUGCGCCUUCAGACCAUCAAAGAAAGGUCCAGGGUCUGGAGUCCGCAGGAUUUAUCCGGAGUCCGAAGGAUUUAUCCGUAGGACCAUCCAUAUGGAGGGAAGUAGUCCGGAGGAUUUAUUCGUAGGACCAUCCGUAAUUAACAGAAGUAGGACUAUCCAUUAUCCUUCAUCCGGAGUCCGCAGGAUUCUUAUCCGUAGGACUAUCCAUAUGGAAGUAGGACUUGUUUUUAACCAAUCUGAGGAACUCAAACUUAUGGCCUCCGUAGUCCGCUCCCUCCCUUUAUUUUCAAGGUUGAAUAUGAAAGGUUUGAAGUUAGAAGUGAAAGGAAGAAAAAGUCAAUAGAAGUCCUCCGUCUCUCUUCUUUAUGGUCCGGAGCCUUCGAUCAUUCUUUGAGCCUCUAGACCUACUAGAGAAAGCCCCACUCCGCGGAAGAACCUAGAAAGCUAAGCUUGAUAAAGUCCUCCGCCUAAUUCAAUGGAUCUAAUGGACGCAAUAUUCUUUGCACUUGGACCCAGCCUCCAGCUUCUUAUUCGACGUUAGGAGUAUUAAGACCGAAGGACAGACGGGUCCUUCUAUAUAUUCUUUGCACCGCUCUGUGGGUCCUUUCCAUUAAUAGUUAGGAGUCUUAAGACCUCAGUCCUAUCCAUAUUAACCCGCGCUAAGUUCCAUUAAGAGAAAAUUCUUUGCUCUCUGCGACUCGAAGUAAUAGUAUUCAACAAUAUCCCUGUCUUAUGGCGCCUCGCAUAAAUACGGCUUCGAUCAUUCUUUGAGCCUCCGUCGCAAGUCAAAUUCUCUAAUGGAUAGGCCUUCUCCUUCGCCUAUAAAUUCCCAUAUUAAGCUACGAAAUAAAGAAAGCACUACGCGGGAAGAACUGAUCAAUGAAAUUUGAUUGAUUGAAUUUCAUCAUAUCAUAUUUGAAAAAGAAAGAAUAUUGAGGUGCAAAGAAUAUAUAGAAGGCGCAAAGAUCUAAAAAGAAAGGUCCAGAUGACUAUCCAUAUUAACCCAGAGAAAGUUCAGUCAGUUUCAGUGGAAUAAAGGGAAAGCCUAUCCAACAACAUUUCAGUGGAAUAGGAGAAAGGAAGUCCUCCGCUCCGUUGGAGUUGAAUUGGUCCUACGGGAAGAAAAUCAAUGAAGAAGUCAAUGCCCACUACGCGGGGUUAAAGUGAAAGAGGAAAGCCACUAAAAACCUCAAAAUAAUACGGAAAGCCUAGCCUUCUACGGCCUCCAAACAAAAAAAGCUUUACUAGACUCAAAUUCUUUGAGCCUCCGGAGCCUCAAAAAUAUAGCUUAAAGGAAGAGGUGCAAAGAAUAUUGCGUGAUUGAUGCCUCCGUCUCUCUGAUUUAUGGUUAUGGUUCUCCUGAACCUACUCCCUACGGCAAGGCAGAAGACUGCCAAACAGAAGAAAGCCUAGGAGAAGACAACUCCUAGAAAGUUUAAAAGUGGAAUCAAAUAACUAAGAACGAAGAUUUGUUGGGAAGGAAAGCCUUCAUAAGUACUUUCGUCUUAUUUUUAGUCCUCUUUCAUUGAUCUAUCUUGAUGCCAAGAAGAAACUUCAGGAUUACUAACAAUGAACAAGGGAAGCACUACGCGGAAGUUUCAGUUCCUCAGUCGGAAUAUGGACCUCGCAUAUUUCAUUGUGCCUUCUCUCCUUUCAGUCGAGCCCUCAGUCCUAUCCAUCAGUCGAGCCCUCGGGGAGCCUUGAACUUCCUUUAACUGCUUUCCUAUUCCUUUCACUUUUUCUGACUUUACCCUCUCUUUAUUCCGCUCCGUCUUCUUGAAUGAAUCUCAAUUGCAGACUUCUACGUCUUCUGUUUUAUUUUAGUAGGCUCUCUUCUUUUUCAGACGAAGGAUUCUCCCGCUCCGUGGGGUCUUGGACGAGGAUUCUCCCAAGAACCUAACAAAAUACUGAAGAAAGCCAAUCUAGAGACUGAAUACGAGAAACUGAAAGGAGAAAAGCCUAUGAUUUUCAGCAAGCAUUCUUGGAAAGUAACAAUUCUCUUCAGUUUGGUUUUGGAGAACUUGUUGGUCGCGGAUUAGUGCGUUCUGCGCCGCCCGGUGUCACAAUCGUAGUCCUUCAAACAAGAUGUGAACGAUUGUGCGGCACUUGUUCUAGCUCGACGAACAAGUCAGCCGAUCAAAAUCCGCAAAUCGCGGACAACUUUAACACAUGCUUCAACCUCCCCUCACGUUCUUGGAAAAUAUUUUUAGAAAACGUGAAAGAUGAUUAAAUUGAUUGAAAACAUUGUUAAAACAAGCAUUGAAGACUGUCAAUUGCAAUAAGAAAGCAUAGGUUGCAAAGAGUACGACAAGGCUUGGGCGGGGAUUCAACAAGUAUGACUCCCCUAUAGUACAUUUUUAACAUUUUCAUCUCUGGCAGGCUUGCAUAUGAAAAGUGCCAAAACGUCACACCCAAGCAUAUCGACUUGAAAUUGAAAGCAACUACCUAAACUACAUACAAGACAUAAAGACAAGAUAAAUUGGGGCUAAUUGGAGCAUACGGCCAUAGGUAAACACACCUUGGACAAGUAUGUCCGUUACAUUCUCCUCCACCUAAACAGUUGACGUCCCUGUCGACUGGUGAAGCUUGAACUCCUCGAUCUUCUGCGCCUCGGCUUCUAGGUCUUCGACACGUUCCCAACUGGUUUCUUCCACAGGAAGGUUCUUCCACUUUACCAGGUACUCGUGGAUCCUUCUUGUGGGUCUUCGGCCCUUCCUCACUCGUUCGGUCAAGAUUUCUUCAACUUCUUUACUCUCCUUCUGGCUGAGGUUGAUGGCCGGUCGGACUAUGGCAUUACGUUGCAUGUCAUCAGGAUCUUGGUAGUAGGGCUUCAAAUUACUCACAUGAAUUACUGGGUGGAUUUUCAUCCAUGUGGGCAACGCUACUUUAUAAGAUGUGUUCCCUACCUUCUUCAGCACUUCCACUGGUCCCUCGUACUUUCUUAGGAGGCGUUGGUCCUUGCGUCCUCGGAACCGAAUCUGUCCUGGUCGUAACUUAAUGAGAACCUGAUCUCCGACCCGCAACUCUAGAGGGCAGCGCUUCUUGUCUGCCCACUUCUUCAUCCGCUUCGAGGCUUUCCCUAAAGAGGCUCGAGCGAUGUCUGUCGUCUGCUUCCAUUCUCUGGUAAAAUUGUGAGCUUGAGGGUUCUUCCCCGCAUAGGGGUGAUCAACAAGGUGUGGCAGAACUGGUUGCCUUCCGCAAACAAUUUCAAAAGGGCUCUUUUCAGUUGACGAGCUUGUCUGAGCGUUAAAACAAAACUGGGAGACAUCCAACAACUGAGCCCAAUUUCUUUGCCUCGCAGUAACAAAAUGGCGCAAGUAUUCUUCGAGCAUACAGUUGAACCGCUCGGUCUGACCGUCCGUUUGGGGAUGGUAACUUGAGGACACAUUCAGGCUUGUCCCUAAGAAAGUGAAUAACUCUGUCCAAAAGGUGCCAAUGAACCGUCCAUCCCGAUCACUCACAAUGCUUGUCGGUAUGCCCCACAGUUUCACAAUAUGUCUAAAGAAUAAUUGAGCUGUUAACUCCGCCGAACACUGCUUCGUAGUGGGAACGAAAGUGGCAUAUUUCGAGAAUCGAUCUAUGAUGACUAAUAUAGUCUCAUAGUCGCCUACUUUUGGGAGAUGGGUGAUGAAGUCCAUAGAAACACUCUCCCACGGUCUCGUUGGCACCUGCAGAGGUUCGAGAAGCCCAGCAACCUUUGCCUUCUCGACUUUGUCCUGUUGACAGACAAGACACGUCUUCGUGUAUUGCAUGACGUCGUCUCUCAUACGGGGCCAGAAGUAUCCUUUCUUCAGCAAGGCGUAUGUCCUCUGCCAUCCGGGGUGGCCGGCCCACAGAGUGUCGUGACACUCGUGUAGCAACUUCUUCCUCAGGUCUCCUCCCCUAGGGACAUACAACCGUCUCCCCUUCGUCACUAACAACCCAUCUUCAACCCAAAACUGCCUUCUUUUACCUGCCUCAGCUAAACUCAUGACACUCCAAGCCACAGAAUCCUUCUGCAAGAACUCCCUCAAGACAUCGCGCAUAGGGCCAUCAAUCUUGCUUGCUUAGAGAUGUGCUAACAUGCACAAAGCAGCGUGGUCGCCUCUUCGACUAAGCGCAUCAGCGGCCUGAUUGCUCACCCCCUUCUUGUGUUCAAACUCAAAAUCAAACUCAGCUAGGAAUUCCUGCCAUCUAGCUUGUUUUGAAGUCAACUUCGGUUGCGUAAAGAAGUGACAAGUAGCACUAUUGUCCGUCUUCACAACAAAAGUUGACCCCAAUAAGUACUGUCUCCAGGCCCUUAAGCAAUGUACUACGACAAGCAUUUCUUUCUCGGACACGGUGUACCUCCUCUCCGCGGCAUUUAGUUUCCGACUCUCAUCUGGACCUUUCUUUGGCACUGCGGACUACUUCGGUUAAUUACGGAUGGUCCUACGGAUAAAUCCUGCGGACUCCGGACGUAGGAUAAAUUCUGCGGACUCCUUCCUUCCAUAUGGAUGGUCCUACGGAUAAAUCCUCCGGACUACUUAGGUUAAUUACGGAUGGUCCUACGGAUAAAUCCUCUGGACUACUUCGGUUAAUUACGGAUGGUCCUACUUCCAUAUGGAUAGUCCUACUUGUAAUGGAUAGUCCUCCGGAUAAAUCCUGCGGAUGUAGGACCUUGGUUCUUUCUUUCUUUAAUGGAUAGUCCUCCGGAUAAAUCCUGCGGACUGCGGACGUAAGACCCUGGACCUUUCUUUGGCACUCCGAACGGAUAAAGAAAGGAUAAAUAAAGGCGCAAAGAAUAUUGCGAGAGCGGGAAUUACCUUUUCUCUUCAGGUUAGCUAAGAGUUGCCGGAGGCUUGAAGUCGGAUAAUUACUUUUACUUAAAGGUUUCACAAACCUGCAAAAUCUUCUCCAAAUUAGUGUUAGCGUUCUGAGUGCCAAGCAGUAUAUUUAAAAUAUAGAAAGAAGAAAAAUCCAUGCAAUCUAAGUACACUAAGAACCUACAGCAUCGUCACCGCUGCUUGGGAAGGUUAAUUCUUCUAACUCUGGUAUUAUCGUUGAACAAGCAGUUCACAUCCGACUGCCCGCGUAGUGGGGGAAGCUCGCUCGCUAACUUUGCACUUCGGCCAAAAUGCCGAAAAAAGGCUAAGGCCGAAGGAGGUCUGCUCCUUCGCUCAAGGAAAAAUUGCCCGAUUGGAUAUAUAUCUCGGAGCAGAGAGAGGAAAGGAUCACGGAAGCCUUAGUCUCAGUACGAAAGGGGCAAAAAGCUGGAAAAAGCAUACUGGCUUCACCUUGCCCUAGGAUGGGGUCCGUCGGAUCUUUUAAGACAUAGGCUUAAUGCUGAGACGCACGGGGAUAUCCAGUAAAGGAUGGAUAUUCAAGACAAGGACGAAGGCUCUCCGUCACGCAAGAUGAUUAUAAGUCUUAGGAGUGAACUUCCGCUUUACCCCUUCUCGGUUUACCCUUCUUUUAGGAUAGAAAAAGCCACUGCCUGUGUGACCACUACAAGCGGACGUGACGAGCGACGCAGGGCCACCCACGACCGCUAGCAAUACGAGGUAAAGCGGCCAGAAAGCAUACCAUAGGAUGCGUCUUGAGGGCAUUCACAUAAACAUUCUUCGAAUUAUUCACAUUCGACGGGAUGUUCUUAGCCUUGUCUCCAGGUGAAUAAUUGAAUCGGCACCGGCGCGAUCGGACCUAUUGCAGCCUUCGGUUGACUGGUGGCAUUCGAUGGUAUGCUUUGAGGCCUUCCCAACCCGCUCCGUGUAAAAGAGGUAGAAGGAGGCUCAAAGAAUUAUCGAAGAGCGAGACGAAAGAAAAUAGCGACUUCCAGUCGGUGAUGGGAUAUCUCAAUGUUAUCGUAGAUUCAAAGGCGCAAAGAAUAUUGCAUUGAGGCUCGACUGAAAGGAGAGGCGAAUUUGAGAAGAAAGAACUAUAUCGGAUAAAUACUCAACUGCCUCAGACGUCACUGGGACAAGAGCCGGAGAUUCUGAAACCUCUCGCAGCUUCUUUGCUUCCUCUGGUCUCGAUAUUUGAACCGCCUCAAUAAACAACAAAUAAGGGUCCAAAAAAUCAAGGUCAUCUGAAACCCUUUUUUUGAUGCGCCUCAGUCCUAUCCAUUAGAACGCCGGCCCUCACCCUUUUUCUUCUUAGUGCGCACUUGAGCUUUAGUCUUCCGAGUUCUCAAAUUCUUUGACCCUCUGUCUCAGUAUUCGGCAGAGAUGUUGAUGUUAACAAGAAAUGCAGGCUGAAUGCUGUAUGGAAGGAUGAUCAUUUUGGCUUCUUGUAGCCAUUGAUGCUGUCUAAUACUCGGAGAGACAUUGUUAGUAAUGUGACUUUGGACAAGGUUACUGAAGAUAGAACUAUCUGGCCUCAGGUCAGUUUUCAGUUGCUAAGGCAGUGAAGCUCUUUCAUCUUCCUGGUAAUACUGUCCCUUGGUUCAAGCUUCUUUGGGGUAAGAAGCACAUCCCUAGUCAUGCUUUUCUUUCCUGGAUGGCUAUGAAUAAGAGUCUGAGAGUCAAAAUGGCUAUGAAUAAGAGUCUGAGAGUCAAAGCUAAACUGUACAAUCUUUAAGUGCUUCCGUCUGAUUUUGAGGUUUGGAAGCAAAGAAGCAGAGCGGAGUUUGAUUCCUUAUAUCAGGAAAAGAUAUAGGAAGACUCCCAAGAAGAAGAAAGCCUAGGAGAAAGCAAAGAAAGAGUAAGGAUCAGAAAGCUCCUAACCCCUAUUUAUUUAUGGAUGUGAAUUGAGCGAAGGCGCAAAGAAUAUUGCGAAGGUUCAAAGAAUAUUGACUUGAUAAACCUCUAUUUAGCUUCUUAUAUCUGAAGACGAUAAAGUCAGAUAAUCAGCCUUCGGCUGGGUCGGAUCGUCCAUACCUAGUUGAGUAUCUUUGUCCGUCAUAACGAAGUCACUCUUUGAAAAGGGUCGGGCUUUGUUGGAGUUGACUCGGUGAGUACACUUUCAUCUUGACGAGAAGAAGCGCGAACAACAACUAUAUUAUUCAGCCAGAGACCUGAUUUACCCGAUGAGUGGAACGGCUCGACAAAAGUCUUAGGACUCGCGGACAGACGCGCCUCCUUCCUGCUAGAACUCAUAGGUCUACGCGGGUUUUUUAGGUAGCGAGAAUAGUGGUCCCAAACGGAAUAGAAGUACUUUUGAUUCACUGAAUCGGAAUCUUUGAAAGAAUAAAGGGGGACGGAGGAUCAAUGAAAUUUGAUGAUGAUGAGUAAGCUCUCGGUUUUCUUGCUCCUCUUUCUCCUCUUUCUUCCAUAUGGAUAGUCCUACUUCUAAUGGUUAUCUUUAGUUUUACUAUUGUUCUUUUUUUAAUGUUUUCUUAGUUUUUAAUAAGUGUGACAAAAUAUGAAUUAAUUUUUUUCUUUGAACAAAUGUGGAAUUUAUUUUCUUUUAAUGUAGUUGUGUCCCCAAUAAAUUUAUUUUCGCGAUUUAACAAUCCAUCAUGUUCUUUUUCAUUUUUCUGUUGUAUUUUCUUUGGUUCUUUGUUGUGGUAUGUCUAUUUUUGAGACAUUCUUAAUUUAGUUUUAUUUCUUUUAGCUUCCUGCAUCAUUUUGUAUUAUGGAUUGUUAUGAAAUUUUGAGAUUAUGCUUUAUUUUGUUUUUUUGGUCCUUUGGUGUGAUGUCUUUUGAUUAUUUCUUUUGAGUGAACAGUUCAUGUAAGAUUUUCUGCAUGAGAAUAAAUUGAUUAUUUAAUUUGGCAUCCUAAGUUUGCUCUGGGUUCUGUUGGUGGCAUUCAUCAAUAUGUUAAUCUAUUAGGGAAUGUAUGGUUAUAACAAAGUAAGAAGAAUGGAAGUUCUGGGGGAGUAUUUGUGACAAGAGGGCAAGGAUGCUUCUGCAUCAAUUUAGUGUUAGUCAAUCAUGUCUAUGCUUUGGCCCUUCUCAUUCCACUUUCCACUACUACAAAAAUGUAUCUGCAAUUGAUCAUGUAAAAGUGUUUCAAUUUUCUGUCUUAGGUUCAUCUCAGUUAGUUAGUCUUAAGAGUAAGGGAGAUAAUUCAUUUUUCUUGUUUCAGCUAGAUAUUACCCUCCAUGUCCUGAUUUUUAAUUUGGCUUCCUAAGUGUGCUCUAGGUUCUGUUGGUAGCAUUCGUCAGUAUGUUAAUCUACAGGUGAAUCUAUAGUUAUAACAUAGUAAGAAGAAUGGAAGUUCUUGGGGAGUUUGUGUGACAAGAGGGCAAGGAUGCUUCUGCAUUAAUUUAGUAUCAGUGUCAACCAUGUUUAUGCUUUGGCCAUUCUCAUUUCCACUUUCCACUACUCCAAAAAUGUAUUAUCUGCAAUUGAUCAGGUAAAAGUGUUUCAAUUUUCUGUCUUUGGUUCAUCUCAGUUAGUUAGUCUUAAGAGUAAGGGAGAUAAUUCGUUUUUCUUGUUUCAGCUAGAUAUUACUCUCCAUGUCUUGAUUUUUAGUUUUUUAGGGGUGCUUGGUUGGUUUGAAUGCAGGAAACUUUUGCUGGUAAACGAUUCAAACAGCUUUCCAUGUCAGGUUUUUCUAUUAUUUUUCUUUAAUAUUUUGGAACAUGUGUAAUUUCUGUAUAUAUUUUCUUGCCGUUUUCCUUUUUCAUCAUUUAUUUUGAUUUUGGAGAGGGUCUCUUGGUAACUUGACUUUUCUUUUAGUUUUGACUUGGGAACAUGUGCAUUGUGGAUUGUUAUGAAAUUUUGAGUUUCUGCUUUCUUUUGAGUUUUGGUGAUGCCUUUUUACGAGACAUUUUUAAUUUAGGUUAAUUUUUUAGGUUGCUUGCAUUUAUGGAUUGUUCUGAAAUUUUGACUUUCUGCUUUUGUUUUUUAUGUCAUUUGUUGUGUGAUAUUCUCUUUAUAAGAUAGAGAUAUUUUUAAUUUAGGUUUACUAUUUUUUAGCCUGCUUGCAUUUGGUAUCAUAUAUGAAUUGUUCUGAAUUUUGAGUUUCUUCUUUUUCAGUCAUUUGUUGUGCGAUAACUUUUUAUAAGACAGACAUUAAGAUUUAUUAUUUUUGGACUUGUUUGUAUUUUGUAUCACGGAUUGUGGUUUUUUAAAUUCAGAGGAGGAACUAGAAAUUGUUCUUGUGAUAUGUUAAAAUCUAGUUUACUGCAAAGAAUGAAUUCUAAAACAGAGGGUAUGAAUGUCGUCAAUAAUUUUUCUCCAUUUCUGCGUUGAGUAAUGUUUAGCUGAUAUGUUUGUGUAUUCUUUACAUUAGUGCAGCACCACAUGCUAAUUUAGGUGUGAAAUGCUAAUUUAGAUGUGAAACAAUUCCAAAGAUGACGAGAAAUCAAAGAUUGUCGUAGUAAAAAACCUCACCAGUUUUUCAGUUUUUCUUUUCUUUUUCUUUAAUAGUUUGAGUUUUUCCUUUCAGGUUUUUCUUUUCUUUUUCUUUAAUGGUUUGGAAUUUUGCUGGUGUGAUUUCUGCUUUUCUCUUAUCAUUUAUUUUUGAUUUUGGAGAGCAACUUUGGUAAUGUUAAGGUGAUUUAAGAAAAGUUGGUUGUCCAAGAAUCAAUUUUUUUAUAUUACCUUAAAUCUUCCUAAGACAUGUUGGGUCUUUCUUUGGCCUUUGUUAGUGUCUUCUAUUAAGUCUGUUAGUUUCACUUUAGUUGGGUCUUUUUUUAAUUUUAUUUUAGCUUUUAAAUUCCAAAUCCUACUCAUUUGGUCAUGACGAUUGAAUAAUCAUUGUUAAAUUUAUUUCUUGUUGGGAGUGUAGAUUUUAUUUUCUUUUUGGCCUUUGUUAUUUGCAUCUAUACAGGGGUUCGAAAAAUUCAAACCCUUCCCUCUUUUAUUCGACAUUCUUUUAGUUUUAUUAGUACUAUUGGAUUGUUAAAAAUAAUUGUGUUACUAUUUCUUACAUUCCAUAAAGAACCCUUUCUGAUGGAUUAUUUCUUAUUGAACUGUUUUAAAAUUUUGAGUUUCUUCUUUUUCUUUUUUGGGUCCAUUGUUGGGGGAUGAUACAUCUUUAAUUUAGAUUUAUUAUCGUUAGCUUGUUUUGCAUUUUGUAUUAUGUUUUUUGAAAUUUUGAGUUUCUUCUUUUUCUUUCUUUGGUCAUGUGUUGUGCGAUGUUAUUUGCAUUAGGGGUGUUUGGUUGGUUGUUUUUUUAGGGGUGUUUUGGUUAGUUAGGCUUAAGAAGCAAGGGCUAGUGAAAGAGAAGCAUUUGAUUGUACUACAAGUAAUAAGCUUCUCCUCAAUCAUUCAACCAUUUUUUUAGUAAAGAAAGAGGCUUCUCCUCUGGCAACCAAAGUCCGUCCCUCGUUAACAGGUAAGUCUACCCCAUUACUUUUUAUGUCCUUUUAAUUAAGAUAUUUGGGUCAAUAUAUAUCAAAAUAAAUAAGAUCCAUCUUUGGUAAUUUUUAAAAAAAUUAAAUCUAUAAAUACUCAUUUCAUCUCUAAAAUUAUGUGAUUUGUACUUUCUAAAAUUCCCUCGAUGGUACUAAUACACUCUUAUAUUUGUAUUGUAAUUAUCAUGUCCUUUUUCUAUGGUUUUUUAAAGUUAAUUUAGAUCCUUAUUCGCUCUAGGUAUAAGUUGAAUGGAAGAGUUUUUUAGCCUUGAUAGAUCUUGAGUACCUGAAUCGCCGAUGAAACAGAGGUUAUUUUCUCGGAAAUUCCACGAAUUGUUCAGGUUUGGAUUCUGUAAUUCUGUUGUUCUUUUUUGAUUUUGGAGAGUGUCCUGGGUAAUUUUGAGGAUUAUUAUUUUUUUGUUUUUUUGGCUUGCAUUUAAUCACGCGCGUUGGGGAAUAGACAGGCUUCGGAGAAUGAAUCACCUUUUUAAGGUUUCGCUGGGGAGCGAAUUGGCCAUAAGGCAUCCCUUUCUGUUCAGUCUCUCUCUUGCCUUUUUCAUACUAUAUGGUUGUUGAUCUGGGGUUAUUAAAUGAUUGUUGCUUUUAUUUUCAUAAGAAGUGAUUUUAUAUUUUUGUUUCUCUCUGUGCAACUUUAAUAUGAGGUUAUUAAGGAAGGAGAUAAAGGAGGAAGAAGGGACGGAGAAAAGGAAGAAAUGACUGGAUUGUUGGGAUGGGUAUGAAGAUGCAGUAGAGCCACCACCUAGGGGCUGUAAGGUCUAAUGGGCAAAUUGAAAGUAAAAAAGAGUGCACAUCCAUUCAAGCUAAGAGAGCUUGGGUUCCUAAAUUACUAUUGCUCUGGGUUCUGUUGGUGGCAUUGAUUGGUAUUGUUAAUCUACAAGGGAAUUGAUGGUGUUAACAAAGUUAGAAGAAAGGAAGUUUUGGGCGUAUGUGUGACCAGAGGACAAAGAUGCUUCUGCAUCAAUUUACUGUCAGUGUUAAACUAUGUCCAUGCUUUGGUUAUUUUAUUUUCUACUUUCCACUCCUCUCGAAAUGUAUCAGCAAUUGUUCAUGUAAAUGUGUUUCGAUUUCCGUCUUUGAUACUUCUCAGUUAGUUAGGCUUAAAAGUAUGAGAGAUAAUUCAUUUCUCGUCUCAUAUAGAAAUUAUCUUGAUGUCUUGAUUUUUAGGGUUUUUUCAGCGGUUUUUGUUUUUGUUUUUUUUUUUUUUGUUGGAUUUUGGCUAGUUAGGCUUAGAGGUGUAAGGACUUGUGAAAGAGAAGCAUUUGAUUGACCAACGAGUAAUUCUCCUCAGGCAUCCCACCACUUUUCUAUUAAAGAAAUACAGGUACGUCUACGCUAUUACUUUUCAUGUCCUUUUACCUAAGAUAUUUAUAUAAAUAUAUAUAAAAAUAAAUAAGAUCCAUCUUUGGUAAUUUUUUAAAAAUCAAAUAUGUGAAUAUUCAUUUCAUCUCUAAAAUUUUGCGUUUUGUUACUUUUUAAAAUCCCCUCCAUGUUACUAUUACACUCUUAUAUUUGUGUUGUAAUUAUGAUGUCCUUUUUCUUUGGUCUUUUAAAGUUAACUUAAAUCCUUAUUUGCUCUUGGUUUAUGUUGAAGAAAUGGAAGAGUUUUUUAGCCUUAAUAGAUCUGGAGUACCUUAAUCGCUCUUGCAUUUUGUGAUUCUGUUGUUCUUUUUCUAUUUUGAAGAGUGUCCUUAGUAAUUUUUAGGAUUUUUAUUUUAUAGUUUUUGUCGCUUGCAUUUAAACACAGACUUGGUUGUUGAACUGGGGUUCUUGAAUAAUUGUUGGUUUUGUUUUCUGAAGAAGUGAUCUUAUAUUUGUGUAUCUCUAUGUGCAACUUUAAUAUGGGGUUAUUAAGGAUGGAGAUAAAGGAGGAAGAAUGGAGAGAGAAAAGGCAGAAAUGGACUUAAUUGUUGGGAUGAGUAUGACCCCAUGUCUAGUAGUUCCCAAGUAUGAUAUAGGAAGGCAGAGAGUCAAGGCCUUGUCUGACUCUAAUAGAAGUAAGUAGCUAACGCAACGCAAUAUUCUUUGCACCUUCAGUCUGUGAAUCUGAGGAGCAAGAGUUUGGCUAGGGGAGCUAGUCCCGUAACUGCAGGCGCAGUUCUAGUUCUUUACAAGACAGAUGGUAAUUGUAGCUAACAAGUGUGCCCUGAGUGGAAUCCUACCACUAUUUCUACUAUAUUGGCAGGACGGGUGCCAAGUUAUUAGGAGCUAGGCAGCUAAGCCAGUAGUAGUUCAGUUCAGGCGCUGUUCCCAAAUCUAGUUGACUACGUUGUAGCGUAGCGGUACGGGACAGGAAAAGAAUUGAUAGCGAUACACUGAACACAAAGGAAUUUGAUAGACAUAUGUUGAAAGUUCGACAAGUAGCACUGAAUCUACUAUCAGUAGUGAUUUAUAGAAGUUGACUCGCUUAAACGAAGAGAGUGAACAAAGCAUAGCGGAGUGAAGAGAGAAAUGGUUUCAUUUGAUAGCUCUCUCGAUGUCCUUGUUAUCUUUCCUAGGUAGAUUGUGACUUAUUCAUUCUUUCUCGCUGACUCUAGUUUCCCCGACGUGGAUCCUUUCUCGGUUAGGGCCUCCCCUAUCCGUAUUCAUUGAUCGCUCUCUUUGCCGCGAAUCUCGUCAUGGUGGUCCUUCGCCUUGCAAUAUUCUUUGUUCCUCCUUCCUAGGCUUGAUUGGUACAUCAAGCAUAUCGACAUCUUGCUUCUUCGGUUUGGUACACAUAUCUAUCAAUGAAUAGAAAGUAAUAGAAUUCAUUCCUGCGUACUCGCAUAUUGAAUUGUGCCUUCGGACCAUCAAAGAAAGGUCCAGGGUCCAGAGUCCGCAGGAUUUAUUCGGAGUCCGGAGGAUUUAUCCGUAGGACCAUCCAUAUAGAGGGAAGUAGUUCAGAGGAUUUAUUCGUAGGACCAUCCGUAAUUAACAGAAGUAGGACUAUCCAUUAUCCUCCGUCCGGAGUUCGCAUGAUUCUUACCCGUAGGACUAUCCAUAUGGAAGUAGGACUAUCCGUAAUUAACCGAAGUUUGCACCUCUUGAUUAUGAAUCAUAUAUAUUGAUUUUGACCGGAGCAAAGAUCAUUGCCCACAGAGCGACGCAAAGAAUAUUGCGACCUGUGGAUUCAUUGAGGCGGUGAAGAAUUGCCAUUUUAUGAGCUUGUAAGACCCCUCCGGAGGAGAAGGAUAGGGGAGCAAGGUUCAAAGUGGUUUUCAAAGUCAGGGCUAUCCCUUACUAUUGAGGGCUUUGACCACCUAGACACUCGCCUACUCAGUCGCAAGGAUCAAAGAAUUUGAUUGACAAAGAAUAUUGCGAUUUUACCGAGUCCUUCGUCUCGCAAUAUUCUUUGCGCCUUCGGUGAGUCAGGUGUUAAUAUGGAUAAGUCCCUUGGACUGAUAGCGUCCAAAAUAGGCGAGGGCGGACGGGCUAUAAGUAGGCCGUUUGCUAUUGCUAUAAGGGCUGCUUGCCUUUAUACAGCUUGGCUUCGCUAUCGCUCAUGACUUGUAUUGUGGUCGGCCUAAAAAGUAGUCUUCCUACCAUAAAAAAAUGCCUAUUAUCUGGUUCGUUAAGCUUCGCCAAAAGCAAGACGAGGGCGCUUUGCUUCGUAGACAAGGCUCGUCUAGUACUUGACUUACGAGUUCGUGUAGGAUUUCCCCUCUCUCUCUAAAGGGGCUUUUAUGCACGGAACUCCUUGUCUACUAAAGAAGCGUUCGAGCGAGCGAGUUCAGCCUGAAAUUGAGUGGUCUCCCUCCUUUUCCCUCACUGAAAUAUUAUGUCUUUCAUUUCCACUUAAGCUUCCCCGCUUUGAGGGAUUAAUUGAUUGGAUACCUGAGAACCAUAAUCUUUCCUAGGAACUGCUUCUACGACGAUAGGCGUAAAGGCAUGAUUAAUUCCACAAAUCUCACUGCACUGACCAUAGUAAACUCCUUCUCAUUGUACCAAAAUGGAGAUCUGAUUUAAACGGCCAGGUACAACAUCACAUUUGACACCUGAGGAUGGUACAACCCAACUAUGAGGUACAUCAGCAGGUGUUACAAUAAUACGUAGAUGAGUUUUGGCUGGUAGAACCAUUCUAUUGUCCACUUCUAAUAAACGUGAUUGACCCAAUUCUAAAUCAUCUUCUGGAAUCGUAUAACUGUCAAAAGUGAGUGACUGUUCAUCGGAACUAUUAUAGUCAGAAUACUCAUAAAUUCGAUACCAUUGAUGUCCUAUAGCUUUGAUAGUCAUGGCUGGAUCUACUACUACCUCGUCCAUUUAGUAUAAAGAGAGCAAAGGAUGAUAUAACAAUGAACACCGGAAUGAUACUAGGAAAAAUGGUCCAAAGAAUCUCGAUAGUAGUUCCAUGAACAAUCCUUUGCGGUAUUUUCUUUUGAGAAUAGUGGAAAUGCCAUAAAGCGCGAACCAAGAUCCGUGAUACGAAAACAAAAAUCAGAAUGAGGAAGAAAAAGAUAUCGUGAUGUAAGUCUAUUAUUCCUUGCAUCAUAGGUGUUGCUGCGUCUUGAGAUCCUAAUUGCCAUGGUUCCGCUACAUCACAAGGAGCAAUUGUGAGGAAUAGCCAUUUGAGCACAAUCAUUUUCCAUUGUUUAUUCUUUGACCCGUCUGUCCUUCGGUCUUAAUACUCCUAACGUCGAAUAAGAAGCUGGAGGCUGGGUCCAGGUGCAAAGAAUAUUGCGUCCAUUAGAUCCAUUGAAUUAGGCGGAGGACUUUAUCAAGCUUAGCUUUCUGGAUUCUUCCGCGGAGUGGGGCUUUCUCUAGUAGGUCUGGAGGCUCAAAGAAUGAUCGAAGGCUCCGGACCAUAAAGAAGAGAGACGGAGGACUUCCAUUGACUUUUUCUUCCUUUCACUUCUAACUUCAAACCUUUCAUAUGAAACCUUGAAAAUAAAGGAGGGAGCGGACUACGGAGGCCAUAAGUUUGAGUUCCUCAGAUGGAUAAAAACAAGUCCUCCGGACGCUACGUAGUCUUGUCUCCUUCCCCACGUAGUGGGCAUUGACUUCUUCAUUGAUUUUCUUCUAUCUCCCACGUAGCGGUUGAAUAUGAAAGGAAGCCCACGGAGCUGAAGACGGAGCGGGAUAAUAAAGAAGAAAGCUCAAAAGGAGGGAGCAGACCUCAAUGAACAAGGGGAGGACUCAUUUUCAUCCUUAUGGAAGAAAAAUCUCUUUUUUUAUCUAAAAGACGUAGAAGGAGGCUCAAUGUCUAAUCUUUCUCUCAAAUCAAUAUCCCCCGGUGCAAAUAUUCUAGCAAUAUUCUCAAUAUGAAAAGAGCCUUUCUUCUUUUCUUAGAUAAAUGCGCUUCGUAGAUUAUGCUGAAGGAGGAGUGGGCCAUGAUCUUUGCUCCUUAAUUUCCCUAAUGGAUAGUCAUCUGGACCUUUCUUUUUAGUUCUUUGCGCUCGUCAACGCAUAUUUCAUUGCGCCUUCGCCUUCAAUGAAAUCCAUAAAUAAAUAAGGGUAGAUUUCAGACUCAAGAGGAGGGUUCCUUAUCAAUAUCAAUGAGACGAAUGGGCUUUCUUUUACAUUCUACAG